UUUUUUUUGUUUUUCUUAAGGUUUAUCAAACACACAAGAAGAAAGCUAGAAAAAGAAAAUUAAACUAGCAUGGAUAAUACAAUGAAAGAGUAUGAGCACCGACAGCUAGAAUAGUGUGUGAGCAUGAAUGUAAAGUCGGUGAGAAAUACGUACUCCCCCAAGCUUAGGCUUUUGGCCUAAGUCGGUCUAAUGCCAAGGGUAGCCUGGCUGAUAUCCGUAGUUGUAACUAGGGUCGUACUGAGAUGCAGCAGCAAAUGCCUCCUGAGCUGCAGCAUGUUGGCGAGCCACCUCCGCUCUCCCCUCGUGUUCAGCUGCCUCCUCCCUAGUAACAACAUAUCUUCGUUUUGCCUGGUAAUCAAAAAGGAAAGGAGCAGGGAGAGUAACAUGGACAGAGCUAUGUAUGUCAAAGAUUAGUCGAUACUGGAGGAAUUGUUCAUUCCUCAAAAGAAAAUGAUGUUUGACCAUUGCAUCAUAAUCUAAAUAAGCAGGAGGCAACACCAUAUCCCCCUCUCGUGGAGCUAUACCAAGAUAAUUAGCAACACGAGUCGCAUAAAUACCUCCAAAUAAAUCUCCAAACAUACCAUUAUUAUGCAACCUACGUGCAACUAUUGCCCCCAAGUUGUAAUCUUUAUUACCUAACACAGCACUCUUGAGGACACAAAGAUCAGGGACACACAUGUGACAUGCUUCAUCUUUACCGUUAAUGCAUCUACCAAUGAAGAGAGCAAAAUAAUGUAUAGCAGGAAAAUGAAUAUUCCCUAUGGUAGCUUGUGCUAUAUCCCUAGAUUCUCCCACAGUAAUACUAGCAAGAAAGUCUUUAUAUUCAGAUUUGUGGGGGUCAUUAACAUUGCCCCACUGCGGGAGUUUGCAAGCAGUUGUAAAAUCUUCUAAGUUCAUGGUAUAAGAUUUAUCAUAAAUAUCAAACAUGACACUCUGAGAAUUACGUGAACAUUUAUAUUUAAACCUUCUAACAAAUGAAUCAGUCAAUUGAUAGUACUGAGGACACUAAUCUUGUAAGAAGUCCUCAAGAUCGACAUUACGCACAUAUGCGUCAAAUUCAUCCUUAAUGCCUGCAUUGACCAUAAAAUUGUAUGAUGGCCACUCACAACCUCACACUUCUGCGUCCCUCGGUGGUUCAUCGUCUUGCUCAUUCAUAGCCCGCCUGGGUCCUUUCUUUAUUGAGGAACCACCUUGAUACAUUCUCCUAGACAUAUUUCUUUUUCUGAAAAAUUUCUGAAAUUUUAGUAACUUCAAAAUAAAAGUGAAUAAAACUAAACAAGAUUGGUAGCAACUACUCCUACAAGUGCCUAGAGCCUAUAUCAUGCAUUAGAAUUACUUGGGACCUCAUAAAUUUGACAUGCAAGCUCAAGAACAGGGUCACCUAUGCAGCAAAAAUUUGCAAUGAAUAAAGCACUAGAACAAAAACUAAUUGGACCAAUGGAGGAGUCACAUACCAAGCAACAAUCUCCCAAAGCAGUUUUGUGAAUGGAGCUUUGAGCAAGGAGAUCGAAAAUCGCAGCAAAAUGAGCUAGAACUCGUGCUUCACCUGGAUGGGGAUUUUUUGGGAAUAAGAUGGAGUGUGUGGGUGUAGGAAUAAGUGGAGGGGGGCCACCAUGGGCCCACGAGAUAGGGGGGCGUGCCCAGGGGGUGUGGGCGCGCCCUCCACCCUCGUGGCCAGGUGCUUGCCCCUCCUGUAGUGUUUUCAGUGCCUAAAAUCCUCAAGUAUUCCAUAAAAAAUCAUACUAAAUUUGCAGGGCAUUUGGAGCGCUUUUAUUUUCGAGAUAUUUUUUAUUGCACGGAUAAUUCAGAAAACGGACAGAUAAUACUAUUUUUGCUUUAUUUAUUUUAGAUAACAAAAAGUAAAAAGAGGGUACAGAAGGUUGUGCCUUCUAGUUUCAUCCAUAUCAUGAUCAUCAAAAUGAAUCCACUAACAAGGUUGAUCAAGUCUUAUUAAGAAACUCAUUCCGAAUAACACGGAACCAGAGAAAUUUCGAAUAACACUAAAUUACCUCAACGGAGAUAUGCACAUCCCCAACAAUAAGAAUAUCAUAUUUUUUCUUGACAUUAGGAAGAGGAAAUUCAAAACCUCCAAUUAUGAUAGUUGGAACUUUUCCAAUAGAAUUGAUGCUAUGAAUUUGAGAUUGUUUCCUCGGAAAGUGUACCGUAUGCUCAUUACCAUUAACAUGAAAAGUGACAUGGCCUUUGUUGCAAUCAAUAACAGCCCCUGCAGUAUUCAAAAAGGGUCUACCAAGGAUAAUCGACAUACUAUCGUCCUCGGGAAUAUCAAGAAUAACAAAGUCCGUUAAGAUAGUGACAUUUGCAACCACAACAGGCACAUCCUCACAAAUACUGACAGGUAUAGCAGUUGAUUUAUCAGCCAUUUGCAAAUAUAUUUCAGUAGGUGUCAACUUAUUCAAUUCAAGUCUACGAUAUAAAGAGAGAGGCAUAACACUAACACCGGAUCCAAGAUCACAUAAAGCAGUUUUAACAUAAUUUCUUUUAAUGGAGCAUGGUAUAGUUGGAACCCCUGGAUCUCCAAGUUUCUUUGUUAUUCCACCCUUAAAAGUAUAAUUAGCAAGCAUGGUGGAAAUUUCAGCUUCCGGUAUCUUUCUUUUAUUUGUAAUGAUAUCCUUCAUAUAUUUAGCAUAAGGAUUUAAUUUAAGCAUAUUAGUCAAGCACAUACGUAAGAAGAUAGGUCUAAUCAUUUCAGCAAAGCGCUCGAAAUCCUCAUCAUCCUUUGUCUUGGAUGGUUUAGGAGGAAAGGGCAUGGGUUUCUGAAUCCAUGGUUCUCUUUCUCUACCCUGUUUCCUAGCAACAAAAUCUCUCUUAUCAUAACGUUGAUUCUUUGAUUGUGGGUUAUCAAGAUCAACAGCAGGUUCAAUCUCUACAUCAUUAUUUUUGCUAGGUUGAGCAUCAGCAUGAACAUUAUCAUUAACAUUAUCACUAGGUUCAUGUUCAUCACCUGAUUGUGUUUCAGCAUCAGAAAUAGAAAUAUCAUUGGGAUUCCCAGGUGUGUCUACAAUAGGUUCACUAGAAGCAUGCAAUGUCCUAUCGUCUUUCUUUUUCUUCUUUUUAGAAGAACUAGGUGCCUCUAAAUUAUUUCUCUGAGAAUCCUGCUCGAUUCUCUUGGGGUGGCCUUCAGGAUACAAAGGUUCCUGAGUCAUUCUACCAGUUCUAGUAGCCACUCUAACAGCAAAGUCAUGUUUAUUAUUUAAUUCAUCGAGCAAAUCACUUUGACCUUUAAGUACUUGCUCAGCUUGAGUGGUAACCAUAGAAGCAUAUUUGCUAAUGAGUUUAAGUUCACCUUUAACUCUAGCCAUAUAAUCACUCAAGCAUCCUAUCUCGGAAGAAUUAUUCUUUAAUUUUCUACCAACAUAAGAAUUAAAACUUUCUUGUCUAGCCAUAAAGUCAUCAAAUUCAUCUAAGCAUGGGCUAUGAAAUUUACUAGACGGGAUUUCAACUUUAUCAUAUCUAUAGAGAGAAUUUACCUUUACUACUUGUGUCGGGUUAUCAAGACAAUGUGUUUCUUCAACGGGCGGUAUAUUAAGACCAUGUAUUUCUUCAAUAGGAGGUAAAUUCUUAACAUCUUCAGCUUUUAUACCUUUUUCUUUCAUUGAUUUCUUUGCCUCUUGCAUAUCUUCAGGACUCAGAAAUAGAACUCCCCUCUUCUUCGGAGUAGGUUUGGGGAUAGGCUCAGUAGUUAGCUUAAUUGGUUCAGGAAUUGCCUCAGGAAUUGGCUCAGGGUGAGUCCAAUUAUUUUCAUUAGUCAACAUAUUAUUCAAUAGUAAUUCAGCUUGGUCGACUGUUCUUUCCUUGAAAACACAACCAGCACAACUAUCCAAGUAGUCCUUGGAAGCAUCGGUUAGUCCAUUAUAAAAGAUAUCAAGUAUUUCAUUUUUCUUAAGAGGAUGAUCAGGCAAAGCAUUAAGUAAUCGGAGAAGCCUCACCCAAGCUUGUGGGAGACUCUCUUCUUUGAUUUGCACAAAAUUACAUAUUUCUCGCAAGGCAGCUUGUUUCUUAUGAGCAGGAAGAUAUUUAGCAGAGAAGUAAUAAAUCAUAUCCUGGGGACUACACACACAACCAGGAUCAAGAGAAUUAAACCAAGUCUUAGCAUCACCCUUUAAUGAGAACGGAGAUAUCUUAAGGAUAUAAUAAUAGCGAGACUUCUCAUCAUUAGUAAACAGGGUGGCUAUAUCAUUUAACUUGGUAAGAUGUGCCACAACAGUUUCAGAUUCAAGGCCAUAAAAAGGAUCAGAUUCAACCAAAGUAAUUAUUUCAGGAUCAACAGAGAAUUCAUAAUCCUUAUCAGUAACACAGAUAGGUGAAGUAGCAAAAGCAGGGUCAGGUUUCAUUCUAGCAUUAAGAGAUUGCUGCUUCCAUUUAGCUAAUAACUUCUUAAGAUCAUAUCUAUCUUUGCAAGCAAAAAUAGCUCUAGCAGCUUCUUCAUUCAUAACAUAACCCUGAGGAACAAGAGGUAAUUCAUAAUCAGGGGGAGAACUUUCAUCAUCACUAUCAUCAAUAAUAGCUUCUUCAAUAAUUUCAUUCUCUCUAACCCUAGCAAGUUGUUAAUCAAGAAAUUCACCUAAUGGCACAGUAGUAUCACACAUAGAAGUAGUUUCAUCAUAAGUAUCAUGCAUAGCAGAAGUGGAAUCAUCAAUAACAUGCGACAUAUCAGAAUUCAAAGCAGUUGCAGGUUUAGGUGUCGCAAGCUUACUAAUAAUGAAAGAAGAAUCUAGUGCAGAGCUAGAUGGCAGUUCCUUACCUCCCCUCAUAGUUGAGGGCAAAAUCUUAGUUCUUUCGUCUUUCAAGUUCCUCAUAGUGAUCAACAGAUAUAAAUCCCAAGUGACUCAAAGAAUAGAACUAUGCUCCCCGGCAACGGCGCCAGAAAUUAGUCUUGAUAACCCACAAGUGUAGGGGAUCACAACAGCUUUCGAGGGUAGAGUAUUCAACCCAAAUUUAUUUAUUCGACACAAGGGGAGCCAAAGAAUAUUCUUAAGUAUUAGCAGUUGAGUUGUCAAUUCAACCACACCUGGAUAACUUAGUAUAUGCAGCAAAGUAUUUAGUAGCAAAGUAGUAUGAUAGUAAUGGUAACAGUGGCAAAAGUAAAGAUAAUAGUUUUGUAGUAGUUGCAACAGUAGCAACGGAAAAGUAAAUAAGCGAAACACAAUAUGUGAAAAUUUCAUAGGCAUUGGAUCAGUGAUGGAUGAUUAUGUCGGAUGUGAUUCCUCAUGUAAUAGCUAUAACAUAGGGUGACACAGAACUAGCUCCAAUUCAUCAAUGUAAUGUAGGCAUGUAUUCCGAAUAUAGUCAUAUGUGCUUAUGGAAAAGAACUUGCAUGACAUCUUUUGUCCUACCCUCCCGUGACAGCGGGAUCCUAGUGGAAACUAAGGGAUAUUAAGGCCUCCUUUUAAUAGAGAACUGGAACAAAGCAUUAGCACAUAGUGAAUACAUGAACUCCUCAAACUAUGGUCAUCACCGAGAAGUAUCCCGAUUAUUGUCACUUCGGGGUUGUCGGAUCAUAACACAUAAUAGGUGACUAUAUACUUGUAAGAUAGGAUCAAGAACUCACAUAUAUUCAUGAAAACAUAAUAGGUUCAGAUCUAAAAUCAUGGCACUCGGGCCCUAGUGACAAGCAUUAAGCAUAGCAAAGUCAUAGCAACAUCAAUCUCGGAACAUAGUGGAUACUAGGGAUCAAACCCUAACAAAACUAACUUGAUUACAUGGUAAAUCUCAUCCAACCCAUCACUGUCCAGCAAGCCUACGAUGGAAUUACUCACGCACGACGGUGAGCAUCAUGAAAUUGGUGAUGGAGGAUGGUUAAUGAUGACAACGGCGGCGAAACCCCUCUCUGGAGCCCCGGACGGACUCAAGAUCAGCCCUCCCGAGAGAGAUUAGGGCUUGGCGGCGGCUUCGUAUCAUAAAACGCAAUGAAACUUUCUCUCUAAUUUUUCUCUCUGCGAAACAGAAUAUAUGGAGUUGGAGUUGAGGUCGGCGGAGCAACAGGGGGCCCAUGAGACAGGGGGGCGUGCCCAGGGGGAGGGCGCGCCCCCACCCUCGUGGACAGGGUGUGGCCCCCCUGGCCUUGAUUCUUUUGCCAGUAUUUUUUAUAUUUUCCAAAAGUUAUCUCCGUGGAUUUUCAGGUCAUUCCGAGAACUUUUGUUUUCUGCACAAUAAACAACACCCUGGCAGUUAUGCUGAAAACAACGUCAGUCCGGGUUAGUUUCAUUCAAAUCAUGCAAGUUAGAGUCCAAAACAAGGGCAAAAGUGUUUGGAAAAGUAGAUACAUUGGAGACGUAUCACUUAGCUUUGGGUUCAAUCUUGCGGUGUCCUUUCCCAGUGACAGCAGGGGCAACAAGGCACGUAUUGUAUUAUUGCCAUCAAGGAUAAAAAGAUGGGGUUUAUAUCAUAUUGCUUGAGUUUAUCCCUCUACAUCAUGUCAUCUUGCCUAAUGUUUUACUCUGUUCUUAUGAACUUAAUACUCUAGAUGCAUGCUGGAUAGCGGUCGAUGUGUGGAGUAAUAGUAGUAGAUGCAGAAUCGUUUCGGUCUACUUGUCACAGACGUGAUGCCUAUAUACAUGAUCAUGCCUAGAUAUUCUUAUAGCUAUGCGCUUUUCUAUCAAUUGCUCGACAGUAAUUUGUUCACCCACCGUAGAAUAAGCUAUCUUGAGAGAAGCCACUAGUGAAACCUAUGGCCCCCGGGUCUAUUUUCCAUCAUAUUAAUCUCUCGUCAACUAGCUAUUUUUGUCGCUGUUUAUUUUGCAAUCUUUAAUUUUCAAUCUAUACAACAAAAAUACCAAAAAUAUUUAUUUUAUUAUCUUUAUCAGAUCUCACUUUUGCAAGUGGACGUGAAGGGAUUGACAACCCCUUUAUCGCAUUGGUUGCAAGGUUCUUGAUUGUUUGUGCAGGUACGAGGGAUUUGCGUGUAGUCUCCUACUGGAUUGAUACCUUGGUUCUCAAAAACUGAGGGAAAUACUUAUGAUACUUUGCUGCAUGACCCUUUCCUCUUCAAGGGAAAACCAACGCAUGCUCAAGAGGUAGCAAGAAGGAUUUCUGGCGUCGUUGCCGGGGAGGUUUAUGCCAAGUCAAAUCAAGAUUUGAUCUCCCGUCAAUGUGCCGAUUUCUGGUGCCGUUACCGAGGAGAUCAACGCACAAGUCAAGAUAUACCGAGUACCCAUCACAAACUCUUAUCCCUCCCAUUACAUUAUUUUCCAUUUGCCUCUUGUUUUCCUCUCCCCCACUUCACCUUUUCCGUUUUAUUCGCCCUUUUUCGUUCACCUUUUUCUCGUUAGAUCUUUUGUUUGCUUGUGUUGCCAUGUGCCUUCUAUAUGCUUGCAUCUUUGCUUGCUGAAAACCUAUUGUUAUGGAUCCUCAUCCUCUUGCUAAUCUUUUUAAAAGAUCCAAUUAUGAUGAACAUAUUGCUAGUGAGUUUUGUGCACUAUAUUAUCUUUAUGAGGUUUUUCUUGAAAUUCGUGAAUCUGAAAAUUGUGAUGAAGUGUUGAAAGAAGAAACUUAUGAAGUGAUUCACGAUAGCUCCUUGAAUGAAAAGCAUGAUUGCAAUGAUAUUAUUAUAAAUUCUAUUAAUGUCAAUUGUGUUAAUGAUAUGCAGAACCGUAGGCUUGGGGAUGCUAGUUUGCUAUGUCCACUACUUGUUGCAAUGAUCAUGAUUGGGGUGAUUCUUCUUACAAUCUUGAAAAUUUAUUUAAGACCCAUGAUGAUUAUGAGAUUGAUAAUAAUGUUUACAAUAAUACUGAAAGUGGGUUUGGAAGAGUGUCAAAUUUAGAUCCCACAUAUUUGGAUAAUGAUCAAUCUUAUGAAGUUUUUGAGAAAAGUGGGUUUCGAGAGGUCACGACUUUAGUUAAUGAUAUUCCCACUAUUUUGGAAGAGUGUCAACUUUGCAUACAUGUGGAUCGUGUUAAGAAUAUGUUUUGUGAUAGCUAUAUUGCUGAAUUUUCUUAUGAUCAUACAUGUAAUUAUUAUGAGAGAGGAAAAUAUGGUUGUAGAAAUUUUCAUGUUACUAAGUUACCUCUCGUCAUGUUGAGAUUGCUUUUGUUUCUUUCUUCUUCCUUGCAUAUGCUAGUUUUUGCUUGUCUUGAUAAUUUGUUUGCCUAUAAGAUGCCUAUGCAUAGGAAGUAUGUUAGACUUAGAUGUGUUUUUCACGUACUUUAUGAUGCUCUCUUUGUGCUUCAAUUCUUGUCUUUCAUUUGAGCAUCAUCGAAAUUAUCAAUGCCUAGCUAGGGGCGUUAAACGAUAGCGCUUGUUGGGAGGCAACCCAAUUUUAUUUUUCUUUCUUGCUUUUUGUUUCUGUUUAGUAAUAAAUAAUUCAUAUAGCCUCUUUUUAGAUGUGGUUUUAUGUUUUAAUUAGUGUUUGUGCCAAAUAUAACCUUUGGGAAGACUUGGGUGAAGUCUUUGUGAUCUUGCUGUGAAAAACAGAAACUUUAGCGCUCACGAGAUUAGCUGCCAUUUUUUACUGGAGAGUGAUUUUAGGUUGAAUCUUUUUUAAUAUGAUUAAUAGACAAAUUCCUCAUGGCCACCAAUUUAUUUAAGAAUUUUUUUAGUUACAGAAGCAUACGUUUUAUACAGAUUGCUACAGACUCUUCUGUUUUUGACAGAUUCUGUUUUUCGUGUGUUUUUGCUUAUUUUGAUGAAUCUAUGGCUAGUAUCGGGGGGUAUGAACUAUAGAGAAGUUGGAAUAAAGUAGGUUUAACACCAAUAUAAAUAAAUAAUGAGUUCAUUACAUUACCCUAAAGUGGUGAUUUUUUUUCUUAUACUAACGGAGCUCAUGAGAUUUUUUGUUGAGUUUUGUGUUGUGAAGUUCUCAAGUUUUGGGUAAAGAUUUGAUGGAUUUUGGAAUAAGGAGUGGCAAGAGACUAAGCUUGGGGAUUCCCAGGUCACCACAAGGUAAAAUUCAAGGACAACCAAAAGCCUGAGCUUGGGGAUGCCCCGGAAGGCAUCCCCUCUUUCGUCUUCGUCUAUCGGUAACUUUACUUGAGGCAAUAUUUUUAUUCACCGCAUGAUAUGUGUUUUGCUUGGAGCGUCUUGUAUGAUUUGAGUCUUUGCUUUUUAGUUUACCACAAUCAUCCUUGUUGUACACACCUUUUGGAUAGACACACAUAAAUCAGAAUUUAUUAGAAUACUAUAUGUGCUUCACUUAUAUCUUUUGAGCUAGAUAGUUUUGCUCUAGUGCUUCACUUAUAUCUUUUAGAGCACGGUGGUGGUUUUAUUUUAUAGAAAUUAUUGAUCUAUCAUGCUUCACUUAUAUUAUUUUGAGAGUCUUUUAGAACAGCAUGGUAAUUUGCUUUGGCUAUAAAAUUUGUCCUAAUAUGAUGGGCAUCCAAGAUGGGUAUAAUAAAAACGUUCAUAUAAAGUGCAUUGAAUACUAUGAGAUGUUUGAUUCUUUAUGAUUGUUUUGAGAUAUGAAGAUAGUGAUAUUAGAGUCAUGCUAGUAGAGUAGUUGUGAACUUGAGAGAUACUUGUGUUAAAGUUUGUGAUUCCUGUAGCAUGCACGUAUGGUGAACCGUUAUGUGAUGAAGUUGGAGCAUGAUUUAUUUAUUGAUUGUCUUCCUUAUGAAUGGCAGCCGGGGACGAGCAAUGGUUUUUUCCUACCAAUCUAUCCCCCUAGGAGCAUGCACGUAGUACUUCGUUCCAAUAACUAAUGUAUUUUUGCAAUAAGUAUGUGAGUUCUUUAUGACUAAUGUUGAGUCCAUGGAUUAUACGCACUCUCACCCUUCCACCAUUGCUAGCCUAUCAAAUACCGUGCACCUUUCACCGGUAUCAUACACCCACCAUAUACCUUCCUCAAAACAGCCACCAUACCUACCUAUUAUGGCAUUUCCCUAGCCAUGCCGAGAUAUAUUGCCAUGCAACUUUUCACAGUUCCUUUUAUUAUGACACGCUCCAUCAUUGGCAUAUUGCUUUGCAUGAUCAUGUAGUUGACAUCGUAUUUGUGGAAAAUCCACCUUCAUAAUUGUUUCAUACAUGUCACUCUUUGCACAUCCCGGUACACCGCCGGAGGCAUUCACAUAGAGUCAUAUUUUGUUCUAAGUAUCGAGUUGUAAUUCUUGAGUUGUAAGUAAAUAAAAGUGUGAUGAUCAUCAUUAUUAGAGCAUUGUCCCAGUGAGGAAAGGAUGAUGGAGACUAUGAUUCCCCCACAAGUCGGGAUGAGACUCCGGACGAAAAAAUAAAAAAUAAAAAAGGAGGCCAUAAAAAAAGAGAAAAGGCCCAAAUAAAAUAAAUGAGAGAAAAAGAGAGAAGGGACAAUGCUACUAUCCUUUUAUCACACUUGUGCUUCAAAGUAGCACCAUGAUCUUCAUGAUAGAGAGUCUCCUAUGUUGUCACUUUUAUACUAGUGGGAAUUUUACAUUAUAAGAACUUGGCUUGUAUAUUCCAAUGAUGGGCUUCCUCAAAUUGCACUAGGUCUUCGUGAGCAAGCGAGUUGGAGCACACCCACUUAGAUUCAUUUGUUGAGCUUUCAUACACUUAUAGCUCUAGUGCAUCCGUUGCAUGGCAUCCCUACUCACUCUCAUUGAUAUCUAUUGAUGGGCAUCUCCAUAGCCCGUUGAUACGCCUAGUUGAUGUGAGACUAUCUUCUCCUUUUUGUCUUCUCCACAACCACCAUUCUAUUCCACCUAUAGUGCUAUGUCCAUGGCUCACGCUCAUGUAUUGCGUGAAAAUUGAAAAAGUUUGAGAACAUCAAAAGUAUGAAACAAGUGCUUGGCUUGUCAUCGGGGUUGUGCAUGAUUUAAAUAUUUUGUGUGAUGAAGAUAGAGCAUAGCCAGACUAUAUGAUUUUGUAGGGAUAACUUUCUCUCGCCAUGUUAUUUUGAGAGGACAUGAUUGCUUUAUUAGUAUGCUUGAAGUAUUAUUAUUUUUAUGUCAAUAUUAAACUUUUAUAUUGAAUCUUUUGGAUUUGAGCAUUCAUGCCACAAUAAAGAGAAUUACUUUGAAAAUUAUGUUAGGUAGCAUUCCACCUCAAAAAUUAUGUUUUUAACAUUUACCUACUCGAGGACGAGCAGGAAUUAAGCUUGGGGAUGCUUGAUACGUCUCCAACGUAUCUAUAAUUUUUUAUUGUUCCAUGCUAUUAUAUUAUCUGUUUUGGAUGUUUAAUGGGCUUUAUUAUGCACUUUUAUAUUAUUUUUGGGACUAACCUAUUAAUCGAAGGCCUAGUGCAAAUUGCUGUUUUUUUCCCUAUUUCAGUGUUUCGCAGAAAAGGAAUAUCAAAUGGAAUCCAAACGGAAUGAAACCUUCGCGAGGAUCGUUUCUGGAACAAACGCAAUCUAGGAGACUUGGAGUGGACGUCAAGGAAGCAACGAGGCGGCCAUGAGGUAGGAGGGCACGCCUAGGGGGGUAGGCACGCCUCCCACCCUCAUGGGCCCCUCGUGGCUCCACCGACCUACUUCUUUCACCUAUAUAUACUCAUAUACCCUGAAAACAUCUGAGGGCACCACGAAACCCUAUUUCCACCACCGCAACCUUCUGUACCUGUGAGAUCCCAUCUUGGGGCCUUUUCCGGUGCUCCGUCGGAGGGGGAAUCAAUCACGGAGGGCUUCUAUAUCAACACCAUAGCCUCUCUGAUGAUGUGUGAGUAGUUUACCACAGACCUUCGGGUCCAUAGUUAUUAGCUAGAUGGCUUCUUCUCUCUCUUUGGAUCUCAACACAAAGUCUCCUCAAUCUUCUUGGAGAUCUAUUCGAUGUAAUUCUUUUUGCGGUGUGUUUGUCGAGAUCCGUUGAAUUGUGGAUUUAUGAUCAAAAUUAUCUAUGAACAAUAUUUGAUUCUUCUCUGAAUUCUUUCAUGCAUGAUUUAAAUAUCUUUGCAAGUCUCUUAGAAUUAUCAGUUUGGUUUGGCCUACUAGAUUGAUCUUUCUUGCAAUGGGAGAAGUGCUUAGCUUUGGGUUCAGUCUUGCGGUGUCCUUUCCCAAUGACAGCUGGGGCAGCAAGGCACGUAUUGUAUUGUUGCCAUCGAGGAUAAAAAGAUGGGGUUUAUAUCAUAUUGCUUGAGUUUAUCCCUCUACAUCAUGUCAUCUUGCCUAAUGCGUUACUCUGUUCUUAUGAACUUAAUACUCUAGAUGCAUGCUGGAUAGCGGUCGAUGUGUGGAAUAAUAGUAGUAGAUGCAGGUCUACUUAUCACGGACGUGAUGCAUAUAUACAUGAUCAUGCCUAGAUAUUCUCAUAACUAUGCACUUUUCUAUCAAUUGCUCGACGCUUUUCUAUCAAUUGCUCGACAGUAAUUUGUUCACCCACCAUAGAAUAUGCUAUCUUGAUAGAAGCCACUAGUGAAACCUAUGGCCCCCGGGUCUAUUUUCCAUCAUAUUAAUCUCUUGUCAACUAGCUAUUUCUGUCGCUGUUUAUUUUGCAAUCUUUACUUUUCAAUCUAUACAACAAAAAUACCAAAAAUAUUUAUUUUAUUAUCUUUAUCAGAUAUCACUUUUGGAAGUGGCCGUGAAGGGAUUGAAAAUCCCUUUAUCGCAUUGGUUGCAAGGUUCUUGAUUGUUUGUGCAGGUACGAGGGAUUUCCGUGUAGUCUCCUACUGGAUUGAUACCUUGGUUCUCAAAAACUGUCGGAAAUACUUACGCUACUUUGCUGCAUCACCCUCCUCUUCAAGGGAAAACCAACGCAUGCUCAAGAGGUAGCAAGUAUGACGACCACGCGCAAUGGUGACCCCAAUGGCGCAGCGGCGCUGCGCUUCUCCCGUAGACGGCGACGGUGCCCAUCAGUGACUUCACACACACACACGCGCGCAGGGGUUGUACCGUGUCUGUGCUCCUGCUCGACGGUGCCGCAAGUUCCACUGCCUCAUGCGCUGACUGACGUGUGGUGGUGAAGAUGUCGCUGGGCGUGGAGGCAUCUUCCCAGUGGAGAGCUCCUCCCCCGUGCGCCCAUCAUUGGUGGCCAGCCGUGGAUCUCCUUGUCCACCGGUGCGGCUGCUCCUCCACGACUCGAGCAGAAGUGAGGGAUGGUGGCAAUCUUGUGGGGAGGAGGGAGGCGCAUAGGAGUGGAGAGAGCGAUGAGGGAGAAGCAGUGGCAGCACACGAGAGGUGCGGGGGAGAAAAAAAUGAGACCAACCCAAAGGCUAACCCUUGUUGGCAAUUCUUUUAUAGAAGAAAUUCCACGACCAUGAGCACCGCGCGUUCAAGUCGGGGCUCAAACUCGGGUGGAUUGGUAGCUACCCUAGCUUCCCAGGUCGACGCCCCGUCCUCAGGUGCAAGGGAGAAAGAGAUGUGAGAGGAGAGAGCCCAAACCUAGCAUCCGAUCCGAUUGGGAAGAGGGCAACGAAUUAGGGCAAUCCCUAUGGUGUCGGUUCAUCCAAAAUUCCGCAAGUGCCCUCAAUGGGCGGCCAAAAUUACAGGCGGUGGUAUGCCUUUUUUGCUGCAUACGAAGCCCACUGGGCACUCUUCUAUGUACAACCGCUGACGGGCGUGUCCCACAGGUGGCUGGCUCCCACGAAUCAGUGACCUACAACCAAUAUUCAGAGUGGGAAAUGAAAUGAGGACAAAAAUGAGAAACGGCUAGAACGAACGAGCGGUUAGGAUUGGGACACGACAUCGAGGAGGACCAGAUCAAACGGUCACCAUUGCAAUCGAUCUGGAAAGGCCCUUGUUCUAGCAUGAAUCAAGAAUUUAGAUUACACCCAAAGGUACAAAGGGGAGUCAUGGCCACCCAAUCGGUCACUUGCCUCAUCUCUUUAUAUUAAAGAAGGCGAAGUGAAGUUGCCGCUCCCUCGAGCGGUCCACCAGCACCUCCAAGGAGAGCUUAGAGCAUCUACUGGCAGACUUGGCAAAUCCGACUCCUCAAACGUUCGUGUGAGGGAAAAUCCGAUCACUUAAAUGUCCGUGUGGACAUUAACAGGUCACGUCUCAAGAAAUGCAUUCUACAUCCUGAUACCCCAAAUCCAUAUUAUUACAUGCAAAGCAGCGAUCUUUGAGCGGAGCUUCGUCCAGUUCCGCUCUGCUUGUCGAGCUCCGUUGUGGCCAUGUCCAGCGGCCGGCUGCGCCCCUCAGUGUUGGUCCGGUCGACGGCAAGGUGGAGUAGGGCAUGGGACUCGAGUCGACUCACGGGAAGGUGCCGCCAUGUCCCAUACCCUACUCUUCCUCGUCGGAGCCUGGAACCCAUUGGGUGCCGGUGGAUGUCAGAUCAAUGAUGGAUCCGUCCAGGGAUGAGCCGCCGAUAUCCAUCACGAAGCGGUUGCGACGGUCGGACUGGUGCACCGUACGGUGCACCGGAGAAUGCAACCCCGCCUCGCCAACAUCCACCGCAGCGAGCGCUGCCGCCGCGUCCCGUGACCACUGCCACGCACGAUGGACAUGCCGCACCAUGUUUGCGUCGGACGACGCCCACGAUGUGUCCAUGGCCUCCGUGCGUCAACAAAGGGGUUGCACGUCCACCACCGCGUUCGAAUGUCAGACGGACUGCACUGAAUCCAGUGAGGCAGCGAUUGCUACCCCAGCGCCAGAUCCAUGCGCCAUUUGGGCGGACGCAAUGGAUUUCCAACGGAAGGAGUCCGAGCACUGCCGUGCACGGGCCUCCUCCCGGGCGCGGCGGAGCGCAAGCCGGACGAUCAUCUCCUCAUCGGGGCCGCGUGGGAUGAGCUCAGGGUCUAAGGAUCUGGAGGUGAAGGACUCGGAUCCACUGCCCUCCAUGCCGAAGACUACCGGACGGUGUCGGGGAUGAGCUUCGGUGGCGAAGGGGAGUGGAGGGAAGUGGCUAGGGUUUGGUCUGGCGAGCGAAUGAGGAAGAAUUUAUGAGGGGUCCGGUGGGCAAGCGUGGGGCGGGUCUUGUUGAGUAUAUUGAUUAUUAGGAAAGACGAGAUAGACUAGGAUUUGUUCUGACUUGUCUUGUACUCCAAGUUGAUCAUUGUACUCCUAUAUAUAUGCCCACGAGGCUCACGCAAUACAACAACUAUUCCACCAAAUCACUCUCUCCCUUCUGACAUGGUAUCAGUUUCCGGGUUCUAAACCCUAGUCGCCGCCGCUUCCGCACCCGCGUGCCGCCCCUGGGGCGGUCGGCCUCCAUGACCGCCACCGGGGGCCGCGCCGCUCGUACCUAGGGUUCGUCUGCCGGUCGUAUGGACCGGCUGCCCUAGAGAGUCUUUUCCCCGAGCCCUUGCUCUCGGGUUUUCUCUCUCCCGCCGGUCAUCUUGAUCAGUGUUUUUUACUUUCCAAUCUAAUCUUGAUCAAUUUGCGUCGCCCGCCGCCGCCGUCGACCCCAUGCGCCUCUACUCCAACACCGGCGCGAUCGGUCGGCUUCUUCACCGACCCGGCGGCCUCGUGCAUCGUUCGCGCAUCUGCAGCCGGUUGCCCCGACCCGGCGGCCUCGUGCGCCGUCCGCGCAUCUGCCCGCCGGUCGCCCCGACCUGGAGGCCUCGCGUCAUGCAGCAGUUGUUGGGAUCUACGGUAGGGUGCGUCGACUGCAAAUUAAAAAUUCCUACACGUAGAACAACUAAGAACAUGCUAUGAGAGAUGGAUCACAGUUUGUAACCACUAGACGCACAGUGUCAUGCAGCGGAAGAAGAGUUGGGGCAGCGCUUCCGCGUGGAUCGUCUCCUCCUCGUCCGAUCUCCUUUGAACAGUCGGUCAUCCGAUCCCAUGUACAAGUUCGCCGGAGCGGCGCAAAUGCACCGCCUCUAACGGUAUCCGCGCAAGCAGGAACACCAUGCAGCGGACUGCUAGGUCCGAUCACACAGUCGGCAGCGAGUGGAGGUGGCUAUUCGCAACACAUGCAAACCCUAGUCGCAAUGCUGAAGCGAUCAACCGCAUGAGUGUGCCGCACCUCCACUUUAUAUAGGCGUCCAUCACGGGCUCAACACUUGGGCCUCGCACGUACCCUAAAGCCCAAAAUCUGUUCGGCCGGGAUCCGAGUCCGAGUAGGAUGAUAUCUGACUCGUGGAGUCCGAUCCGGCCUCACAGGUUCCUUCCCUUAAGCACGCGACCCCUUAGGUUCAAGUCAGCUUGGUCGCAGGCCGGAUCACCUCCGACCUGCUCGGCUAGUAGCGGCCUCUAGCAAGGCAUGCCGAGCACCAAGUAGACUAUGAAGCUGGUUAGGCGAACCUGUACAACAUGUCACACUUCUGUUCCCUUCGCCACAUGAUAUAUGUUGUCGGGCUCAAGGCGAGAUUGUCAUCCUUGUGCUAGCCCGAGCUCUUUCUCAUUCCAGUGAUACCAACCACAAACCAGAUUAUCUCAUAAUCCCUGUCGCAUGGCCAUGCUUAUCCUGGUCGGAUCACACGAGGGGCCCAGAGUAUAUCUCUCCUGAUCGGAGGGGCAAAUCCCAUCUUGCUCGACCAUGUCUCGCAGCAUGGGACUGGACAAACCCGAAACCUACCUUUGUAACUACCCAGUCACGGAGUAGCGUUUGGUCGGCCCAAAGCAAGUCUGUCACCAUCCCGAGUACAAGCGUCAGCUCAGGUCUUAGGACAUAGAACUUAUGUGAAAGGACAUUCGGUGCCCCCAUGUGUGGUUUUGGUAAUUGAUGACAUUCUUUAUGGACUAAUGGUUGCAUUGAGUUAUAUUUGAAGGAUUUGUCCAUAGGCAUUUCUUGAAGUCCAUGUGUUGGUUUCAAGGAGUUUAUGUGUUGACCAAGGUGCUAUUAAGGAAUUAUCCAAAGAUUGGUCAUGUGAGUGUUGAGCUUAUUGCAAGCAUGUCUUGAAGAAGAAGAUUGUGUGAUCAUUCAUGUUUACCUUCAAGACAUCAUCCAAACUAAGAGAUUUGGAAAGAUUCAAGGUUGAUCAAGACUAAGUCAAGAGUGAAUCAAGUUGAUCAACUCACAAAGCGUAAAAGAUGUACCGAGAGGGAUCAAGUGAUCCCAUGGUAUGGUAAGUAUUGUCCAUUGCACUUUGUGUACUAACCCAUGGUCUAUGUGAGAGUUCUAUGUGGGGUUAGGUACAAGUCCAUGGGCUUGCGUCAAGAGGAAGAUAUCAUACAACCCAUGGAAAGGAUGACAUCAAGUAGUGAUCGUCAUCAAGAUUGUCAUGUGCAAGUUCAAGUGUAGCAUCACGAAGAGAUCAAGUGCUUGAAGCUUGCCGUCCAUUGUGGUGUCAAUGGACUUGUGAAGAUGUGCCAAAGAGUGGCUCACCCAUAGUGGAGUAUGGGGGAGCAAUCAUCUAGUCUCCAUCGACCCAACGCAAUCAAGAAAGGUGGUCCAUCUUGCGGAGGACAAGAUCGUCAUCAUCUAGCUCAAGUGGAUCAUGUGCAAGGCAAAGGUUUGCCCUUGAUAGGUUUUCUAUUUUACUGGUCUCAUGGUGGUAGUUGGGAGACCGGGUUAUAGGAUCAAUAGUCGUACUAUCAAGGGGGGAUCUCAAGUGAGUAGCUUGAUCGUAUCGUUCGUCAAGAGGUCAAACCAUUGCAUCCUUGCAUCAUGUUUCUUGGUUCUUGUUUGGUUCUCUUUGUGAGUGUCGGUGUCAAAACCGGCGGAUCUCGGGUAGGGGGUCCCGAACUGUGCGUCUAGGCGGAUGGUAACAGGAGACGAGGGGCACGAUGUUUUUACCCAGGUUCGGGCCCUCUUGAUGGAGGUAAAACCCUACGUCCUGCUUGAUUAUUAUUGAUGAUGUGGGUUACAAGAGUAGAUCUACCACGAGAUCAAGGAGGCUAAACCCUAGAAGCUAGCCUAUGGUAUGAUUGUUGUCCGUCCUAUGGACUAAGGCCAUCCGGUUUAUAUAGACACCGGAGAGGGCUAGGGUUACACAGAGUCAGUUACAAUGGUAGGAGAUGUACAUAUCCGUAUCACCAAGCUUGCCUUCCACGCCAAGGAAAGUCCCAUCCGGACACGGGACGAAGUCUUCAAUCUUGUAUCUUCAUAGUCUUGGAGUCCGGCCGAUGAUGAUAGUUCGGCUAUCCGGACACCCCCUAGUCGGAACUCCCUCAGUAGCCCCUGAACCAGGCUUCAAUGACGACGAGUCCGGCGCGCAUGUUGUCUUCGGCAUUGCAAGGCGGGUUCCUCCUCCGAAUAAUUUAUAGAAGAUUGUGAACACCAGGAUAGUGUCCGACUCUGCAAAAUAAAUUCCACAUACAACCGUAGAGAGAAUAAUAUUACACAAGUUCAAUCUGCUGACUAUUUUGUGGCGUAACGUCGCACCACUACCAAGCCCUCGAAUUGUUUUUAUUGCUCCAUCUCGGCGCGUUUAGCGAGGUGGUUUCCUUGGCACGUCUUGUCGAAGCAGAGAUCGUGUUCCCCUUAUUCCAGGAUUCCCAUCACUACGGACGUGGGUAACCCAACCGCGCCCGUUGCCACGCCCCCUCCAUCGAAGGCGGGUUCCAAACGGUCACGGGGACGGCUCUUGGUAUUCUUCCUCUUUAUAAUGAGACCAAGGCCCGUUCUUUUUAUUCAAUCCUCUAUCGAAUCCGCCCCUCUCCCCGAGUUCCAACACCCAGGGCUCCGAAUUCAGGUACCUUCAAUCCUCGACAAUGUCCGGUCCUGAUCUAUGAGGCCGGUGGAUGCCCUCCUCCGUCACGGAGGAGGACGUGCUAAAGCUAAGAGAUGUCAGGUAUUUAACCUACGAGAUUUCGCAUAGGCUGCCUGCCCGAGGGCAAGUUAUCCCAACUCCCGAGCCUGGCGAGAUCGUCGUGUUCAUGUCUCACUUCCGUCGGGGUUUAGGCUUCCCGACGGAUCCCUUCAUGAGGGGGCUCAUGUUUUACUAUGGGCUGGAAUUCCACGACCUGGCUCCGGAGUCCAUCCUCCAUAUCUCAUCAUUCAUUGUCGUUUGUGAAGCCUUCCUCCGCACUACCCCUCACUUCAGCUUAUGGCUCAAAACCUUCACCGUGGAGCCGAAGAUGAUUGAGGGGCGUCAGGCAGAGUGCGGCGGGGUGGUUAUAAGCAAGAGGGCCGAAGCUCCAUGGCCCAAGGGCUCUUUCCAAGAGGAGCUCGGCUUGUGGCAACAGGAGUGGUUUUAUAUCACCGCUCCCCGGGGCAGCAGGCAGAAGCCGCCGCCCGUCUUUCGCUCGGGCCCUCCACAACAGCUGACAUCAUGGGUCAACAAGGGGCGUGACUGGGGGCCGCCCAAAGACGUCCCCCUGUUGCAGGACCGGAUUCGAGUCCUCCAAGAAAGGGAGAUCAAUCUGGUCGCAGUGGUGCAGGUCAUGUUGAUCCGACGCCUACUGCCCUGCAAGCGUCGCCCCCUCCGCCUGUGGGAAUUUAAUCCGGAGGGGCCGCGAGCUCUUCAACACUUCAUGGGUUUGACUCCCCUGGAGAUGUAUAAACUGUUCUUUGGAUCGCAAGAGACGCAUCCAGAAUUGACCGAGGACGCUGGCCUAAGCUGCAAUCGCCCGGAUACUCAAGUAGCCCUGUGUCCGGACACACCAUUCAUUUAUUUAUCAUGAGCUUGCCUUUUAACCAGCUAUCCCUGGACAGGAGUGGAUAGCGCAAGCAAAACUGAUACGGUGUCCGACCCCCCUCCCUGAGACCACGCAGGAUCCCGUGUUAAUCAAAAUGUUGGAGGUUGCACCUUCAAAUGAGGGUGAAGGGGGGCACGGGGAAACUGUCACCUCUGCCAAGGAGGCGUUUAGUAAGGGAGGAAUCGAGAGUCCCUCCUUUCAGGGGGAGAAGCGGAACGCUUCCGAAGACCCGGAGGCCAAGGCCUCAAAGCGGGGAAAGAAAUCUGUACCGGAAGGUCCUGCACCAGAAAGCGCCCCGGCCGUACUGUCUCCUCGGAGGAAUCAUCCCUCUAAUGAGCCGUAAGUAAAAAGGGGGAUUUUAUAAUUAUUAGACACCCCUGCUUAAUGUCUAAAGGUAACCGAAGUUUUUACCUUGUAGUUCGGAUCUCAGCCCAUCUCAGCACAGCUCAUCUUCGGGAGACCUUCGUCCGGAGAUGAUGGAGAGCGAAACGCCUCCAUCUGCCGCCCCAUCGCACGGGGCGGACGACCCUGAGGUGUCGUCGCGGAGGGUCUCCCUGAGUCCGGCGGGGCCGGAGAGUUCGGCACCCAUUGGAGUACGGCCGGUGGAGCUGCAGGAUUUGCUUAAGAGGGCGUCCAUCUCAGAAGAUCACCACACAUUAAUGGGUAAUGUGAUUGAGAGGAUCUCGUCUGCCGAAAGCGGGUUGUAUGAGGCCGUCAGAAGUUUACUGACAGGAUUUGAGGUACGCAAAAAAUGACAUACCUGUUGACAGUUUUGCACAUGAAGUGCGCCCUGUAUAGUAGCCCCUGAGACUUGGUAUGCUGCCGAAAACGGCAGCGUGCCUAGGAUCAUAAUCUUAGUUAUUAACUGUCGCCUUUCCUAUGCAGGUGGCGGAACGUUUGGUGGCCAGCCGGACGGAUGGAUUCGCCGAGCUGAAGAAGCAACUCGACGCUGCAGAUGCGGAUAUCUCGCUGGUCAAUAAACGACUUGAUGAGUCGCAAGGUAUGUGAUUGCGCCGCGGUCGCUUAGUAAGGGAGCUGAUGCCCAUUCCUUACAAGUUGUAUGCUUGAUGCAGAUGGUGCUGCUGUUGUGGAAGACCUUCGAGCAGAACUUGCUCGGGCCAAGGAGCAAGCCAGAAAAAGUGAGGCGGCUGCCUUGAAGGCAGCGGAAGAGCUAGAAGCCGAGAAGGCUGCUCACUGCCGAAGUAGGGAGGAGAUGGCCGGAAUGGCCAUCAAAUUAAAAGUUGCUACCGACCGCCUGGAGGUUCUUGAAGGAGAACGCCGAGCGGAGCAAGAGGACCUGAAGAAGGCCGAUGCCGAAGCCAAGGAUGCCCGCAGUGCGAUGCGGGCUAUGAAGGAGGAACUGCGUCAGGUCGGAGACAUUGUGGCUGGAAAGCCCUUUAUGCUGCGUAGGAAGUUCACGGAUCCGAAGUAUGCUCAGUUGGACCAAUUGUACGGUGCGGAGGAUCCUUAUCUGGACUUGGCGGCGAGUGCGGCUGACGCAGUCAUGCACUUUCGAAGCUAGGAGGAUCAUGAAAUGGAAGAGCUUUUCUGGUCUCAAUUCCAUAGUCCGGAGCGUCCACUUCCGUUGAGUGAUCGGCUGGUUGAGUGGGCUGAGCUGAGUAGAUUGUCCGGACUGGCCAUGACGGAUGUGGUAACUCAUCUGUGGCCGAAAAGGCCCAAGCCGAAGAGUUAUUUUGGCUUGUUGCAGCAAUUCCUUGGGGCAGUGCCGCAUAUUAAGGCGAUGAAGCGGUCGGCAUGCAUAGAAGGUGCGCGGAUGGCUCUCGCCCGUGGUAAAACAUACUGGGCGGAGAUGGAUGCCACCGCUGUUGCAUCCCGGGGUUCGGACAGAAGCCGAUUCCCCACCGAGCAUUACUUUGAGGAAGUCCUGCAGGGCGCUCGUAUAAUAGAGUCGCAGUGCUCGAAAGAUGUUAUGUUUGAAUGACAUGUAUGAUUUCUAAGGUCAUGUUUACAAUGCAAUGACUUUUUAUACUUCUGUGUUCAAGUAUUGAACUAUCUCCUGUGCGGCCGUAUAUGUAUGUAUAAUCUAAAAGAUGGCAGUCUUUGGCUUCAGCCCCCACGCACAUGGUGCGGGGGUGUUUGCAAAAAGAAAAACACUUUUUCACACUUAAUCCAACGUCUUGGUCCUUUUAAGGAGGUGAUAGCAUAGCAAACUAGGCAACCGGACUAUAAUGCUUUAUCACUUUCACCUAGCCAUAGGAGCUCGAAUGUGGGGCUACGAUAUAGCCCCUGAUGGCACCGCGCUUCUCCGAAGUUGGGGCGCGUAUGUGCCUGAUCGGGAAGCGGUCCUUCGUCAAAGUGGAGGAAUUCUAAACAUUCCAAUGGUCGAUCGAGUGGUUGACCAGUCUCUCGCUAUAUCAUGACAGUCAGUUUUCGGCUUUCUCUACUGAGGUGCUCUCCCGGCCGAACCGGGGCACAAUCGCAGUAGUUCUCCUGGUGCCGCGUUAGCCGAUGAUACGGAACGUAAGGCAGCAAAACUCAGGAGCCGGGCAAACCCAACAUUUGACCAAAGACAUGAUUCGGAGCUGAUGCAUAUAAGGCAUAACUCGAGACGCCGAACACUCCCUGAGGUGUUCGGUCUUUAUGAUAUCGGGCAGAAUAAAAGCCCUAAGCCCCUAGUGUCCAGGUACAGGCGGGAACUUCUGACGCGGCCGAUGCCAAAAUGCCAGCCUCCUCCUCCGCUCUGGUAAGAAACCGGGGGAUGUGUAUCAACAAGAGGCAGUGAGAAAGGUUUACGCAGGGUCUUAAUCUGAAAAGAAUCCUUGCAACGGGUCCCUACUGCACGUCUGCGCCUGUGUCUCCGUUGUGCUGUAUUCUAGACGGGCGUAGCACGUGCUUCAUCUGUAAAAGAGAAGGACUUAGUUUCUAAGAAAUAUCGUGCAAAAAGUGUAUCAAAAUAAAGUAUAAUUUGGAAGAUGAAAAAAGUUGAGCUUUAUUAGCUUUCAUCAUUUAUGCGCGCGGCCCCCCUAAAAAAGGGGUAUGCGGCUGAGAAGCCCCUUGUUAAGUUACGCCGGACUCGUCUAACCAUGUCCGAGGUCUAAAUGACCUGUUUUUAGGGGCUUUGACCUGCAAGGUCGGAAUAUUGUGUGGCUGUCUAGGCAGCCGCACAUUCUCCAUGGUCGAGAGACACGUGGAGUUUUAGGAAUAUGCCACGUGGACGGGGCUGUUUGAAGCGUAAGAGACGCAUAAUGUGGUAUUGCAUUAAAGCGCGCGAAAGUUGCACGCCCCAGUAGUGCUUAAGGGCUACUGCUAAAUGGGGCGAUGGAGGGUGAGCUUUUCGCGACGGAGGUUGUCGGAUGGACCGAACACGACCCCUAGUGGUACAGAGCCUGUAAAAUUAGCUAAAAAGGCAUGGCGUCACUCCUUUGAAGGAAGUGCUUGCUAUGGCGAAUUUUGGUGGGUUCUAUCCCCAGUCUGCGGACGGUGUCCUGGUAUAGCAGGGGCCGCGCUGCGUGUUAUCACGUGAAGUGAGUUCACUGUUUUGACUUCUAAUGGGAAAGUCUUUUGGUUUCCGGAGCGCUGCUUUUGGUUUCGUCACUUUCACUUGGUGUGUCGAGCCCUUUGUGUUCGGCGUUAAGUCGGCCGGACUGCUUGAAGACCCAGCAAUCUCUGUGGGUAUGGUUUGCAGGCUUCCCGGAGGUACCGUGUAUUUGACACAGUCUAUCCAGAAUCUUGUUGAGGUUGGAUAGCUCGUCACUGUUAUCCUUUAAGGGCAGUGUUUUGUUGUUCGGCCGAGAGCUUUUGAAUCCGGCGUUGACCGCCGUACUAUUUGGGCCAUUCUCCUUGUUCCGGCGCUGAUCUUUUUUGCGUCGUGAUUUCCCAUUUCCAUCCCUGAUUUCGGAUGUACUCGGGUCGCUGGUGCUGCAUCUAGCCAACCAGUUGUCUUCCCCCGCGCAAAAGCGGGUCAUGAGACUUGUUAGUGCGGCCAUUGUUCUUGGUUUUUCCUGGCCGAGGUGUCUGGCGAGCCAUUCGUCUCGGACGUUGUGUUUGAAGGCUGCUAAGGCUUCAGCGUCCGGACAGUCGACUAUUUGGUUCUUUUUAGUGAGGAACCUGUUCCAGAAUUUGUGUGCUGAUUCUCCGGGCUGUUGAGUUAUGUGACUUAAAUCAUCUGCAUCUGGAGGCCGGACAUAAGUCCCCUGAAAAUUUGCUCGAAACGCAUCCUCAAGCUCUUCCCAACUCCCAAUCGUAUUUUUUGGGAGGCUUUUAAGCCAAUGCCGGGGCGGCCCUUUGAGCUUGAGGGGAAGGUAUUUUAUGGCAUGGAGAUCGUCUCCUCUUGCCAUGUGUAUGUGUAGGAUAUAAUCCUCAAUCCAGACUCCGGGGUCUGUUGUUCCGUCGCAUGCCUCUAUGUUUAUGGGUUUAAAUCCCGCUGGAAAUCCAUGAUCUAGUACCUCGUCGGUAAAACAUAGUGGGUGUGCGGCGCCCCUGUAUAUGGGUGUGCCGUUGUCUUCAACUGCUCGGCUGGUUGUGUUACUUCCUAGAGUCUUCUUUUUUGGCCCAUAGAUAGACCUGGCCGGGUUAUCCUUUUUCUGAAGAUCUUUAUGCUGAUCAUGUGUCGGCUUGUGUGUGGCGCCCCAUGUUGCUCUUGGCCUGUUAUCUGGUCGUCUAUCCGGCCAGGCGGCCCCUUUAUUUUUUGACUGCGGGGGCUCGAAGGCCUCCUCGUCAAAUUCGGGCGACAGCUUGCGCUUCGGGUAGCUCUUUGUUUGGUGACUAGUGCCAUAUUUAUCUGCGGGGUUGAGUACUUUGCUCCAUCUCCUUCUGAGUGUGUCUUCCGUUGUUCUGAGCUUCCGCUUUUGCUUCUUCGAACUUCUUGCAGUGGCGACGAGCCUGUUAUGGAGAUUCCUAUGCUCUGGUGAUGUGAGAUCAUCUUCGCUGAGGAUGGGUUGCUUGUCCGGUUCCUGUCCGGCUGGCCACUUGUUGACGUGUGCGUCGUCCACUGCUUCGCCCUGCUCUAGGGCCGGGUCCAUAUGGGUACCGUUUUUGUCGAUGCCGGUCUUCGGGCGGCGCUUGCGUCGCCGCUUUGUUUGUUUGUUGCGGGAGUUGUCCUUCGCCACGUCCCGUUUUUCCUCAUUGUCGCUUCCUUUUGGUGUGUACACCAUGUAUACGUUGUGAGCUGGGGUGGCUUUUCCGUGCCCGUUAGGCGCUGGUUCUUGGUCAUCUCCGGCAUCGUCGUCCAUACCGUUGAUGUCUUCGGAGUCGUAAUCUAGCAUGUCGGUUAGAUCGUCGACAGCGGCUACCAAGUGGGUGGUGGGUGGGCUUUGAAUUUGUUCGUCGUCCGCAUCCCAACCUUCCUGACCGCAGUCCGGCCAGGGCUCUCCUGAUAACGAGAGAUACUUUAGCGAACUCAAGAUGUCGCCGAAAGGUGUGUGUUGAAAGAUGUCCGCUGCGGUGAAUUCCAUGAUCGGCGCCCAAUCAGAUUCGAUCGGGGAGGGCGCGAGGGGUUCGGAGUCCGGCGAGGAGUCCGGCACCUCAAAGUCACAAGCUUUAUGAGGGACAAAGUCAGUGUUCGGCUCUAUCGCCAUAGAGGUUGCAGCCCCCAAGGCGGUGUCUAGCCAUCCGUCCUCGAUCUGCACAGCCGGCUCCGAAUUGAAGAUCGGAGCGCGUUCGAGUGCGGCCUCCAGGGUAUUGUCCGGCUGCAGAGCUAAAUCAUGCUCGCCAUGACGGUGCGGCACGCUCGGCUGUGGCUCGAAUCCAUUGAGGAUCAAGUCCCCACGGAUGUCAGCCGCGAAGUUCAAACUUCCAAAUCUGACCUGACGGCCAGGGGCGUAGCUUUCGAUCUGCUCCAGGUGGCCAAGCGAAUUGGCGCAUAGUGCGAAGCCGCCGAAUACGAAGAUCUGUCCGGGGAGGAAAGUCUCACCCUGGACGGCGUCGUUGAUGAUGAUCAAAGAAGCCAUCGAGCCUAUCGGUGACGACACAGAGGAACUCUCAAUGAAAGCACCAAUGUCGGUGUCAAAACCGACGGAUCUCGGGUAGGGGGUCCCGAACUGUGCGUCUAGGUGGAUGGUAACAGGAGACGAGGGACACGAUGUUUUUACCCAGGUUCGGGCCCUCUUGAUGGAGGUAAAACCCUACGUCCUGCUUGAUUAAUAUUGAUAAUGUGGGUUACAAGAGUAGAUCUACCACGAGAUCAAGGAGGCUAAACCCUAGAAGCUAGCCUAUGGUAUGAUUGUUGUCCGUCCUAUGGACUAAGGCCAUCCGGUUUAUAUAGACACCGGAGAGGGCUAGGGUUACACAGAGUCGGUUACAAUGGUAGGAGAUCUACAUAUCCGUAUCGCCAAGCUUGCCUUCCACGCCAAGGGAAGUCCCAUCCGGACACGGGACGAAGUCUUCAAUCUUGUAUCUUCGUAGUCUUGGUGUCCGGCCGAUGAUGAUAGUUCGGCUAUCCGGACACCCCCUAGUCCGGAACUCCCUCAAUGAGUCUUAGACCUUAUGUUCAACUUCAUGACAAGCUUGAGUUCAUCGAAAACGGAGUUUGCAUGCGUCUUCUAUGAUGUUUUCGGUGUUGGAGGUUUUACCGGUCUUUUCCGAGGAAGAGUUCUCACCAUUUUCUUUUGGGCCUUUUCUCAUUUGCUUAUUAUUGUUAUUUCUAUCAAGAUUGUGUUAGCCCUUGUCGCUAGCUUUCCAACAAACUUGGUUUCGUCGAAUUCGGAGUCCGAAUGCAGAAGUUGUGGUAGUUUUGGUGUUCUGAAAAGGCUGCAGCGGUACUACCGCGGGUAGGAGCGGAAGUAAUUUUUUACUACCGCCCUUGGGAGCAGUACUACCGCUUGGAGCAGUACUACCGCGCCUACUUCCGUGGCUACUUCCGCACGGGACCAAAAACUCGUCACAAGUCCAGCGGUGGUAGGCACGGAUGUAAUUUUUUAGUACCACUCGCAAGCAGUAGUACCGCUACCCCUAUCGGUAGUACCGUGAUGUCAAGCGGUACUACCGCUCGGUGCGGGCUGUGAGCAUAACGGUUGGAUUUUUCCCCACCUAUAAAAGGGGGUCUUCUUCCCCAUUGAACCCUAUCCUUUGAGCUCGUGUUCUUCCCCCAUUGUUGACCUUCUUCGAGCUUGCUAACUCUCAAUCCCUCCAUGGAUUCUUGCUAGUUUUUGAGGGAAAAGAGAGAGGAGAUCUAGAUCCAGAUUUCCACCAAUCACUUUCUCCUCUAUGUGAGGGGAACCCCUUGGAUCUAGUUCUUGGAGUUCUUAGUGUUCUCCUUCUUGUUCUUCCUCUUAUUUUCCUCCCUAGCAUUAGUUGCUUCGGUGGGAUUUGAGAGAGAAGGAGUUGGGCACUCCGUGUGCCCUUGCCAUUGCAUUUGGUGCAUCGGUUUGAGUUCUCCACGAUGAUACGUGGAAGUUACAAGUUGAGAAGCUUAUUACUCUUGGGUGCUUGGUACCCUUGAGCUUGUUCCUCUUGGGUGCUUGGGCGCCCUAGACGGUUGGUGGUGUUCGGAGCUCAAUCAUUGUGGUGUAAAGCUCCGGGCAAGCGUCGGGGUCUCCAAUUAGGUUGUGGAGAUCGCCCCGAGCAAUUUGACGGGUACUGGUGACCGCCCCCAAGGGUUGCCAAAGUGUACGGGUUCGGUGACCGCCCCCAAGGGUUGCCAUUUGUACGGGUUCGGUGACCGCCCUCAAGGGUCCCUUAGUGGAAUCACGGCAUCUUGCAUUGUGCGAGGGCGUGAGGAGAUUACGGUGGCCCUAGUGGCUUCUUGGGGAGCAUUGUGCCUCCACACCGCUCCAAAUGGAGAUUAGCAUCCGCAAGGGUGUGAACUUCGGAAUACAUCAUCGUCUCCGCGUGCCUCGGUUAUCUCUUACCCGAGCCCUUUACUUAUGCACUUUACUUUGUGAUAGCCAUAUUGUUUCUUGUCAUAUAUCUUGCUAUCACCUAAGUAGUUUUUCUUGCUUAGCAUAAGUUGUUGGUGCACAUAGGUGAGCCUAGUUGUUGUAGGUUUUGUGCUUGACAAAUUAACCGCUAGGUUUAUUCCGCAUUUGUUCAAGCCUCAACCGUAAUUAUUUUAAAGCGCCUAUUCCCCCCCCCCCUUCUAGGCGACAUCCACGAUCUUUCAAUUGGUAUCAGAGCCUCGUCUCUCUUUGUUGGGCUUAACCGCCUAGAGAGUAAAGAUGUCGACUAGAGGAUUAGGAUUCUCUGACACUCUUAGUUUCGAUGGCACAAAUUUUGAUGUUUGGGUAAUUCGCAUGCUUAAUCUCUUUAGGGUCAUGGACCCAAAUUUAGAGCGAAUUGUAGAUAUGGGUUUUUCUCCUCCAAAGGAUCCCCAAAGAUUAUCUUUAGAGGAUGAGAAAAACUCUUAUCUCAAUGCUCAAGCCUCUAAUGUGCUUUUCGAUGCUUUGAGCAAUGUAGUUAUAUUUCAACUCAUGCCGUUCCGGGAUGCUCAUGAGUUAUGGACAAAGCUUCAAGAUAAAUAUGGUGUGUCCAAGAUUUGUGGGGAUGGUUGUUCUCCCUCCACCUCCGGUCAUAUAGUCUUCUCAACUUCUUCUACUUCACCUACAUGUGGUUUGCCACAAGGUAAUGAUAUGGUGAGUAGUGUUGGUCAUUGCAAUGAUAAUAGUAUGCUUAUUGUGGAUGAUCCUUCAUCACUAUAUUUUUGCAAUGCUCCCUCUUUGGGCUUUAACACUUCGAGCACUCCAAAUGUUUCACAUGUUUGUGUUGAUAGUCCUUGCAUAUCAUGUAGAAAUUGCUUGAUUAAAUAUCAUGAUGAUAUGCUUGCUAUGUUUUGUUGCCAUGAUAAAAAUGCAUCUAUUUCCUCGAAUUGUUGUGCUAACAAUGUAGAGGAAACCAAACACUCCAUGGAACAAGAUGUGGUGUUUAAUGGUGCCUCAAGGGAUCCUACAUCAUCAUCUAUUGCGUUUUGCCUUAUGGCUAAGGCGUCAAAGGUAUCUCCUACUUUGUACCCCAAUAUGUCUCUUGAUGAUGAUGUUGAUGCUAAUGAUGAUGAGGAUAAUGAUGAAGAGAAUGAUAAUGUUGCCUCCUUAAAAAUUAAGGGGGAAAUGGUUUUUAAAGCUCUUCAUAAAAAUAAAUUUGCUCGUUCCAACUUCAUGGAAAUUAUGUCCAUUGCUAUUGAGAGCAAGAAAUAUAUUGAUGAGUUGGAAACUCGUCUUGAGGAGCAUGAGGUCACCAUUGAUAAAAUGGAAGGUCAUGGGCGUGAUUACGCUAAUGAGAUUGCGGACCUCUCUCAAGCUCUUGAACUUGAACAAACCACCAAGGAAUCUCUUGAGGAGACGUUUGCUCUAGAAUUGUCUAGAGUGAAGGAAUCUACUGAUAGAGCUCUUGAGGUGGCCAAUGUUUUUGAAACUAAAAAUGCUAAGCUUGAAGUUGCUCAUGCUAGACUCCUUGAGGAUUUUGAGCACCUCAAAAAUGGCUCAAGGGUCAUCAAGGGUGAGCUCAUCAAACUCACCGAGUCUCAUGCUCAACUUGAAGCUUCUUAUUUAAAAGAGCUUGCCAAGUUGCCUUCUCCUCUUGUUGUUAAUGAUGAUGCUUGUGCUACUAAUUCUAAUACUUGUGAAGCAUCCAUUUUGAAGGAGAAUGUUGAGCUACGGGCUCAACUUGAGUUGCUAUCUAGCAAUUAUGGGAAAUUGGAAGAAAGCCAUGAAAAGCUCUCAAGCUCUCAUGACGAUCUUCUAGUAUCCCAUAAUGUGCUAAAGAUAGCUCAUGAGGCCAUGAUUGCUAAGGUAACAUCUAGUGAGCCUCAUGUUGAUACUAGCACCACUUCUAGUCAAAAUACUAUAUUGCCAUGUGCUAGUCCUUCUAAUUCAUCUACUCACAAUGUUGGUACAUCUUGUGAUGAAUUGCUUUCCUUGCCUUGUUGCUCUAACGAUGAAGCUUAUACUUCCUCUAGUACUUGUGUUGAGACUAACCAUGUAGAGGAAAUCAAAGAGCUCAAGGCCCAAGUCACUUCUUUGAAGAAAGACUUGGAAAAGAGUCAUGAAGGGAAAUCCACACUCAACAAUAUAUUGAGUGUGCAAAAAUCUCCCAAUGACAAAGGUGGACUUGGAUUCAACUCCAAUAAUAAUAAGAAGAAGUCCAAGAGCAACAAGAAGAAGGGCCAAAAACAAGUCAAGAAUUCGGCCAAGAUUAUUUGCUUCAAGUGCAAAAUUGAAGGGCAUCAUGUUAGAUAUUGCCCAUUGAAGAAGAAUGCCAUUGGUAACAAGCAACAAGGCAAGAGGCCACAAGUUCAAUCUCAUGCUCAACCUCAAGUUGAAGAAAGGCCACUUCCCAAGAAGACUCAAGUUAAUGCCUCUCUUGUUGAGAAAUCAAGUGAGAAGAAAAUGAAGAGUAGACGUUGCUACUUAUGUCGUGAGAAAGGUCACCUCGCUUCUUCAUGCACUAGUGGUAACUUAUCCAACCCAAUUAUUAUUGAUGAUAUCUAUUCUCUUGGGAAGGAUAAGGUUGGCAAUGUGUUUGCCAAGUUUGUUGGUACUCAAAGUGGUGUCAAGAAAAGAACCAUUUGGGUUGCCAAGCCUAUUGUGACUAACUUCUUAGGACCCAACUUGGUUGGGGACCAACAAGCUCAAACUUGAUCAAUAGGUGUUGUUGGAGGGCAUUGGAGACUUGGCUACAUUAUGAAGAAUUAAGGGGACUUCAUCUUUCUUGUUGUCUCAAGCCAAGUCAAUUGGGUUGUCAAGUUUCUAUCUUAUAUCCAAUAUGCCUCCUUGCGGUAACUUGUACUUAAAUUGUUUACAUUGAAAGUUACUUGCCCCUUUGCAUGAUUUGGUUUUGUUCCUUGCAUGUGUUUGUAUAUGAUGUGUCUCCAAAUUGCCGUUGUGUAUGUUGGUUUACACAUCAUGUACUUGUGUGUUGUUCAUUGAGCCUUAGUGCAUCUUGUUUAUUUCUUAGUUGGCUCUUGUGAGAGAUUAAUGGAAUAUCCAUUAUGGGGGAGUGGUGUGCUUUGUGCACCUCACAAUCCUAUAAAUGUGUGCACACGAGUAAUACCAUCUAGUAUUGAUAUUUCAAGAUUAUCUAGUCGCUAGGUGGUAUAUCUCUCAUGAGAAAUUCAAAUUCUAAAAAUUCCAUUGAUUAUCGCGUGUUGGAUCCUCUUAUUGCCUCUUGUUAAGUUUUCUUCAUUGGUAUCACAUUAUGGGGGAGUAAUAUGCUAUGUAUAUUACUAGCCUAGAAAAUGUGUACAUUUGAGAUGUUGUCACCUAGUGUUGAUAUUGUAGAUUAUCUUGUUCCUAGGUGGCAUGUUAGCUCUACAAGUUGCAAUUUGCUUGUGUGUGGUGUGAAGAUGAUGUUGGAUAUCCUUGCUAUCUACCACCGGGAAUUCUUUCCAUCUACUUCUUGUCUUUUGACAAUUGGUAGUCAUUUAUGUGUGGUAGAAUUUAUUGAUCAUAUUUACAUUGGCUUUUGUUUUACUUGCCUUUUCUCUUGCCAAGGAUUGUGUCAACUCCCGUUGUCUUCCAUACCACUUGUGGAUCUUGUUUAUUUCUAGUUCUUGUCUAGUGUUUUCUGGAUAUAGUGAAAGCAGUGAUCCCACCUUGUGCAUUUUGUAUUCAAAUACAAAUCCUAUAUAAUGCACAACUCGUGGGGGAGCUAUUAUAUUUUCUUCACUCUUCUUGUGAUCCUUAUCAAGUGUGUUUUGGUGGAAGGCAAGCCAUUUCUUUUUGGUACUUUGUGCCAUCAUGAUACUUUGUUGAGAGCUUGGUAUGUUUGGAACCAUCCUCUCUUUGGGAGUUUGACAUCUUUAGUUUAGUGUGUAUCAAUGGAUAUCUCAUUCCUUGAUGUAUCUUUAAUGAUAUCUUCCAAGUGAUGAUUUCUCCAUUUGGUAUCCUUUUCACUUGGCAUUUCUUUGUCUUUUGGUUUCGGGUUUUGAAAUUCUUGAGCAUGCAUGUUUACUUCAUGUAUUUCAUUUGGCAUGCUUUCUUUCUUUGACUCAAUAUAUAGGGGAAACUCCACCUACUCUCAAUUUGGAUGAGAUGUGCAUGAAAUUCAUUUUCAUAUCUAUAUGCACAUAUUUAUGUGGAGUUUGUCCUAUGUAUUGGUGUUUCUAACUAUUUGGUCCCGAUGAGUUUGGGUACCGUUUAGUUUGUGUUGUUCUUCUAGGAACAUUUGGAGAUGCAUUGGAUGCUCGGCUCACUCACAAAGGUGUUGUCACCAUGUGCAUAUUGGAGUCAAGCUAGGAUGAUCAAUGAACUACUAUCUACCUUCAAUUGGUAUCUACUACAUCCUUUCAAUGAUAUCUCGGUAACAAGUAUCUAUUCAUGCUUUCCCCUCUUGCAUUCAACCUUGUGUAGGUUGUAUCUUGGCAUGAUAUUCAUUUCAUAUCUUGUGAUACUUGUUUCCUUUCUCAAAGCAUCCCAACGAUGAUCUCUGUUGCUAGUUAUGAUGCCCUUGAUGGAUGUGUGUUUGGACUUCAUUUAUAUACAAUAAGACCAUAUCUAGCCAAGUUCUAUGCUUUCAAGCAAAUAUCUUAUUGGUAUAUUUAUGACUUCCUUAUGGAUAUCUUGUUCCUUCGUGUUGUAACUAUUUCGGGUGUACAUUCUUCUUUGUGGAUAUAUAUAUCAUCAUGAUUUCGUCUACAUAGAACCUUAUACACUUGAGAGAAAUUACAUCUCUAGUUGAUAUCCUUUCUUUCAUGUCCACCUUGUCUUUCUUAUGUUAUUUCUUUGGUGUCUCCGUGAAAGCUUUUGCCUUGAGUGUGUGUCCUCUAUCGUUGCAUCUUGAUGCACUCUUGUGUGGUGAAGAUUAUUUUCCUCAUGCUUAUCUUUACGAGGCUUUUGCCAUCUUAAUUGGUAUCCCUCGUCUUGAUGAGGCUUUCAUCUUCUAUCUUCACCACGGGUUGUCACAAGUAUAUGUUCUUUAUAUGCUUAUUAGUAAGCUUGUGAACCCAUUUGCUAGUUGUGUGUGGGAAUGAUAGGCCUUGCACCGUGUGCCUCUUUCUUUCAAGACUUUAUUGAUGCUUAAUGCUCAUCCGUACAUUAGUCUUCUCAAGUGCAUUGCCUUGACUCACACACAUCAUUUUGGUUGAGCCCAUUCUUAAGUUGCCUCUUUUACUUGUUGCUCAACCAUGUGUUUGUUGCAAGUACUAGGCUUUGUUUUCUAUAUGCUCACUUGCACUUGUUGUAAGUUUCUAUUGAUUUUAGGGGAGCUAUGAUCCUAUUUUGUGCACUUUGUAUCCAAAUACAAAUAUUCUUAUGUGUGCACAAAUCACGGGGAGCUUCUCUAGUUUCUUUAGAACACUCCUUUGCCCAUAUCAUAAUAUCCUUUAUUCAUGUGGCUCGUAGGAUCUUUGGUCUAGUUGUUUCAAUUGAUAUCCUUUGAUUGCUUGCUUCAAUUGGUAUCUUUUGAUUGCUUGUGUCUCUCUUUGUUAUGUCUUUGUGGCAUAUCUUUCUGUUGCAAUCUUUGGGCCUCAAUAUAGUUUGUCUUCCUCCAAGUACUGACAGUUGGAUAUGUAUAUGGCAUUCCACUCUCUUGUUGAGAAAUACACAACUUUUGGAGGAACACAUUUUAUAUUGGUCUUCUUAGCUUUUCGUUCAUUUUGGCAAUCGAUGCCAAUGGGGGAGAAGUUUCAGAGAGUUUUGUGGAGAAGCCUUCAGAGUUUUCUCCUCUUUGGUUUUGUUCCUAAGCAUUUGCAUCUCAUACGCAUGCAUUAUUGGUUGUUGCAUUGCAUGGUGAUGCAUAAUUCCAUAUAUAAACUCUCUUGAAAGUGAUUGUCAUCAAUUACCAAAAUGGUGGAGAUUGAAAGGACAUGCGGUGCCCCCAUGUGUGGUUUUGGUAAUUGAUGACAUUCUUUAUGGACUAAUGGUUGCAUUGAGUUAUAUUUGAAGGAUUUGUCCAUAGGCAUUUCUUGAAGUCCAUGUGUUGGUUUCAAGGAGUUUAUGUGUUGACCAAGGUGCUAUUAAGGAAUUAUCCAAAGAUUGGUCAUGUGAGUGUUGAGCUUAUUGCAAGCAUGUCUUGAAGAAGAAGAUUGUGUGAUCAUUCAUGUUUACCUUCAAGACAUCAUCCAAACUAAGAGAUUUGGAAAGAUUCAAGGUUGAUCAAGACUAAGUCAAGAAUGAAUCAAGUUGAUCAACUCACAAAGCGUAAAAGAUGUACCGAGAGGGAUCAAGUGAUCCCAUGGUAUGGUAAGUAUUGUCCAUUGCACUUUGUGUACUAACCCAUGGUCUAUGUGAGAGUUCUAUGUGGGGUUAGAUACAUGUCCAUGGGCUUGCGUCAAGAGAAAGAUAUCAUACAACCCAUGGAAAGGAUGACAUCAAGUAGUGAUCGUCAUCAAGAUUGUCAUGUGCAAGUUCAAGUGUAGCAUCACGAAGAGAUCAAGUGCUUGAAGCUUGCCAUCCAUUGUGGUGUCAAUGGACUUGUGAAGAUGUGCCAAAGAGUGGCUCACCCAUAGUGGAGUAUGGGGGAGCAACCAUCUAGCCCCAUCGACCCAACGCAAUCAAGAAAGGUGGUCCAUCUUGCGGAGGACAAGAUCGUCAUCAUCUAGCUCAAGUGGAUCAUGUGCAAGGCAAAGGUUUGCCCUUGAUAGGUUUUCUAUUUUACUGGUCUCAUGGUGGUAGUUGGGAGACCGGGUUAUAGGAUCAAUAACCGUACUAUCAAGGGGGGCUCUCAAGUGAGUAGCUUGAUCGUAUCGUUCGUCGAGAGCUCAAACCAUUGCAUCCUUGCAUCAUGUUUCUUGGUUCUUGUUUGGUUCUCUUUGUGAGUCUUAGAGCUUAUGGUCAUCUUGAUGACAAGCUUGAGUUCAUUGAAAACGGAGUUUGCAUGCGUCUUCUAUGAUGUUUUCGGUGUUGGAGGUUUUACCGGUCUUUUCCGAGGAAGGGUUCUCACCAUUUUCUUUUGGGUCUUUUCUCAUUUGCUUAUUAUUGGUAUUUCUAUCAAGAUUGUGUUAGCCCUUGUCGCUAGCUUUCCAACAAACUUGGUUUCGUCGAAUUCGGAGUCCGAAUGCAGAAGUUGUGAUAGUUUUGGUGUUCUGAAAAGGCUGCAGCGGUACUACCGCGAGUAGGAGCGGAAGUAAUUUUUUACUACCGCCCUUGGGAGCGGUACUACCGCUUGGAGCAGUACUAGCGCGCCUACUUCCGUGGCUACUUCCGCACAGGACCAAAAACUCGUCACAAGUCCAGCGGUGGUAGGCACGGAUGUAAUUUUUUAGUAUCGCUCGCAAGCAGUGGUACCGCUACCCUUAGCAGUAGUACCGCUACCCCUAUCGGUAGUACCGUGAUGUCAAGCGGUACUACCGCUCGGUGCGGGCUGUGAGCAUAACGGUUGGAUUUUUCCCCACCUAUAAAAGGGGGUCUUCUUCCCCAUUGAACCUUAUCCUUUGAGCUCGUGUUCUUCCCCCAUUGUUGACCUUCUUCGAGCUUGCUAACUCUCAAUCCCUCCAUGGAUUCUUGAUAGUUUUUGAGGGAAAAGAGAGAGGAGAUCUAGAUCCACAUUUCCACCAAUCACUUUCUCCUCUAUGUGAGGGGAACCCCUUGGAUCUAGUUCUUGGAGUUCUUGGUGUUCUCCUUCUUGUUCUUCCUCUCAUUUUCCUCCCUAGCAUUAGUUGCUUCGAUGGGAUUUGAGAGAGAAGGAGUUGGGCACUCCGUGUGCCCUUGCCAUUGUAUUUGGUGCAUCGGUUUGAGUUCUCCACGGUGAUACGUGGAAGUUACAAGUUGAGAAGCUUAUUACUCUUGGGUGCUUGGUACCCUUGAGCUUGUUCCUCUUGGGUGCUUGGGCGCCCUAGACGGUUGGUGGUGUUCAGAGCUCAAUCAUUGUGGUGUAAAGCUCCGGGCAAGCGUCGGGGUCUCUAAUUAGGUUGUGGAGAUCGCCCCGAGCAAUUUGACGGGUACUGGUGACCGCCCCCAAGGGUUGCCAAAGUGUACGGGUUCGGUGACCGCCCCCAAGGGUUGCCAUUUGUACGGGUUCGGUGACCGCCCUCAAGGGUCCCUUAGUGGAAUCACGGCAUCUUGCAUUGUGCGAGGGCGUGAGGAGAUUACGGUGGCCCUAGUGGCUUCUUGGGGAGCAUUGUGCCUCCACACCGCUCCAAACGGAGAUUAGCAUCCGCAAGGGUGUGAACUUCGGAAUACAUCAUCGUCUCCGCGUGCCUCGGUUAUCUCUUACCCGAGCCCUUUACUUAUGCACUUUACUUUGUGAUAGCCAUAUUGUUUCUUGUCAUAUAUCUUGCUAUCACCUAAGUAGUUUUUCUUGCUUAGCAUAAGUUGUUGGUGCACAUAGGUGAGCCUAGUUGUUGUAGGUUUUGUGCUUGACAAAUUAACCGCUAGGUUUAUUCCGCAUUUGUUCAAGCCUCAACCGUAAUUAUUUUAAAGCGCCUAUUCCCCCCCCCUUCUAGGCGACAUCCACGAUCUUUCAAUUGGUAUCAGAGCCUCGUCUCUCUUUGUUGGGCUUAACCGCCUAGAGAGUAAAGAUGUCGACUAGAGGAUUCGGAUUCUCUGACACUCUUAGUUUCGAUGGCACAAAUUUUGAUGUUUGGGUAAUUCGCAUGCUUAAUCUCUUUAGGGUCAUGGACCCAAAUUUAGAGCGAAUUGUAGAUAUGGGUUUUUCUCCUCCAAAGGAUCCCCAAAGAUUAUCUUUAGAGGAUGAGAAAAACUCUUAUCUCAAUGCUCAAGCCUCUAAUGUGCUUUUCGAUGCUUUGAGCAAUGUAGUUAUAUUUCAACUCAUGCCGUUCCGGGAUGCUCAUGAGUUAUGGACAAAGCUUCAAGAUAAAUAUGGUGUGUCCAAGAUUUGUGGGGAUGGUUGUUCUCCCUCCACCUCCGGUCAUAUAGUCUUCUCAACUUCUUCUACUUCACCUACAUGUGGUUUGCCACAAGGUAAUGAUAUGGUGAGUAGUGUUGGUCAUUGCAAUGAUAAUAGUAUGCUUAUUGUGGAUGAUCCUUCAUCACUAUAUUUUUGCAAUGCUCCCUCUUUGGGCUUUAACACUUCGAGCACUCCAAAUGUUUCACAUGUUUGUGUUGAUAGUCCUUGCAUAUCAUGUAGAAAUUGCUUGAUUAAAUAUCAUGAUGAUAUGCUUGCUAUGUUUUGUUGCCAUGAUAAAAAUGCAUCUAUUUCCUCGAAUUGUUGUGCUAACAAUGUAGAGGAAACCAAACACUCCAUGGAACAAGAUGUGGUGUUUAAUGGUGCCUCAAGGGAUCCUACAUCAUCAUCUAUUGCGUUUUGCCUUAUGGCUAAGGCGUCAAAGGUAUCUCCUACUUUGUACCCCAAUAUGUCUCUUGAUGAUGAUGUUGAUGCUAAUGAUGAUGAGGAUAAUGAUGAAGAGAAUGAUAAUGUUGCCUCCUUAAAAAUUAAGGGGGAAAUGGUUUUUAAAGCUCUUCAUAAAAAUAAAUUUGCUCGUUCCAACUUCAUGGAAAUUAUGUCCAUUGCUAUUGAGAGCAAGAAAUAUAUUGAUGAGUUGGAAACUCGUCUUGAGGAGCAUGAGGUCACCAUUGAUAAAAUGGAAGGUCAUGGGCGUGAUUACGCUAAUGAGAUUGCGGACCUCUCUCAAGCUCUUGAACUUGAACAAACCACCAAGGAAUCUCUUGAGGAGACGUUUGCUCUAGAAUUGUCUAGAGUGAAGGAAUCUACUGAUAGAGCUCUUGAGGUGGCCAAUGUUUUUGAAACUAAAAAUGCUAAGCUUGAAGUUGCUCAUGCUAGACUCCUUGAGGAUUUUGAGCACCUCAAAAAUGGCUCAAGGGUCAUCAAGGGUGAGCUCAUCAAACUCACCGAGUCUCAUGCUCAACUUGAAGCUUCUUAUUUAAAAGAGCUUGCCAAGUUGCCUUCUCCUCUUGUUGUUAAUGAUGAUGCUUGUGCUACUAAUUCUAAUACUUGUGAAGCAUCCAUUUUGAAGGAGAAUGUUGAGCUACGGGCUCAACUUGAGUUGCUAUCUAGCAAUUAUGGGAAAUUGGAAGAAAGCCAUGAAAAGCUCUCAAGCUCUCAUGACGAUCUUCUAGUAUCCCAUAAUGUGCUAAAGAUAGCUCAUGAGGCCAUGAUUGCUAAGGUAACAUCUAGUGAGCCUCAUGUUGAUACUAGCACCACUUCUAGUCAAAAUACUAUAUUGCCAUGUGCUAGUCCUUCUAAUUCAUCUACUCACAAUGUUGGUACAUCUUGUGAUGAAUUGCUUUCCUUGCCUUGUUGCUCUAACGAUGAAGCUUAUACUUCCUCUAGUACUUGUGUUGAGACUAACCAUGUAGAGGAAAUCAAAGAGCUCAAGGCCCAAGUCACUUCUUUGAAGAAAGACUUGGAAAAGAGUCAUGAAGGGAAAUCCACACUCAACAAUAUAUUGAGUGUGCAAAAAUCUCCCAAUGACAAAGGUGGACUUGGAUUCAACUCCAAUAAUAAUAAGAAGAAGUCCAAGAGCAACAAGAAGAAGGGCCAAAAACAAGUCAAGAAUUCGGCCAAGAUUAUUUGCUUCAAGUGCAAAAUUGAAGGGCAUCAUGUUAGAUAUUGCCCAUUGAAGAAGAAUGCCAUUGGUAACAAGCAACAAGGCAAGAGGCCACAAGUUCAAUCUCAUGCUCAACCUCAAGUUGAAGAAAGGCCACUUCCCAAGAAGACUCAAGUUAAUGCCUCUCUUGUUGAGAAAUCAAGUGAGAAGAAAAUGAAGAGUAGACGUUGCUACUUAUGUCGUGAGAAAGGUCACCUCGCUUCUUCAUGCACUAGUGGUAACUUAUCCAACCCAAUUAUUAUUGAUGAUAUCUAUUCUCUUGGGAAGGAUAAGGUUGGCAAUGUGUUUGCCAAGUUUGUUGGUACUCAAAGUGGUGUCAAGAAAAGAACCAUUUGGGUUGCCAAGCCUAUUGUGACUAACUUCUUAGGACCCAACUUGGUUGGGGACCAACAAGCUCAAACUUGAUCAAUAGGUGUUGUUGGAGGGCAUUGGAGACUUGGCUACAUUAUGAAGAAUUAAGGGGACUUCAUCUUUCUUGUUGUCUCAAGCCAAGUCAAUUGGGUUGUCAAGUUUCUAUCUUAUAUCCAAUAUGCCUCCUUGCGGUAACUUGUACUUAAAUUGUUUACAUUGAAAGUUACUUGCCCCUUUGCAUGAUUUGGUUUUGUUCCUUGCAUGUGUUUGUAUAUGAUGUGUCUCCAAAUUGCCGUUGUGUAUGUUGGUUUACACAUCAUGUACUUGUGUGUUGUUCAUUGAGCCUUAGUGCAUCUUGUUUAUUUCUUAGUUGGCUCUUGUGAGAGAUUAAUGGAAUAUCCAUUAUGGGGGAGUGGUGUGCUUUGUGCACCUCACAAUCCUAUAAAUGUGUGCACAUGAGUAAUACCAUCUAGUAUUGAUAUUUCAAGAUUAUCUAGUCGCUAGGUGGUAUAUCUCUCAUGAGAAAUUCAAAUUCUAAAAAUUCCAUUGAUUAUCGCGUGUUGGAUCCUCUUAUUGCCUCUUGUUAAGUUUUCUUCAUUGGUAUCACAUUAUGGGGGAGUAAUAUGCUAUGUAUAUUACUAGCCUAGAAAAUGUGUACAUUUGAGAUGUUGUCACCUAGUGUUGAUAUUGUAGAUUAUCUUGUUCCUAGGUGGCAUGUUAGCUCUACAAGUUGCAAUUUGCUUGUGUGUGGUGUGAAGAUGAUGUUGGAUAUCCUUGCUAUCUACCACCGGGAAUUCUUUCCAUCUACUUCUUGUCUUUUGACAAUUGGUAGUCAUUUAUGUGUGGUAGAAUUUAUUGAUCAUAUUUACAUUGGCUUUUGUUUUACUUGCCUUUUCUCUUGCCAAGGAUUGUGUCAACUCCCGUUGUCUUCCAUACCACUUGUGGAUCUUGUUUAUUUCUAGUUCUUGUCUAGUGUUUUCUGGAUAUAGUGAAAGCAGUGAUCCCACCUUGUGCAUUUUGUAUUCAAAUACAAAUCCUAUAUAAUGCACAACUCGUGGGGGAGCUAUUAUAUUUUCUUCACUCUUCUUGUGAUCCUUAUCAAGUAUGUUUUGGUGGAAGGCAAGCCAUUUCUUUUUGGUACUUUGUGCCAUCAUGAUACUUUGUUGAGAGCUUGGUAUGUUUGGAACCAUCCUCUCUUUGGGAGUUUGACAUCUUUAGUUUAGUGUGUAUCAAUGGAUAUCUCAUUCCUUGAUGUAUCUUUAAUGAUAUCUUCCAAGUGAUGAUUUCUCCAUUUGGUAUCCUUUUCACUUGGCAUUUCUUUGUCUUUUGGUUUCGGGUUUUGAAAUUCUUGAGCAUGCAUGUUUACUUCAUGUAUUUCAUUUGGCAUGCUUUCUUUCUUUGACUCAAUAUAUAGGGGAAACUCCACCUACUCUCAAUUUGGAUGAGAUGUGCAUGAAAUUCAUUUUCAUAUCUAUAUGCACAUAUUUAUGUGGAGUUUGUCCUAUGUAUUGGUGUUUCUAACUAUUUGGUCCCGAUGAGUUUGGGUACCGUUUAGUUUGUGUUGUUCUUCUAGGAACAUUUGGAGAUGCAUUGGAUGCUCGGCUCACUCACAAAGGUGUUGUCACCAUGUGCAUAUUGGAGUCAAGCUAGGAUGAUCAAUGAACUACUAUCUACCUUCAAUUGGUAUCUACUACAUCCUUUCAAUGAUAUCUCGGUAACAAGUAUCUAUUCAUGCUUUCCCCUCUUGCAUUCAACCUUGUGUAGGUUGUAUCUUGGCAUGAUAUUCAUUUCAUAUCUUGUGAUACUUGUUUCCUUUCUCAAAGCAUCCCAACGAUGAUCUCUGUUGCUAGUUAUGAUGCCCUUGAUGGAUGUGUGUUUGGACUUCAUUUAUAUACAAUAAGACCAUAUCUAGCCAAGUUCUAUGCUUUCAAGCAAAUAUCUUAUUGGUAUAUUUAUGACUUCCUUAUGGAUAUCUUGUUCCUUCGUGUUGUAACUAUUUCGGGUGUACAUUCUUCUUUGUGGAUAUAUAUAUCAUCAUGAUUUCGUCUACAUAGAACCUUAUACACUUGAGAGAAAUUACAUCUCUAGUUGAUAUCCUUUCUUUCAUGUCCACCUUGUCUUUCUUAUGUUAUUUCUUUGGUGUCUCCGUGAAAGCUUUUGCCUUGAGUGUGUGUCCUCUAUCGUUGCAUCUUGAUGCACUCUUGUGUGGUGAAGAUUAUUUUCCUCAUGCUUAUCUUUACGAGGCUUUUGCCAUCUUAAUUGGUAUCCCUCGUCUUGAUGAGGCUUUCAUCUUCUAUCUUCACCACGGGUUGUCACAAGUAUAUGUUCUUUAUAUGCUUAUUAGUAAGCUUGUGAACCCAUUUGCUAGUUGUGUGUGGGAAUGAUAGGCCUUGCACCGUGUGCCUCUUUCUUUCAAGACUUUAUUGAUGCUUAAUGCUCAUCCGUACAUUAGUCUUCUCAAGUGCAUUGCCUUGACUCACACACAUCAUUUUGGUUGAGCCCAUUCUUAAGUUGCCUCUUUUACUUGUUGCUCAACCAUGUGUUUGUUGCAAGUACUAGGCUUUGUUUUCUAUAUGCUCACUUGCACUUGUUGUAAGUUUCUAUUGAUUUUAGGGGAGCUAUGAUCCUAUUUUGUGCACUUUGUAUCCAAAUACAAAUAUUCUUAUGUGUGCACAAAUCACGGGGAGCUUCUCUAGUUUCUUUAGAACACUCCUUUGCCCAUAUCAUAAUAUCCUUUAUUCAUGUGGCUCGUAGGAUCUUUGGUCUAGUUGUUUCAAUUGAUAUCCUUUGAUUGCUUGCUUCAAUUGGUAUCUUUUGAUUGCUUGUGUCUCUCUUUGUUAUGUCUUUGUGGCAUAUCUUUCUGUUGCAAUCUUUGGGCCUCAAUAUAGUUUGUCUUCCUCCAAGUACUGACAGUUGGAUAUGUAUAUGGCAUUCCACUCUCUUGUUGAGAAAUACACAACUUUUGGAGGAACACAUUUUAUAUUGGUCUUCUUAGCUUUUCGUUCAUUUUGGCAAUCGAUGCCAAUGGGGGAGAAGUUUCAGAGAGUUUUGUGGAGAAGUCUUCAGAGUUUUCUCCUCUUUGGUUUUGUUCCUAAGCAUUUGCAUCUCAUACGCAUGCAUUAUUGGUUGUUGCAUUGCAUGGUGAUGCAUAAUUCCUUAUAUAAACUCUCUUGAAAGUGAUUGUCAUCAAUUACCAAAAUGGUGGAGAUUGAAAGGACAUGCGGUGCCCCCAUGUGUGGUUUUGGUAAUUGAUGACAUUCUUUAUGGACUAAUGGUUGCAUUGAGUUAUAUUUGAAGGAUUUGUCCAUAGGCAUUUCUUGAAGUCCAUGUGUUGGUUUCAAGGAGUUUAUGUGUUGACCAAGGUGCUAUUAAGGAAUUAUCCAAAGAUUGGUCAUGUGAGUGUUGAGCUUAUUGCAAGCAUGUCUUGAAGAAGAAGAUUGUGUGAUCAUUCAUGUUUACCUUCAAGACAUCAUCCAAACUAAGAGAUUUGGAAAGAUUCAAGGUUGAUCAAGACUAAGUCAAGAAUGAAUCAAGUUGAUCAACUCACAAAGCGUAAAAGAUGUACCGAGAGGGAUCAAGUGAUCCCAUGGUAUGGUAAGUAUUGUCCAUUGCACUUUGUGUACUAACCCAUGGUCUAUGUGAGAGUUCUAUGUGGGGUUAGAUACAUGUCCAUGGGCUUGCGUCAAGAGGAAGAUAUCAUACAACCCAUGGAAAGGAUGACAUCAAGUAGUGAUCGUCAUCAAGAUUGUCAUGUGCAAGUUCAAGUGUAGCAUCACGAAGAGAUCAAGUGCUUGAAGCUUGCCAUCCAUUGUGGUGUCAAUGGACUUGUGAAGAUGUGCCAAAGAGUGGCUCACCCAUAGUGGAGUAUGGGGGAGCAACCAUCUAGCCCCAUCGACCCAACGCAAUCAAGAAAGGUGGUCCAUCUUGCGGAGGACAAGAUCGUCAUCAUCUAGCUCAAGUGGAUCAUGUGCAAGGCAAAGGUUUGCCCUUGAUAGGUUUUCUAUUUUACUGGUCUCAUGGUGGUAGUUGGGAGACCGGGUUAUAGGAUCAAUAACCGUACUAUCAAGGGGGGCUCUCAAGUGAGUAGCUUGAUCGUAUCGUUCGUCGAGAGCUCAAACCAUUGCAUCCUUGCAUCAUGUUUCUUGGUUCUUGUUUGGUUCUCUUUGUGAGUCUUAGAUCUUAUGGUCAUCUUGAUGACAAGCUUGAGUUCAUUGAAAACGGAGUUUGCAUGCGUCUUCUAUGAUGUUUUCGGUGUUGGAGGUUUUACCGGUCUUUUCCGAGGAAGGGUUCUCACCAUUUUCUUUUGGGUCUUUUCUCAUUUGCUUAUUAUUGGUAUUUCUAUCAAGAUUGUGUUAGCCCUUGUCACUAGCUUUCCAACAAACUUGGUUUCGUCGAAUUCGGAGUCCGAAUGCAGAAGUUGUGAUAGUUUUGGUGUUCUGAAAAGGCUGCAGCGGUACUACCGCGGGUAGGAGCGGAAGUAAUUUUUUACUACCGCCCUUGGGAGCGGUACUACCGCUUGGAGCAGUACUAGCGCGCCUACUUCCGUGGCUACUUCCGCACAGGACCAAAAACUCGUCACAAGUCCAGCGGUGGUAGGCACGGAUGUAAUUUUUUAGUAUCGCUCGCAAGCAGUGGUACCGCUACCCUUAGCAGUAGUACCGCUACCCCUAUCGGUAGUACCGUGAUGUCAAGCGGUACUACCGCUCGGUGCGGGCUGUGAGCAUAACGGUUGGAUUUUUCCCCACCUAUAAAAGGGGGUCUUCUUCCCCAUUGAACCUUAUCCUUUGAGCUCGUGUUCUUCCCCCAUUGUUGACCUUCUUCGAGCUUGCUAACUCUCAAUCCCUCCAUGGAUUCUUGCUAGUUUUUGAGGGAAAAGAGAGAGGAGAUCUAGAUCCACAUUUCCACCAAUCACUUUCUCCUCUAUGUGAGGGGAACCCCUUGGAUCUAGUUCUUGGAGUUCUUGGUGUUCUCCUUCUUGUUCUUCCUCUCAUUUUCCUCCCUAGCAUUAGUUGCUUCGAUGGGAUUUGAGAGAGAAGGAGUUGGGCACUCCGUGUGCCCUUGCCAUUGUAUUUGGUGCAUCGGUUUGAGUUCUCCACGGUGAUACGUGGAAGUUACAAGUUGAGAAGCUUAUUACUCUUGGGUGCUUGGUACCCUUGAGCUUGUUCCUCUUGGGUGCUUGGGCGCCCUAGACGGUUGGUGGUGUUCAGAGCUCAAUCAUUGUGGUGUAAAGCUCCGGGCAAGUGUCGGGGUCUCUAAUUAGGUUGUGGAGAUCGCCCCGAGCAAUUUGACGGGUACCGGUGACCGCCCGCAAGGGUUACCAAAGUGUACGGGUUCGGUGACCGCCCCCAAGGGUUGCCAUUUGUACGGGUUCGGUGACCGCCCUCAAGGGUCCCUUAGUGGAAUCACGGCAUCUUGCAUUGUGCGAUGGCGUGAGGAGAUUACGGUGGCCCUAGUGGCUUUUUGGGGAGCAUUGUGCCUCCACACCGCUCCAAACGGAGAUUAGCAUCCGCAAGGGUGUGAACUUCGGAAUACAUCAUCGUCUUCGCGUGCCUCGGUUAUCUCUUACCCGAGCCCUUUACUUAUGCACUUUACUUUGUGAUAGCCAUAUUGUUUCUUGUCAUAUAUCUUGCUAUCACCUAAGUAGUUUUUCUUACUUAGCAUAAGUUGUUGGUGCACAUAGGUGAGCCUAGUUGUUGUAGGUUUUGUGCUUGACAAAUUAACCGCUAGGUUUAUUCCGCAUUUGUUCAAGCCUCAACUGUAAUUAUUUUAAAGCGCCUAUUCACCCCCCCCCCCUUCUAGGCGACUUCCACGAUCUUUCAGUAUGUUGUACUAAAGACUCAUAGAUGACAUAUCGCUGCGUCUCAUAGUUGGGUCUGUCCAACUUGGACCUUAUCUCGACUCGGAUCCGACUACGUAUCCGACCAGACUUUUCCAAGUCCAUAUUAUCCGGUUAGCAUCCAAUGUUCCAUGGCUAGUGAGACCGAGCCAUCGACCGUGUCAUAUGCUAGUCUAGUCGGCUGCGCGUCCACACAGCCUUUCGACUAGGGACCUUUUAGGACAGUCGUUAUACAAUGCAUAGUCCCACAAACAAGUCACGUACUUGCUGAUACACAUGAUUGAUAAAGUCCAAGGACUAUCUUUAUUCAUGAACACAUAGGAAAUAUCAUCAUACAUGAUUGCCUCUAGGGCAUAUCUCCAACAGCAACCCUUCACCGUCACCGUUCGCACUAUGACCCGCCCGUCGAUCUACGUCGGCUGUCACUGCCCUGCUCCGACCGAGACUCCUGCAUCACCCCGACCCGGCGGCCUCGUGUCAUGCGGCGUCCAAACAUAGCCGCCCUGCUGCCCGCCAUCGCCGGCUUCAUCUCGGACUCCGCCGCCAUCCCGCCUUCACCGGGCGACGUCCCGGCCUCCGCUCGGAUUGAUCACCCGCCCGCCGCCGUGAACCGCGUCAUCUACACCGUGCGACCAACCUGGCCCGUUGGUUGCGCGCACCUUCGCAGGCCCCUUGAAGACUGUCUCGAGUUCACAGCGCCCCUCCAUCGAUCGAGCAACGGGCUGCCACUGUGUCGCCCUGUCGGGCCGCAGUGCCACCGCCCCGUGGUUCUUCCCGGCUGCACCGACCCGCGUCACCGCUGCGUCGCUCCUUCGGGCCGUAGUGUCGUGGCGUGCGGUCCCCUGCCGCCCCGAGGCCAUCUGCUCCAGGCCGUCCCGUGGCUGCACCGACGCUCGCGUCGCUGCUGCGUCGCCCCAUCCGGCCGUAGCGAGCGUGGCACGCGGUCCACGCCGCUGUCCUAAGGCCGUCCCCACGGCUGCACCGACUCGCGAACCGCCGUUGCGUUGCCCUUCGGGCCGCAGCGUUGCGCCCCGCGGUCCCCGCCGCCCCGACCCGCCUACCGGUGUUGCGUCGCCCCUUCGGGCCCUAGCGCCGUGGCCCACGAUCUACUUCGCCGUCCCCGCGCAUCAACUUUCCGUGGUAUGCGUCGCACCUUCUUCCUUGGCGGGGGAACGCCGCCGUCCGCGCCGGUCUUCGUCACGCCAUCAGGGUUCUUCGCCUACUUCGAGCAUCGUCGCCGCGCUCCUAAGCUGGCCGCCGCCGCCGUCAGGCCGCCGCCGCCGCUCUUCUUCGGCCGCCUGCCGCCGCUACCCCCAUAGCCGCCGCAGCCGCCCGUCCACCCCCUUUGUCUUCGUCCAGCACCAGUCGGCGCCAGCGUCGCCGUCAUAUGCCCCGACCACUUCGUCUACUCUGACAACCGCGGGCGACAUCGGCCCCGCGCCGAUUGGCGCCGCGACCGUCUCGUUGAGUUCUUCUCUGCUAACCCCUCGGACUUCUUCGACAUGGAGUACAGCUCGUGCAGGUCCCUCGACUACGCAUGCCCGGUGCUGGCAACACUGAUGCGUGCCUUCGUCCACGACGUGUCCCCGGGCCUGGCAAGCCUGGUGCGACGCUUCGUCAACUUCGUCUUCGUCUGUCUACGUAUGCCCGAUACUGGCAACACCGGUGCGUGCCUUCGUCUAUGAUGUGUUCCCGGCCUUGGCAAACCCGCCGUGACGCGUUGUCAACAACAUCUCCUUUCCGACGCACCACUACUUCGACAUCACUGUGCCAAUGCUCACUCGGCGCCCCGUUGCGCCCGCGGCUCCACGGCGACAUCCUCGAGACCGGCUCCCUGACUCGACAUCGACCACGACAUUCUUCGCACGGCUACCUCAACCACGGCAACACCACCCUUCGCUCUCGGCUACAUCGACAAACGGCACAAAGGGCUAACGCCUUGCUUGAGCAACCUCAUUGGGUUCCACUCCAGCCACGACUUCCGCGAUGCAUCGACCGCUACCGUUGUGACUGCGGGGGAAUGUUGAGUAUAUUGAUCAUUAAGAAAGACGAGAUAGACUAGGAUUUGUUCUACCUUGUCUUGUACAAUUUGAUCAUUGUACUCCUAUAUAUAUAUAUAUGCCCACGAGGCUCAAGCAAUACAACAACUAUUCCACCAAAUUCAUCUCUCCCUUCUAACAGGUCCGACAUGAUGGGCGUGUCUGAACGCACACAUAUCCGUCAUAUAUUUGGGCUGGAUAUGAUGGUUGCCGCUCAGCCCAGGCAUUUGAGGCGCCCGUCUGGGUUAAAAUUAUAUGAUCAGACAUUGAUCUCGAUGAGACGAGUCUGAGGCGCCGGGCCGGAGAUGCUCUCAUACGAAGUAUUUUUGUUGGUCACACGAAGUUUAUCACUAUGCACAACCUGCCGCAACCUCAGGUUGGUUGGUGUAGAGUAGACUACGCUAGGUUGAUUCUCAGAAUCAUUGUAGCAUUGUAGGUUGAUUCUCAGAAUCAUUAUAGCGUCAGUAUCCUUUGGGGGCAAAAGGGCAUCAUUGUAGCAUCAGAGGGGUAUUGCAUUUUUUACUUUUUAUUUGCAGAUUUGAUACUCCAGAUCCAGAAUAAAUCCAUAGCCGUAUCCCAUUACACUCAGUUGACACGCAUCAUCUGGAAACCGAAGCAUGUAAACACUCACUCACAACACACACAUAUGGUUAUGGCGACAUACUUUUUUUCAGAUCUUCAGGGGGAUUUACAUGGAAACAUUUGCACAUAGUGUGUAAUUACAAAAGAGUAAAAGAGAAGAUCGGGGAGGGACUACAAUCCUAAAACCAGAUCCCUCCCGUAUUCACAUCUAGCGUCUCCUCCAUGAUUACAGCACGGCGAGAAACAUGGCUAUGUACAAGCGCGCUGAACAGCGGCUUCGUUGGUUGGUGGCUGGUUCUCCUAGGUGGAGCGGGCGAGGCGGGACGCGAUGGCGGAGUGGUACAUGGCGUCGUGGAAGCUCUCCAUCUCCGACAUCCGAGCCCGCAGCUGCCGCGCCUUCUCCUCCGUCAGGCCGACGAACGUCUUCUCCUCCUCCUCGACCACCGGCGUCGGCGCCGCGGCCUCCAUGUAGUCCGCCCGCCCGGACCACCCGACCAGCGGCGCCCACCACUUGCCUCCCUUGGGCGCCCCCGCGCGGACCCGCCCGCCGGCUCCCGCGGUAACGGAGGCGGCGCGCGGCCGGAGCGCAGCGGACGGGCGGGCGGAGAAAGAGACGACGGAUGCUGACGGUGCCAUCGCCAUUGAUUUGCUCGGCCUGCUGCUUUUCUCGUGAGCUUCUGCUGAGUUUGGACUCUCGAGUUCACUGAACGAACGGUGAGACGAGAGAUGUGCUUGUGAGGUCUGUGUUGCGCUGUGAGGGAGUGAGAUGGAGUUGUUGGUGCGAGGGGGUGGGAGAUUUAUACCGGCGCACGGCGGGAGAGGGGAGGGGUGGAUAGGGACGCCCCGUGGACGCGUGUGAGCGGGGGCGGCAUCCGCUAGGAGGGUGCGCGUGACGUGUGACCGCGUGGACUGGCCGUUCGGGUGUGGUGCGUUCAUUGCCACGAAGGUGACGUUCUUCGGGGGCGUCGCCGGCAAGGGCACAUACAAUGGAAGCGGCACCAUCGUGCUGCCCCGGCCCAUUCACAUCAGCGCAUGAAGUUGAGACCACCGCGCAGUUUUGAAUCCAUCCAACGCACCUAUGGCCAUGUGACGUGAGCCAUCUACCUUUCCCCAUUCUUUGGGUUUUCCAUCUCUUGCUCUUCCCCUUUUCUUCUCUCUCUUACUUUCUUUCCUCGAGAGACCGCCUCUUGCAGAGGAGUCCCUGACACCUGCGAGACACUCAUCUGAGCAGCCACGGUGGCAUCCGAGCCUACCUGGCCUGCGGGGCACCAGGCUGAGGCGACGCAUUGGCCAUGCCCCUAAUGAGGUUUUUCCAACCGGGACUCGCCCACGCACCUAAAUUCAUCACGAGCGCAAAUUCAUUAGGGUAGAAUACGUCAAGGCCGAUGAAGCUUUUUUUUUUUGCAAAAUCGAGCUGAUGAAGAUAAUAAGACAGGAAUUAGCAUCUCGUGAUAUCACGUCCAAAACUACACAUCCUGCCAAGAUAUGUCAUUGGUGAUUCGAUAUUAACCUAUGACAAAGCUUGCAAUGUUUUGUUUUGCACAAUACAAAGCUUGCAAUGGUUGAACCAACGCUGGCCCGCGUACAUGGGCGUGUUUGUAAUGCCACCUAUGUAUAUCUAUCAAUGACAUGAUANNNNNNNNNNNNNNNNNNNNNNNNNNNNNNNNNNNNNNNNNNNNNNNNNNNNNNNNNNNNNNNNNNNNNNNNNNNNNNNNNNNNNNNNNNNNNNNNNNNNNNNNNNNNNNNNNNNNNNNNNNNNNNNNNNNNNNNNNNNNNNNNNNNNNNNNNNNNNNNNNNNNNNNNNNNNNNNNNNNNNNNNNNNNNNNNNNNNNNNNNNNNNNNNNNNNNNNNNNNNNNNNNNNNNNNNNNNNNNNNNNNNNNNNNNNNNNNNNNNNNNNNNNNNNNNNNNNNNNNNNNNNNNNNNNNNNNNNNNNNNNNNNNNNNNNNNNNNNNNNNNNNNNNNNNNNNNNNNNNNNNNNNNNNNNNCAUGAUACGUAACAUUUUGUGUACUUGUGUGUGUGUGUUGGGGGGGGGGGAGGGAGGAGGUGCUUACGAUGAUAUUUGUGUGUGAUGAUGGCUUGAAAAGGUUAACUUCUAAGACACACAAUUGAUUAUUCUUAAAAACCUAACGAGGUUUGAUUUCAGAAACUUUAAUCACCUGAGCCUUUUCCCCUCUCUCGGGCAUAUCCUCCUUGAGUCUUUUCAUCUCCUCUCCCAAAGGACUCCCAUUUCUUCAACAUCUUCAUCGUCCCUAUCCUUCUCCUUGUCCGGAGGUAGUAUGUUGGGAGGGAUUUUUGGAUCUUGUUUCUCUAGUAUAUGCAUACUCAAUAUUAUACUUGUGCUUUAAGGCCUGAGACCUGAACUGAAUUUAUGUUCCUUGAGCUCCUAUUGUAGUCCAUUCUGAUGGUGUGACAGAGGAGUUACUAAGGACCCUCGCAAAAAAAGCAAUACUCCCUUCGACCCAAAAUAAGUGUCAUGAUUUUAGUUCAAAUUCAGAGGGAUUUCUAAGGAGGUCCUCUUGUUGCAAGUACUUUCUCGUCUCUAAAGCAAUGGGAAAUGUUAGUAUUCACAUAUUACUACUAUUUUUCCUUCUUGUUAUCCCUGCAUAGAUUAUUUUGAUUAUUUUAGGUGUUGGUACUUUGCUUCAGCUCAUUACUCUUAGCCUCAACUCGUGUCGCUCUAAUGUUUCUAUUUAUAGGGGUUCCUUGUAGUAUUAACUUCCUUUCCUAGGAGAAUUGAGCAAGUUGAUUCGAAAAAUAUACACGCUUCUUUAUUUUGUCUUUUGGUAUUUUUUUCCUUGUCUCAUUCACAUGAUGCUACUGCCACCUUAACUUUGUAUAGGGGCCUUCCAUAUCUUGUUGGGAGGCCCUUUUGGUGAUUUUGGAGAUGUUUGUCUAGUUUAGGGGUGUCUUUUGUGGGUCCUUUGCAUGUGCUCUUCCAACAUUGUUCUAGGAUCUACUCUACGCCGGAUAUUCCCACGACUCUCCAUUCCUAUGGCCUCGAAGUUUAACCCAACACUACUUUUUGUUGGUCGGUAGGCCAUCGACAUGUUUAUCAAAGAUUUUUCAUGUAUAUCUUUCUUGUAUUCGUAUUGCAAUAUCAGUAUCCGAGCAGCAAGUUAGUGUCGGGCUCAAGGACAAGAAGGGAUAGAAGGACACAAUGGCAACAAUACCGUUAGUGUGGGACUCAAGGAUAAGAGACUCAGUCGCUUUUAGAGCCACUUCGAGAACCCAGAGAGAUAAGAAGCAUAGAAGGGACCGAGAGUGCAUAAAAGGUUGUGUUGAGAAGUUUAACCUCAGCCUCAUGUUCAUAUCGCUAGCGAGGUUUUCCCGAGGUACAUGGCCAAAAUGCUAACCACUUCUCAUCGUACUGAGUUUGCAAGAGGGCUGAAGCUUAGACAGCUAAGUUGGGCGCUUAAGAAAAAUAAGAGCAAACUAAUCAUGCUUCGUUUUGCAGUUGUACUCCUCCUGAUCUACAUGCACAUACAAGCAACGACACGUCGGACGCGAAUGCGUGGCCACAAACACUCUUGCUCCUACCUAGGUCACUCGCAUGUUUCUCAAGCGUGCUCAUUCCUGCCCCACGUAUUUGCAACUUUGCUUAUACCUGGCCUUUGGCACCUUGCAAGGAGGCACUUGCACUGCAUGCCCCUCAUCUCCAGUCUUCACCUUUGCCUUCGGAAAUUUCCAAGGGCCAUACAAGGGGUUGCUUCGAAGAAGAAAAAAGUUCUUAUAUACAGCGAGAAAAUACUACUCACUAUUAAAGAAAACAGUUUAUGUAAGAGUAAAAUAUCCGUCAUUGUCACUUCCUCGUUCCUACAGUACUAGAUAUGGCCAGUUGUAUUUCACAAAAUGUCGCUUUCCACCAGCUAGGCAGCCGUCUCUAAGCGCUCUAGUUAACACAUUUUCUUAUCGUAGAUUCUAUCCUGCUAUGAGAUACUCCCUUGGCAUUACCCUCGUACAGGUUCAUGAGAAAAUCAUACAGAGAACGAUAUGGGAGGUGCGUGGUUAUUUCCUCUUGCUUCGCAGGUGUUCUUUCCUCAACAGCGCAACCAGCCGCCCNNNNNNNNNNNNNNNNNNNNNNNNNNNNNNNNNNNNNNNNNNNNNNNNNNNNNNNNNNNNNNNNNNNNNNNNNNNNNNNNNNNNNNNNNNNNNNNNNNNNNNNNNNNNNNNNNNNNNNNNNNNNNNNNNNNNNNNNNNNNNNNNNNNNNNNNNNNNNNNNNNNNNNNNNNNNNNNNNNNNNNNNNNNNNNNNNNNNNNNNNNNNNNNNNNNNNNNNNNNNNNNNNNNNNNNNNNNNNNNNNNNNNNNNNNNNNNNNNNNNNNNNNNNNNNNNNNNNNNNNNNNNNNNNNNNNNNNNNNNNNNNNNNNNNNNNNNNNNNNNNNNNNNNNNNNNNNNNNNNNNNNNNNNNNNNNNNNNNNNNNNNNNNNNNNNNNNNNNNNNNNNNNNNNNNNNNNNNNNNNNNNNNNNNNNNNNNNNNNNNNNNNNNNNNNNNNNNNNNNNNNNNNNNNNNNNNNNNNNNNNNNNNNNNNNNNNNNNNNNNNNNNNNNNNNNNNNNNNNNNNNNNNNNNNNNNNNNNNNNNNNNNNNNNNNNNNNNNNNNNNNNNNNNNNNNNNNNNNNNNNNNNNNNNNNNNNNNNGGCGGCCGCCUCUGCCUAGGGCGGAUGGUGGCGGGUGCGGCGGCUGGCCCUGCUUCGGGCAGCGGCCUUGGCUGCGUUCGGCGGCGGCGGCCGGGUCGGCGGCAAUGGACCAUCUGACCUCGGUUCGGCGGUGUCGGCAUGGAGGGCCUGGUGGUUGGGUCGGCGCCAUGUGUGGUUCGCCUUCCGGACAGAUCUGAUCUGGCCGGUGCGACCUGCUCAAUAUGCGGCGGCUCAGAUCGGUGGCGACCCGUGCACACGAUGCUUGAUGGAGGUUCCAUCAGCGGAUCCGGGUGAAAACCUAGUUCUCGGCUCGAUGCCAAGACCGGCGUUGGCGGCACUCUUUUGUGUCAUUACCUUCUUGAAGGCAUCGCCGUGGGGAAGCUCCAGACCUCUAUCCGCUACCUCCGGCGGAAACCCUAGAUCAGUAGAUCAGAUGACGGCGGCGCGUUGGUGUCGUUUCCUACUUGGGGGCGUCAUUCUUGGAGGCGUACACGGGUUCGAGGGACCAGUGGGCGGCUUUUUUGGUGGAGCGGUGCUUCAUCCUGCACAUUGAUGACGGCGGAUCUCGGCGGCGUGGUGCAGUGGAGACUCGGCGCCCGAUGCGCGGUGCUGGACUCGCGCAGGAGGGGGUUGCUGUCUGGCGUCAUGGUGACGUCGAUGGCAGAGUGGCUUGACAAGGUAGAAGCCUCAAUACCUGCUCUGAAGACGGGCCAGUGGAAGAUGGCGGCGAUGACACAUGUGAGUGCGUCAGACCAGUUCUUGCCCCAGACUCGGUAUGUGGCUCGGCUGGGGCUUCUGGCUUUUGAUGAUAGGCUUAGAUGAGUGGACUGGGUAUUUGGCCCAGCUAGAGCCCCUUCAUCAUAUGAAUAGGAGUAGUGGCAUAUGAUGACAAGAUGGCGCAUUCAGGCAUAUUGUUGUAAUACUUUGUAAGGUCCUCGAGAAUAAUCGAUAAAGUGGCCGCAUGCAUCUUCCAGAUGCAUAGCCCGGAGAUCAUCCUCCUUUUUUUUUAAAAAGAAGGCGAGUACUGACUGAACUAUUGAUGCGCAUGAAGAUUGUGUGUAUGUGUUUGUGAGGACUAGAUAGUUAAAGCAUGAUUUGGGUCUGGAUGGAUGCUGGCCAGGAGAUAGUUGAGCACUUAAUUUGCUGCUCAAAAGAUAGCAGCAUGCCUGUCACGGCCAUAACUGAACCCGCGCCACUGUCCCGCUCUACACUUCAUCAGUUAGCCAACGGCUCAGAUUAAAAGUGGUGAAGGAGGAUGGACCACCCAGAACUCACAAGUUACAGUUGCGCUUAAUAAAACAGAUGCAUUCAGCUUUACUCUGUUAGUCGAACCCUCCGUCCAAUCUCCAAUCGAUCUCCAAGUAUGAUUUCUACGGCCUCUUCACCGACAAUAAGCUUCAGUGCCGCGUUUUUCUGUAACAGGAAUUUUUUGACUGUCAUCAGGAUGACCAGUCUAUCGAUGACUACUGCCGUCGCCUGAAGACGUUGGCGGAUGAACUCCAUGACAUCGGCGCCAAGGUUGAUGACGACCUCCUCCUUAGCAUGCUCAUCGCCUGCCUCAACGAGGACUUCGGCAACGCCGCUUCCAACUUCACCUUGAUGCCGGAGCUCUUCUUCCCCAAGUUUGUGGCGUACUUGCAGUUGGAGGAGCCCCGGAUGAAGGGGAUCAAGAAGCGCGUGCAACACCAUGCCCUCGCCGCCAGUACCUCCCGUGGCACCCCGCCUGCGCCGCAGGAACAGCCGCCGCCCCCCGCGCCCCCGGGAUUUUUUUCCCUCCCGCCCGCGCCCCGUGCCCGCGCCCCCCGCCCCUCCCGCUGCCCCCUAGCAGCAGCCGCAGGGUGGCGGGCGGCGCGGAACUGCCGCGGGGGCGGCCGCAAGCAGCAGCAACAGGCGCACGGGGGAAGGGGGCUCAUCAGCAGCAGCAGGCCACCCUACCGUGGACUUACAACACCAAUCCGUGGAUGGGUGUCGUUCAUGCGUACUCGUUGCCGGUCCCUCGGGCUCCUACCCCGGGCAUUCUUGGGCCUCGUCCAGCGAGUCACCAGGCGUUCUCCGUUGCGCCAGCGCCGCCCCCUACCCUGCAUCGCCGGCCACGAGCGGCUACGGCGCAGCCCCCGCGCCUGCCUAGGACGGGUUCUACCCGCCCUAGGUGCCGCCGCCGUGGGAUCCCGCUCUACUCGCCGCCCUGCAUUCGGCGUCACCGAGUAACUAUGGUGGCGGCGGUGACUGCUACAUGGACUCGGGCGCCAGUGCGCACAUGACUGCUCAUCCCGGUAACCUCACAUCUUCCACUCCCGUUCAGACUCCUACUCGCAUCAUUGUUGGUAACGGUUCCUCUCUACCCAUUACACAUGUCAGUCAUAUAUCGUUUUCUUCUACCUCUACUCCUAUUAACAUGUCUAAUGUUCUCGUCUCUCCUGACUUAGUUACCAACCUUGUCUCUGUUCGUCACCUUGCUCGUGAGAACCCUAUUACUGUUGAAUUUGACGAUGUUGGCUUUUCUGUGAAGGACGCCCGUACACGGAUGGUACUCCACCGAUGUGAUAACCCGAAUGAGCUCUACCAGGUGCAUCCUUCUGCCGGCACCACCACCUGUCCCGCCGCCCUUGCUGCUAGUGUCGAUCUCUGGCACGCCCGCCUCAGUCAUCCCAACUCCAUAGUUUUACGUCUGAUUCUUUAGAGUUUUUCAUUCUCAUGUAAUAAGGUCGACGACCACUCUUGUGAGGCCUGCCGUCUCGGCAAGCACGUUCAUCUUUCCUUUAGCGAGUCUACAAACAUUUCCACUUUUCCGUUUCAGUUAUUGCAUAGUGAUGUUUGGACGUCCCGGUUGCAAGCAACAUGGGCUAUCUAUACUAUCUGGUGAUAUUGGAUGAUUUUCCCAUUAUGUGUGGACAUUUCCUCUUCAUCGCAAGUCUGAUGCUUUUGCCACACUCACCGCUUUUUAUUCAUAUGUCACCACACAGUUUGGUCAUCCUAUUCUUGCCUUGCAAACUGACAACGGAAAAGAGUUUGACAACGUUGCCGUCCGCAACCUCCUUGCAUCGCACGACACUUUUUUUGGCUCACUUGCCCCUACGCGUCACAGCAGAAUGGUCGCGCCGAGCGCGUCAUCCGCACUCUUAAUGACUAUGUCCGCACGUUGCUCUUCCACUCCAACGUGCCUCCUCGGUUCUAGCCGAACGCUCUCGCGACCGCCAGCCUUCUCAUUAACAUCCGCCCGUGUCGUCCUCGCUGGAACUAUUCUCCUCACCAUCUCCUCUUCGGUGCGGCUCCAUCCUAUGAUGGUCUUCGCAUUUUCGGGUGUCUCUGUUAUCCUAGCACCGCAUCCACCGCCCCUCACAAACUCGCUCCCCGGUCGGUUCCUUACAUCUUCCUCGGUUAUCCUCCCAACACCAAAGAUUACCGGUGCUAUGAUCCAGUGUCCAACCGCGUCUUCACUUUGCGGCAUGUGUACUUUGAUGAGCUGGUGUUCCCGUUUCAGUAGGUACCGUCCUCCUCGGCGUCUCCCGCGGUGCGGCUCGCCCCUGCCACCACCUAUGCCGAGUCACCCCUCCCACAACACCGAGCACUGGGCCUGGCCCUGCCCGCGCUUCCGGCGCCGGCCGCCCCCUCCCGCGGUGCUUUCAGGUGUGGCCGGCCCCUCGGGCGCCCCCGCCGCCAUGGCCCCUUCGGCCGUCCCCGUCGCCGCGGCCUCUGGCGCCGCCGUGGGUGGCCCCUUGAAGUCUUCAGAUACCGGCUCGACUUCCUCCUCGCCGAUCCCCCUCUCGGCUCCACCGGUUGCAGCCGCACCUCUCACCGGUGUGGUUACCCGGGCUCGGACUGGGAUGUUUCGUCCAAGCACGCGCUACACCUCCGACGAGUAUGCGUAUGUCGCGUCUACCUCGGCCCCGUACCCGUUCCCCACCUCCGCCCGCGCAGCCCUUCGGGAUCCGAACUGGCUUGCUGCGAUGUGUGAGGAGUUCGACGCCCUGCAGCGCAACAACACGUGGCAGCUUGUCCCGCGGCCUCCCCAUGCCAAGUUAUCACUGGCAAGUGGGUUUUCCGCUAUAAGACUCGCCUCGACGGUUCUCUUGAGCGCUACAAGGCGCAUUGGGUGGUGCGCGGCUUCCGCCAGUGCGCCAACGUGGACUUCACCAACACAUUCGCCCCGGUUAUCAAACCGGGCAUGAUUCACGCUGUUCUCCAGCUUGCUGUCUCUCGCGCCUAGCCAGUUCACCAGCUCGAUGUGUCCAAUGCUUUCUUGCAUGGCCAUCUGGACGAGUAGGUGUUUUGUCAGCAGACUACUGGUUUCGUCGACACCGACUAUCCGGACCACGUGUGCUUGCUCUCCCGUUCUCUCUACGGGUUGAAGCAAGCGCCUCGGGCCUGGUACCAGCGGAUCGUGACCUUCCUUCAGCAGGAGGAGUUCCAGUCCACACGGUCCGAUGCCUUCCUGUUUGUUUAUCACCUGGGUGCCGCCACCAUGUACCUUCUCCUGUAUGUCAACGACAUCAUCCUGACUGCAUCCUCGCCAACGCUACUUCAGCAGAUCACAGCUCGCCUCGGCACCGAGUUCGCCCUCAAGGACUUGGGGGCUCUCCACUACUUCCUCGGCAUCGAGGUUGUCCGCCGUGCCGCUGGCUUCUUCCUGCAUCUGCGGAAGUAUGCUUACGAGCUUCUGGAGCGAGCCGGCAUGCUUAACUGUAAGCCUGCUACCACGCCUAUCGAUACGAAGGCCAAGGUGUCUGUCGUCGAGGGAUCUCCGGCAUCCGACGCUCCCUUCUACCGCUCCAUCGUCGGUGCUCUUUAGUACCUCACGCUGACGCAUUCGGAUAUUCAGUAUGCUGCCCAGCAGGUGUGCCUUCACAUGCAUGCUCCUCGUGACACUCAUUGGGCUCUGGUGAAGCAUAUUCUUUGGUAUAUACGUGGCACCACGACUAUGGGUCUCACCCUGACGGCAUCACCUGACACCAGCCUCGUCGCCUACUCCGACGCUGACUAGGCUAGGUGUCCUGACACUUGUCACUCCACUUCCGGCUACUGCGUCUACUGAGGGAGUCCUUGAUUAAGGGGUCCUCGGGCGUCCGGGCUAUGUGACGUGGGCCGGACUGAUGGGCCAUGAAGAUACAAGACAGAAGACUUCCUCCCGUGUCCGGAUGGGACUCUCCUUUGCGUAGAAGGUAAGCUUAGCGUUCAGAUAUGAAUAUUCCUUCCUUUAUAAACCGACUCUGUACAACCCUAGGCCCCUCCGAUCUCUAUAUAAACCGGAGGGUUUAGUCCGUAGAGGCAAUCACAAUCAUACAGGCUAGACAUCUAGGGUUUAGCCAUUAUGAUCUCGUGGUAGAUCAACUCUUGUAAUCCUCAUAUUCAUCAAGAUCAAUCAAGCGAGAAGUAGGGUAUUACCUCCAUCGAGAGGGCCCAAACCUGGGUAAACAUCGUCUCCUCCGUCUCCUGUUACCAUCGACCUUAGACGCACAGUUCGGGACCCCCUACCCGAGAUCCGCCGGUUUUGACACCGACAUUGGUGCUUUCAUUGAGAGCUCCAUUGUGUCUUCAUCAGAAGGUCCGAUGGCUCCAUCAGCCAUCUACAGCAAUGCCGACCUGGGGGAGGUUCUUCUCCCCGGCCAGAUCUUCAUAUUCGGCAGUUUCGCACUGUGGGCCAACUCGCUUGGCCAUCUAGAGCAGAUCGACAGCUACGCCCCAGGUCACCAGAUUAGUUUUGGGAAUCUGGACUAUGUCGCCGAUAUCCGAGAAGACUUGAUCUUUCAAGAGUUCACGACCCCAACCUCCGCUCUGGACUUAGAGCCGGAGCGCAUCGCCAGGUCCGAAGACGGGAUUCCUGAGCCCGUCGGACUAUCUGUGGUCACUAAGCCCAGUACGGGAGAGCCGGAGGAAGUAGUGUCGCUGGCAACCAUCAUGAAGCCGGACUCUUCUCUAGACACUGGCUCCAAACCCUCUGAUUCAGCAUCGUGUGAGCUUGGCCAAGGAUUCCCCUUCCCGCCAUACUCCACGGACUCUCUUCUCCCUUGCCAAACCUUGCCUUUAAGCGAGGCUCUGGACUUGAUGCGAUCCCUCGUCAUUAUAGAGGAGCAACGUUCAAACUACGCCCAGCCCGGACUAGGGACUGAGAGCGGGGAAUUUUACAUCCCACCCACCACCCACUUCAUAGCCACUGUCGAAGACUUAACUGACAUGCUCGACUAUGGCUCAGAAGACAUCGACGGCAUGGACAAUGAUGCCGGAGAGGAGCAGGCCCAAAACCCGCCGUUUACCGGACGCUGGACGGCCACCUCUUCGAAUGAUGUGUACAUGGUGGAUACACCCAAAGAGGGUAACGGCGAUAACAAGAAGAAUGCAGUCGAGGAUAAACCUCCUGAGAUACAACCAAAGCACCGAUGUCAGCGACGCUGCUCUAAAUCCCGCCGUGGAAAAGACAGCAGUACCGGCACGAGAUACAACAAUACUUCGGACGAUGCCGAAGACCAAGAAGACCCUGUCGAGCGAACUUCCGAAUAGGACAAUCAGGAAGAUGGGCAAGUUAGCCCUGAUGAGCAGGCCAUAAACGAAGACUCGGAGGACAGUAAUUACCUUCCACUCUCCGAGGAUGAGGUGAGCUUUGGCGACGAAGACUUUAUCUUGCCUGAGGAACCCCUCGAGCAGGAGCGCUUUAAGCGCCGGCUAAUAGCCACUGCAAGGAGCCUGAAAAAGAAGCAGCAACAGCUUCAAGCUGAUCAAGAUCUACUCCACGACCUGGCAGCCGAGGAAUACGGCCUCGAGCGCCCAACCAAAGUUACCCGAAGCGUAAACUUCUACCUCAAUUUGACGACGAGGCACUGGACCCCGUACCAUCAGCGCGUAACGCGAUUGAUCGACCACCACGUGGCCGGGACAAAACGGCAACUCAAGCCGAACACCAGCCCAUACCACCUUGCCGUAAAGGUACAGACACAACAACUCGGGAAUAUACAUAUGACCUGCAGCAGGACCUGGAAAAUAGAGCAGGUCAGACCAAAUCGAUCUACGGGUCACAGGGGCGUGCUCCGACGUGCGACGACGGCUAUCUAACUGGACGUGACAAGCAUAACCACGUCCGGGCCAAAAACCACAGACGGACUCCAUCCGAGCUACGACGCGACUUGGCCCGAUAUAGAGGUUCCGCACACCGCCUCUGCUUCACUGAUGCAGUAAUGGAGCACGAAUUCCCAAAAGGGUUUAAACCCAUGAAUAUUGAAUCGUAUGAUGGAACAAUGGAUCUCGUGGUAUGGAUUGAGGACUUUCUUCUCCAUAUUCAUAUGGCUCGCGGCGAGGAUCUUUAUGCCAUCAAAUACCUCCCGCUAAAACUCAAGGGACCAGCUCGGCCCUGGUAAAAUAGACUGCCAGAAAACUCUAUUGGUAGGUGGGAGGACUUGGAAGACGCCUUCCGUGACAACUUCCAAGGUACAUACGUCCGACCUCCGGAUGCCGAUGACUUAAGUCACAUAGUUCAACAGCCCGGAGAGUCAGCCAGGAAAUUCUGGACCAGGUUCCUAACUAAAAAGAACUAGAUCGUCGACUAUCCGGAUGCCGAAGCCCUAGCAGCCUUUAAGCAUAGCAUCCGCGACGAAUGGCUCGCCCGACACCUCGGCCAAGAAAAGCCGAAGUCCAUGGCAGCCCUCACAACACUUAUGACUCACUUUUGUGCGGGCGAAGAUAGCUGGCUAGCCAGUAGCAAUAAUAAUGCAAGUGAACCUGGCACCUCUGAAGCCAUAAAUAGCAAUGGCAAGCCCCGACGCAACAGGCACAAGCGUCGAAGCAACGGUGACAAUACCGAUGACACAGCGGUCAACGCCGGAUUCAGGGCUCCAAGUCCGGCCAGCGGAAGAAGCCAUUUAAAAGAAACAGUCCGGGCUCAUCCAGCUUGGACCACAUACUCGAUCGUCCAUGUCAGAUCCACGGCACCCCAGAUAAACCAGCCAAUCAUACCAACAGAAGUUGUUGGGUCUUUAAACAGGCCAGCAAGUUAAAUACCGAGAACAAGGAGAAGGGGUCGCAAAGUGAGGACGACGAUGAGGAACCUCGUCCACCGAACACAGGGGGUCAGAAGAAGUCCCCCCCCCCCCAGGUUAAAACGGUGAACAUGAUAUACGUUACCCAUAUACCCAAAAGGGAGCGCAAACGCGCGCUCAGGGAUGUCUACACGAUAGAGCCAGUCGCCCCAAAAUUCAACCCAUGGUCGUCCUGCCCGAUCACCUUCGAUCGUAGGGACCAUCCGACUAGUAUCCAUCAUGGCGGUUCAGCCGCACUGGUCCUCGACCCAAUCAUUGAUGGAUUCCACCUCAUGGACGGUGGCAGCAGUCUCAACCUGCUCUAUCAGGAUACAGUCCGCAAGAUGGGCAUCGAUCCAUCAAGGAUCAAGCCCACAAAAACUACCUUUAAAGGAGUAAUACCAGGUGUAGAGGCCCGCUGCACGGGAUCACUCACAUUGGAAGUCAUUUUCGGAUCUCCGGACAACUUCCGAAGCGAGGACUUGAUCUUCAAUAUCGUGCCCUUUUGCAGUGGCUAUCACGCACUGCUCGGACGAACUUCAUUUGCUCGAUGCAAUGCGGUGCCACACUAUGCCUAUCUCAAACUCAAGAUGCUUAGACCACACGGUGUCAUAACAGUCCAUGGAAACGUAGAAGCUCCCUCCGUACCGAGGAGCACACCGCGGCCCUGGCAGCGGAAGUACAGAGCGGCCUUAUCAAGUAGAACAUUAAUUCAGCGGCCAAGCUCCCGGACACUGUUAAACGAGUCCGGACUACUCCGUAGCAUGAUAGUCUAGCUCUUCAGGAGUUUGACUAGCAAUUCGGCCUCCGUCUCAGUCCCGACCAAAUGGCGGCAUACGUACCGCGCGUACAUAACUACACACUCAAAAUACCAUGGGCAAAUACGGAGGCGUAACUCGAUUGUGCUCCAUAAUAUGGCUCGACCUUCCCUGGGCACACAUAUUUUUCCUUCUCUUUUUAUCAUUUUCAGGUUUCUUUUCCGCAGGCCCCUCACGACGACCUGGUCAUCGAUCCUUUCGAAGGAUGGAUAUACCAAGGCGACAAGUAGCAUAGACGUGUGGGGGAAUCUCUAGGUGGUCUUCUUGACGAUCACUCUACCUGCUUUCAGGACCCGCAUGCAGCUCCCUCUACAUGUUAAACAACCCUGUUGCUUAUCGCACUAUUUGUACAAAUACGCUUUAACGUAUUAAUCAAAUUAUAAUGAAAAUAGUUUGCGGCCCAACUUAUGUGUCACUGACUUACUACUUCAUUUUAUUUCGCUAUUUUUAUCAAUUGCACCCGUACACUUUGGUACGCUUUAAUUCGCGAGGGGCUUCAUUGCGCUCCAUACUACGGCAACAAAGUCUAAACACUUUUUGUAGUAUAGUUCGGCACUCCGAAUUUAGCAUUAUAUGCAUCGGCUCCGAAUCAUGUCUUUGGUCAAUAGUUGGGUUGCCCGACUCCUGUGCUUGCUACCUUACGUUCCGUUCUAUCGGCUAGGGUAGUAAAGGGAGAACUACUGCGAUUGUGUUUCUGGUUUAUCCGGGUAAACACCUCAGUAGAGAAAGCCGAAAACUAACUGUCAUGAUGCAGUGAGAGCUGGUCAGCUAUUCGGAGGUUUAAAUCUCUUGCGAUUUUUUGUCCCGCAUUAUGCAAUGGAUCGGCCUCCACCCGAUCAGGCGUCUACAACACCCUAGUCCGGAUUAACAAAUAUUAACUAGAGGUUGCGCCUACAUUUCUAUUGUCAAACUCCUAUGGCUAAGUGAGGGUGAUAAAGCCACAUAGUCUGAUUGCCUAGUUCGCUGCGCUAAACACCUCCUUCAAGGACCAAACUCUUGGAUCAAGAGUGUUUAGGUUUCAACCCGAAUGGCCCCGUACUACCUACAUGGGGGCUGAAGCCGAUGACUGGCCAACUCUCAGAUUUAAUAAAACGGCCGCACAGGAGGCAAAAUUUUCAAUAAACAACAAGCAUUAUAUUACAUAUCGGCUUUGUUUCAUAAUACAGGACGGGAUAACAUGAAUGUUUUCAUUCAAAGAUAAUGUCUUUUGCACACUGGCCCUCUAUAAUGCGGGAUCCCUUCAGGACAUCAUCAAAAUACCGCUCGGGCGUGCGGUGCUCCUUGCCUGCGGGCGGUCCCUCGAUCGCGAGCUUGACGACGUCCAUCUUCGCCCACUGCACCUUGACACGGGUGAAGGCCAUCCGCGCACCUUCGAUACAGACCGACCGCUUGGUGGCAUCAAGCCGAGGGCAGGCAUCGACCAGCCGCUUCACGAGCCCUAAGUAACUGUUGGGUAUGGCUUCGGCAGGCCAUAGACGGAUUAGCAAAUCCUUCAUGGCCAAUUUAGCCACCGUAUGCAGUUCGGUAAGCUAUUUCAGUUGAUCGCUAAAGGGCACCGGAUGCUCUGGCGCAAGGUAUUGCGACCAGAACAGCUUCUCCGUUGAGCUCCCCUCUUCAGUCGGAAGAACUCCGCAGCAUCAGCAACACUGCACGGCAGAUUCGCAAACACUCUUGGAGAACUCCAAAUCCGGGUCAGUAAGAGGUACCUUUUCUUCACAAAUUUGCUCUGCAUAAUAAAGGCCUUACCCGCUGCAAUUUUCCUGGCCUCCUGGAUUUCCUGGAGGGCGCCCUGGGCUUCAACUCGGGCUUCUUGUGCACUUUGGCGAGCCUUAGCAAGUUCGGACUCUUGGUCCGCCUUCUUGCGCUCCAAGGACUCACAUUUCUUCAUGGUGUCCUGGAGCUCCUGCUGGACCUCCCCGACCCUGGCCUCGUGUUUUUCGCGGGCGGCUUGUUCCUUUGCCGCUCUCUUCUGGGCCUCGGCUAGCUUGAGGGUCUCCACCUCGGUCGCAACUCCUAUGACAUAUCAUGAUACCAUGAUCAACACAAACAAUUCAUAUCUUUUUAGAUCUGAAUAGGCCAUUGCAUACCUUGCUUGUCCUCUAGUUGUUUUUUCACAUGGCCGAGCUCUUCCUCGGCCCGCUCCAGACUCUGCUUCAGUUUGGAGACUUUGCCAGAAUGGGAGGUCGCAGCCAGCAUCGACGCCUGCUUAUUCACAAAGACAUGUAUGGUUAGUCUCCUGCGAAAAUUAUUUGAUCCUCUGUCUGGCUUCUCUUUUCGAGCACGAGACAGUGUCUCAGGGGAUACUAUCUAUACUAUGACAUUCUUUUACAUAAUAACGUCACAUACCUCAAAGCCUGUUAGAAGGCUGGUGCAGGCUUCGGUCAGCCCGCUCUUAGCGGACUGAACCCUCUCAACCAGCGUACCCAUAAGGAUACGGUGUUCCUCCAUAAUGGAAGCACUUUGCAGCGCUUCCAGUAAAGUAUCUGGUGCCUCUGGAUGGACAGAGGUCACCGGCAGAAUAGGUGCACCUCCUUCUUUUCGAAGGAGGCUUCUUGCCUGAUUCCGGAGCCGUAUGGGCCUCCGGAAUAGUAUUCGGCUGGGGGCCGAAUUGGAUAUGGCCCCCAUCACCAGUCUCCGAGGGGGAUUUGCUCCCCCAUGUGUCAGGCGGCCGAGGUAUCACCCUCUGGCGCCACCUUGACGGCCUCUUGUAUCUCUCCCAGCCUGGGGAGGUCCUUCGGGACAACACCUCGGCAUCAUCCAUGGCCUUGGGAGAGGAGGCCACCGGAAGUGACCCGCUGUCCAUCACAUUUGGAUCCAGCGAAUUCCCAAAGAUGAGGAUUGCUGUGGGCGGGCGUGGGCCAGACUGCAGUUCAUGAUUUGAGAUAUUAAAACCACGAAGUAAAAAAGUUGGAUAUAUGUUUGUAUAAGUGCCUUUAAGUACUUACAAUUAGGCCAUGGGCUUCUCCCUGGGGCGCCACUCGGAGCUGCUAUCAGUGCCCAACGUGGAGUUGUCCGUGAGGGAGACCUUCCCCUUCUUGGACGCCUCUCCCUCCAGAUCCAUGGAGGCUGCCCUUUUCUUCCUUCCCCCCUCGGGGGGAGAGUUGCUUUCCUCCUCCUCCUCCUCGUCCUUGGCGGUGAAGGAGGAGUGGGUUUUGGCGUCUUCGGACGUCAUGUCCGAAGUGCCUUUACGGCGGUGUCCACUUCUGCUCUCCUUGGCCUUCUUCUUGGCCUUCUUCUCCGACGCCUGGUAGGGCACCGCAACCAGCAUCUUCGUCAAAAGUGGGAUUGCUGGGUUUUCGGGCAGCGGAGCCGGACACUGGAUCCACUCUGCCUUCUUUGUCCAGCCCUGAAAAGACAGAUAGGGAAGCUCAGUCAUCUUCCUUGAAUGUGCAGGUGAAGGAUAUGCCUCGAAAUAUGAAAAACUUACCGAACUGGCGGGAUGGGUUAGGUUGUACCCACGAUCCUCGGUCGUCUGCGGCCACGUCUCAUUGACCUUAAAAAGCACCUUCCAGAUGCCUUCGUGCGUGGAGCCGAAGAACUGCUGCAAGGUCUGGUGCUUGGCUGGAUCAAACUCCCACAAAUUGCAAGUCCGGCUUUGGCAAGGAAGGAUCCGGCGAAAAAACAUCACCUGGAUCACAUUGACAAGCUUGAUGUCCUUGUCCACCAUGCUCUUGAUGCGCAUCUGCAGCGUUGACACCUCGUUCGACGACGCCCAGUCUAGGCCCUUUUCUAGCCAGGAGGUAAGCCGCAUUGGGGCCCCGGACUUGAAUUCGAGAGACGCAACCCAGGUGGUGUCGCGGGGCUCUGUGACGUAGAAUCACUGCUGCUGCCACCCUUUGACAGUCUCCACAAAGGUGCCUUUGGGCCACGUGACGUUGGACAGCUUGCUCACCAUAGCGGCUCCGCACUCUAUGUGUUGAUGACCCACCACCUUCAGUUUCACAUUGAAGGUCUUCAGCCACAAUCCGAAGUGGGGUGGGAUGCGGAGGAAGGCCUCGCACACGACAAUGAAUGCUGAGAUGUUGAGGAAGGAGUUUGGGGCUAGAUCAUGGAAAUCUAGCCCGUAGUAGAACAUGAGUCUGUGGACGAAUGGGUGGAGAGGAAAUCCCUACCCGCGGACGAAGUGGGGGAUGAAUACCACCCUCUCAUGGGGCUUCAGGGUGGGGACGAUCUGCCCCUUGGCCGGAAGCCGGUGGGUGAUUUCCUGGGCCAAGUACCCCGCCUCCCGGAGCUUCAUGAUGUCCUUCUCCGUGAUGGAGGAGGCCAUCCACUUGCCCUGCGCUCCAGAUCCGAACAUGGUCGGAGUGUUUUUUUUAGACGGAAAUGAUGGAAGCUUGAGUGCUGGAGCUCAAGAAUGGGUGGGCAGAGAGAAAGAAGGUGUGGGUGAAAAAGUGAAUCCUUAUCUCCUUAUAAAGGCAGCGAAUAUCAAGCGCUUCCCCAUUCGCCUUAAAACUCACCUAUUCCCCAAGGGUCGUGUAGACGGCGCGGCUGGAUUACCCACGCCCGUAUUGAUGAGAAUCCCGCAAUAAGGGGACACGAUCUCUGCUUCGACAAGACGUGCCAAUGGAAACCGCAUCUCAAAACACGGAGCAGGAGGCUAAAAAAUGGUUCGAAAUAAUGACCGGGCGAAGACGUGGCGUCUCACUACAGAAGAUGUCAGUAGAUGGGACUUGUUAAAUAUUAUACUCAUUGCGGGGCUUAUUUUUGCAGAGCCGGACACGUUAUCUGUGUUCGAAGACUACUUUUAAAUAUUCGGAGGAGGAACCCGCUGUAGGACCUUGAAGUAUGUCUAGAGGGGGGGUGAUUAGACUACUUGACCAAUAAAAACUUAACCUUUUCGCAAUUUUAGAGUUUGGCAGAUUUUAGCUACUUUAGGACAAGUCAAGCAAUCAUCACACAAUCCAAGCAAGCAUGCAAAAAGUAUAUAGGCAGCGGAAAUUAAAGCAUGCAACUUGCAAGAAAGUAAAGGGAAGGGUUAGGAGGAUUCAAACGCAAUUGGCGACACGGAUGUUUUUGGCGUGGUUCCGAUAGGUGGUGCUAUCGUACAUCCACGUUGAUGGAGACUUCAACCCACGAAGGGUAAUGGCUGCGUGAGUCCACGGAGGGCUCCACCCACGAAGGGUCCACAAAGAAGCAACCUUGUCUAUCCCACCAUGGCCGUCGCCCACGAAGGACUUGCCUCACUAGUGGUAGAUCUUCACGAAGUAGGCGAUCUCCUUGCCAUUACAAACUCCUUGGUUCAACUCCACAAUCUUGUCGGAGGCUCCCAAAUGACACCUAGCCAAUCUAGGAGACACCACUCUCCAAGAAGUAACAAAUGGUGCGUUGAUGAUGAACUCAUUGCUCUUGUGCUUCAAAUGAUAGUCUCCCCAACACUCAACUCUCUCUCAAUGGGUUUGGAUCUGGUGGAAAGAAGAUUUGAGUGGAAAGCAACUUGGGGAAGGCUAGAGAUCAAGAUUCAUAUGGUAGGAAUGGAAUAUCUUGGCCUCAACACAUGAGUAGGUGGUUCUCUUUGCAAUGCCGAAGACAAUCUGCGCGCCGGACACAUCGUCAUUGAAGCCUGGUUCAGGGGCUACUGAGGGAGUCCUCGAUUAAGGGGUCCUCGGGCGUCCGGGCUAUGUGAUGUGGGCCGGAUUGAUGAGCCAUGAAGAUACAAGACAGAAGACCUCCUCCCGUGUCUGGAUGGAACUCUCCUUUGCGUAGAAGGCAAGCUUGGCAUUCAGAUAUGAAGAUUCCUUCCUUUGUAAACCGACUCUGUACAACCCUAGGCCCAUUCGGUGCCUGUACAAACCGAAGGGUUUAGUCCGUAGAGGCAAUCACAAUCAUACAUGCUAGACAUCUAGGGUUUAGUUAUUACGAUCUCGUGGUAGAUCAACUCUUGUAAUCCUCAUAUUCAUCAAGAUCAAUCAAGCAGGAAGUAGGGUAUUACCUCCAUCGAGAGGGCCCGAACCUGGGUAAACAUCGUGUCCCCCGUCUCCUGUUACCAUCGACCUUAGACGCACAGCUCGGGACCCCCUACCCGAGAUCCGCCGGUUUUGACACCGACAUCUACCUCGGGCCCUCUCUGAUUUUGUGGGUCUCACGAUCGAGCGCCGAGGCCGAGUACAGGGCAGUGGCCAACGCCGCCGCGGAGUGUUCCUGGCUACGACAGCUACUUCAGGAGUUGCUAUGUGAGGUUCCCAAGGCCACACUUGUCUACCGUGACAACGUCUCCGCGGUCUACGUCGCUGCCAACCCUGUCCAUCACCGACGGACGAAGCAUAUUGAGCUCGACAUUCACUUCGCCAAGGAGCACGUCGCACUUGGUCGUGUUCGAGUUCUGCAUGUGCCCACCUAUCAGCAGUUCGCCGUCGUUAUGACGAAGGGACUACCUACCUCGACUUUCGAGGGCUUUCGAUCCAGUCUUUGCGUCACCAACGACGCUUCGACUGCUGGGGGGUGUUGAGCAUGUGUACAUGUAUAUAGGUCCGGGUUUUGUAGGCCGCACCUGUAGUGUCUCUCUCCCUCUGUAUGUUCCUGUAUGUUGAGAGACAAGACAUCGGUGGCACCCCUUGUACCUAUAUAUAUGUGUCUAGUGCAUGAUCAAUCAAUUAUCGAUGAACCAAAUCAUUCUCUACACCAAAACUGUAGCCAUUUCCGAAGUUCUUCAGCUGAGCCCUUUACUAGGAUGCUUCGCGAGACAGAAGAAAAUAAAACACCGGCGCACAACGGUUAACACCACACGGUUUAGCAAGUGCCAUCGUGCGUUGCCGGUCGUCCGCACGAAUGAUAUGGCGCAGCCCACAGGUUCAGCCACUGGAUCGGCUAAUGCCAUUUGGGAAUAGUAUAUCACGGCAACAAAGCACACUUGCUUUAAAUUUAAGGUAAAGCUGCCGGCCUGCCGGGCACUUGAUACUACUACCGGGCAAACAAUUGCGUAACUGGUCGACUGAUUGAAGGCAGAGUACUUUGUGUAAUUAAAUACGAAGAUCUGGAGAUCGUUGCGUAUCAUGGUGGGUGGUAAUGGUUCGUCAGUUCGUAGUAUAUAAUGUAACGCAAGCGACAAGCGAGGAGUUCCUUUCACAUAGACAUAGUCCACCCACCCCAACCCAACCGAACACAAUCAACUUGUGAAGGUUGGUACAGAUCCUGCGUAGCAGCUAUAAUGUUUUUGAUUCAUAGGUGCAUCAUACUGUUAGGGUAAAUAACACAGAAGCAUGCUAGUAUAGUUUGUUGAGGAGAAGACAGCAUGGAGCGCCAUAAUGUUCAGAUCCAGAUUUAAUCGGUUUUCAGAUACAGAUUUAAUCAGUGUUCAGAUCCAGAUUUAACACAGAAACAAUGCUAGUACAAGUACCACAGAUCUGGGACAUGCGGGGAAUCAUAUUGAAACAUCUGCGCCUCUAAAACAAGCAGACCGACGAGCGUCGCGGUGGCCGGAGAAGAAGGGAAUGGAUCAACCCUAAAACAAGAUCUCAUUUCCGACUUCUCUCAUCUAAGCUCUAACACAGAAAGGACUGGGUGAUGCCCAGAUCGAAAGAGGGAACAACUAGGUACACGCACGGGCACAGCAGCAUGUCUGGUUGUGUCGGCGAGUUGGCUGGCGGCCUAGGUGGAGCGGGCGAGGCGGGAGGCGAUGGCGGAGUGGUACAUGGCGUCGUGGAAGCUCUCCGUCUCCACCAUCCGCGCCCGCAGCUGCCGCGCCUUCUCCUCCGUCAGGCCGCCCACGAACGACCUCCCCGCCUUCUCCUCCUCCUCCUCCACCACCGCCAUCGCCGGCGCCGGUGCCGCGGCCUCGAUGUAGUCCGCCCGCCCGGACCAGCCGAGCAGCGGCGCCCACCACUUGCCUCCCUCGGGGGCUCCCGCCGCGCGGACCCGCCCGGCGCCCACGGAGCUAGAGGCGGAAGCGGCGCGGGGCCCGAAAGUCGUUCCCGUAGAUGGGCGGGGGGAGAAGGAGACGGCGGAUGCUGACGGUGCCAUGGCCAUUAGCUCGGUCGCUUGCUUGGCUCGUAAGAUUCUACUACGGGGUUUCUUUGCUUUCGGUUUGGUGAGAGAUGGUGAGGACUGUUGUAAACUGUGAAUGCUGGUUGAGCUUGCGAGAUGGAGAGCUGGAGAUGGUGGGAAUUUAUAACCAGGGCAAGAGGAUGAAGAGUGGAUAGGAACGGCGCGUGGGCGCGCGGUGUGGGGGUGCGCUUUUCCGUUACGCGUGACGCAUGAUCGCCUGGACUCAUGCAUUUUCCACAUAAUGUACAAUCCACCGCUCCACCUACAAACGCCGCAGUCGGGACUACUCACUCUCUACCCAUCCUACCAGAAGAUCGAGCAUGCUAUCCACUUCGCCCUUCGAUAAGCUCGCCUGCUGCCAAGCCUUGCCUUCCGUGAUGAUGUGCCCAACUACCUGCUGUAGUGAUGGAGCAGCGACGUCGAACACAAUUGCAUUCCUAUGCUUCCACAACUCCCAAAGCCCUAGGGUGAGGAGCGCCCGUAGCUCCUUCGGCUUGCGGACACUCGACGUUCGCGCAACACACCAAUCCUUUAGGUUGUCUUGGGCCGUUGGGGACCACUGCGGCUUCCCCAGGGUCGAGCACAGAGUUCUCCAAACUGUUCUAGCGAACACACAUGUCAGCAGGAUGUGGUCAAUGAUUUCGUCCUCCUGGUCGCAGAACGGGCAAGCAUCUUGAUGCGGGAGACCGCGACGGGCAAGUCUGUCUGAAGUCCAGCAUCUGUUUCGCAUAGCUAGCCAGGUGAAGAAGCGGCACCGGAGAGGAGCCCGAGAUCGCCCGGAAAAGUCCGCCGUCGGCGCCACCUCCCUACCAACGAACCGUGCCGCAUAGGCCGACCGAACCGAAAAUUGGCCGUUCGUUUCCCAGGCCCAAGUAAUGGCGUCGGGGACGUGCUCCCGGAGCUGGAUCCCAUGUAGUCGGGGCCAUUUCACUGUGUCGAACGCUUUGGAUAUGUCCAACUUGAUCAUCAAAGCCGGCUGCUUCAAGGCAUGAAGGUGGCGGGCCGUACACUGCGCAAGCAUAAAGUUGUCGUGAAGGAGCCGUCCCUUGACAAAAGCGCCUUGAUGCCGGCCCACCAAAUGUGGUAGGUCCUCGAAAAGGCGGCACGCCAACACCUUGUCGAAAAUUUUCACCGCACCAUGUACCAAACUCACCGGGCGGUAGUCCUUUAACUCCUCGGCUCCCUCUCUCUUUGGCAACAUAGCCACUAGAGCUUUGUUGAGUGAUGCUAAUCCACGCAUGUCCCCAUGGUAGAAUGCCGUAAGGGCAUUCAUGAAGUCGUCCUUGAUGAUAUUCCAGCACAGCGCAUAGAACCGGGUCGUAAAGCCAUCCGGCCCGGGUGCCUUGUCAAGGGGCAUGGUUUUGAUCACUUUGAAAACUUCAUCAGCCGUGAACGGUUCCUCCAAGUGAUGCAAGUCCAUGGAGGGUAGAUCAAGUUGUGCCAGAUCAAUCGUGAUUUGGCGACCCGUGGUGGAACCAAACAAUGCCCCGUAAUAUGUAUCCACAACUUCCGCAAUCCUCUCUUGGCCCGAGAUAACCCCGUUGUUCUGCCGGAGUGACAUGAUCACAUUCUUCCGUUGUCGGUGCCUGGCAUGGUGAUGAAAGAACUCCGUGUUGGCGUCCACCUCCUUCAGAUGCAACAACCUUGAGCGUUGCCUUGCGAUCGACCGUUGUAAGGAGGAGAUACACAAGAGCUUCCUUUUCAGAAGUUUACGAAGCACAAACUCCUCUUGGCUCAGAUGUCUAGUCUCCAUGGCCACAUCUAGACGUAGGAUCAACUCCAGGGCAAUUGCGAUCUGCAUGCGUAUAUUGCCAAUCCACUUGUCAUUCCACCGUUGGAGGUGCUUAGCGGUGGCCCUCAAUUUAUUGUUCAACACCAUGUAGGGGUUGCCCUCCGAUGAUAUGGAGUGCCAUGCCUCCUGCACCUUUUCUAUGAAGACCGGAGCCUUGGGCCAGAAGGCUUCGAAUUUGAAGCGUUUCCCAUAUUGGAAGUCCGCGUGCAGGUCCACCAAGAGUGGACAGUGGUCCGAGAUCGCCGAGCUCAACGCCAUUAGGAAGCUGGAAGGGUAAAGAUCCUCCCAACAGUUUGUCCCGAACACGUGAUCAAUCCUUUCCAACGUGGCCCUAGACAUCUCGUUGGACCACGUAUAGUGUCUCCCAUUCAAAUAUAUCUCCUUGAGCUCCAACCUAUUCAGUUUGGAUCAAAAACGGCUGAUCAUGCGGCGGUUAACAGAGUCAUUGUUCUUAUCCUCUGGAUUGACUAGGAGAUUGAAAUCACCAACACUACAAAAAAAAUAUACUUCCGUGAUGAUACAUGUUUGUCACAGUAGGUCGUGUUUUUUGUCAUGCAUGUACAUCCAUGACAAAUUUAUGACAGCAUCAAGAUAGUCAUACCUGUGCUGUCGUAGAAGUGUUCCAUGACAUUACCAACAUUAUCAUCACGGAAGUGUCCACUUCCAUGACAAUAAAUCGCGCGUCACAGAAGUGCUUUCGUCAAGGGUGACUGACACAUGGCAUCCACCAUAAUGGAACGCCGUUAAGCUAUCGGGUCGGAUUUUAGAUCUGAUAACCCGUUAACAGCCACGACCAACGCCGAUUUUCCACGUGUAAAAUUCUCAUUGGCUGACGGAUCCACGUGUCAGCUCCACGUUGGCACAGGUGUCACUCAUCCAAUGGUUGAGAUGGGCCUAUGAUAUGUUAACACGUGGACCGACACAAAAGUGGCCCACAAAGUUUAAGUGGGUCGGCCCAACUGAAGGCCCAUAAGAUUUAGCGGACUAUAAUGGGCCGGCCCAGCUAAAUGCCCACAAAAUUUAGCGGACCAUAAUGGGCUGGCCCAGCUAAAGGCCCACAAGAUUUUGCGGACCACAAUGGGCCGGCCCAGCUAAAGGCCCACAAGAUUCUGCAGACCAUAAUGGGCCGGCCCAGCUAAAGGCCCAACAUUCUCUGUCAAAUCGGCCCGUCAACGGCCUGUUCUAAACUUGUCAUCAAUGUGGUUCAUGGUCACUUCUAGCCCGUUAACAGUCCGCUAAGUAAUUGGACCGAAUUAUGGCCCGGUGUAUUUCCGGCCUGUUAAAGGUCCGGCUUCAUUUGGGCCCAUUUACAGGCCAUCAAAACUUUUGGCCCAUAAACGGCCGUGAAGGAUUUGGGUCAUAUUCGGCCAUGUCUGUCAUUCGGCCUGUUAGAGGCCCACUAUAGAUUUGGGCCACUUGCGGCCUGUUGUCAUUUUCGGCCUGUUAAUGCCGGACGUAAACCAUGGGCCAUAUGUGGCCCAACGUCAUAUCGGGCCCAUUAACGACCCAUAUAAAAAUGACGAUAAUCUAGCCCGACCGAAGUUCCGGCCUAUUAAAGACCCGUGUAUUAGGUCAGCGCAUUUACGGCCCGUCCGAAUUUCGGCCUGUCGAAUAUCCGCAUAGUAAAUGGGCCACCAUUUCGGCCUGCUAAGUCCAGUGGGUUAUUUGGCACAAUCAGGGCCCAAUCUCACUUUCGAUCUAUUAAAGGCCCAUGUUUUUAUGGGCUCAAGAUAUUUACACCUGUAAACGACCUAUUUUUACUAAGAGCCCAAAUUAUGUUUAGGCCUGUUAAAGGCCCACUAUGGGCACAUGCCUACUAGAAAAAUUUGAAAGCUUAUGCUAAUUUAAGCCCAGAUAUUUUUAGUGUGCUACAUGCCAAUUUCGACCCGUAAUCGUUUUUAGCCCAAUUGGAAUGGGCCCGACGAUUGUUGGCAUGUUGGGCUCCUACGAAGCUUUCGUCCGAAUACAUUACUAAGAUAAACCUACACUAUACAAAAAUAGCGUCAUAAUUACUGCAGCCUAUGGCAGCAUCAUAAAUGUUGUAUCACAACAAAGUAAAUUCCAAUCAUACAACAAAAGGCCUGUUGGCAUAAAGUUUACAGUCCUUCCAGAUAAAAGCACCAUCAGAUGUAUAGAAGCACAGAUCAUUUGACCUGAGUGCUAAUGUUUCAAGCUGUAGAAUCUGAUGGAGCAGCACGAUCUCCACCUUUUUUUCCGCCAUUGCUCUUCAACAACGAAGCGAGUGUCUGAUAGUCUGGUUUCAAAGCCAUUCAUAUCUUGACGACAUUUCUCAACCACUAUUCUUGUUUCCGAAACAACGUUCAUUAGGGAUUGGACUUGUGUGUGGAGCACAGAUAUAUCACUCUGUCUAGCAGGAAGAUUUUGUUCAGUAGGCGAUUUGGACGAGGUUACCAUGACAACCAACCCGGAAUUACGCAGGAAGGUGCUUUUUGCACUGUUAGUGGAGAGAUACUGACGCACUGCAGCAAGAGGUGACAUUGUGCCUGUAGUAGCCUCGUCACCUUCAGGUGGUUGUGGCUGUUCAAUCAUUUGUUCCAUAGCUUUCUGAAAGUUUGAACUUGUAGAUUAGUGUACCAGUGAGUUACUAAUGAGAUAAAAACAAACAAAGUAGGUUAAACGUUUAUACACAACUUAUUUUGAUGAACUACUGUAAUACAUUAGCAUGUAUUGUAGUGCCAACUACAUAAUAAAAUCACUUUCGGAACAUAUGUCCAUGUAGCAUGCCUACUGUAUUGUAUAUUUCCUCACAUUCGUUGACAUCUAAGGAUAAAGAGACAUGGUUUAAAGUAGGAUGAACAUAGUAUGACAUCAUUCAUAUCAUGGGCAAACAGAUAUAAAACAAACAGGCUAUUUUAUCAUUGCGUGUGCACGUGAACAUAACAACUAUAUUACAGAUCAAGACCAAAAGAAUAUCCUUCAUCUCUUUUAAACCAUGUAAGGUGAAAUGAUACGUUAAGACAACUGUGUAUAAAAAUGAACAGAGUAACUGACAUUGGCUGCAAACCAAGUAGUUAAAUGAACACAUCACAGUACCAAUCAGUUCAAGGCAGGAGGAGUAAGAACUUACAACAACGGCUUGAACUGGUGUGCUCAUGCCCUUCAUCUUGCUGGUGUGGCAAUCCUUGAAGAUUUGCACUGCAUUCGGUUCAGGUCCUUUUUGGUCCGCACGGGCUUUCCUUUGUAUUUGGAACAAGUCAAUAUAGAUACGAUAAUAUGGCACAAAAAAGAAGGAAGUAGCAGCUAUUUAUAAGAGCCUCGCAGUGUGCAAUAUAACUACGAGAUCAUGUUGUCUGUUGGAAUUUCACUUUAGAACGGUUGGUUUUGUUCUUCAAACAGUUAGCCUAGAAGAAGAUACACUAGUAAGGCACAUACAUAAAUACAAGUUCAAUAUGUGGUCUGAUCAAAUACAUAUAGCCUACCCGAUACUUUGGAUCACACCAGUGUUUAACGAGGGCUGUCCAGUCUUCAUCUAUAAUAUAUUCCAUUGGAGAUGUUUGGGCGAUUUCAUUGUUAUCCUUGCCUUCAAAGUGAGAUUUUCUAAGGUGGUACCGAUACUGUCGCAGAGCAGACUGAAAAACAUGAGUGCAUGCUUGUUUAGAUGCAUCAUCUUUCGGAUCCAACUUGAACCUCAUCUGUUGAAAAAAGAAUGUGAGUCUUAUUAGGAGGAAGCUAGAAAGUAUGGGACAGAGCAAGACAAUAUUACUAAUUGCGAUGAAUAACAUUACUUACGGAUAAAUGGUCAAGGAAGGUGUUAAACUGGGUAUUUUCUUUCUUAUUCCUGUAUUGGAUCCACGUUGGGAGGAUACGCGCAUGACACCUAACGGCAACGGCUGCCUAUGAUACUAACUUGGCUGACUCUGUAGCAUCACGUGGCCUUUUUAAACCUACCUCAAAAUGGAUCUCCAUUCUUCCUCCUUUAGAUUUUGUUAAUCUGUCAAGCAUUAUCCCUGAUGUCUAUUUCCGCUUGCACCGUGGUGCUAGUUCAACAACGAAUAUGGAAAGUGUUAGUGUACAUCAAACUGUGAGAGUACAUAUAAAGGAGCAUGCAACUGCAACUUGACUCGGUCAGGUACCGUCUUGGUGUUGAUGCUCAUGAGGUUCAUCUGAUCUUGCCAAGUCCUGUUGUGUCAGCCGUGCUUCGGAAGUAGUGUUAGGUGUGAAGGCAGCUUGGGAACUGGCCAGUUCCGGAGCAAACGAACGAGUAACUGGUUGAGAUGCUGGUACAGUUGAAGCGGAUGCUGCAGCUGGUGGAGCAGGUGAUACUGUGUUUGUAGAUUUAGCCGGUGGACUUGGAACUUCUACUGCACUAUAAGUACCAGCAGAAUCUCGAUGGCAGAACCUUUUUCGUUUCACCCGACGAGUAACAGCACUCCCUACUAUAUUAUUUUCCUUGCUCUUUUUUGACUUUGCCAUGUCAAGCUGUACCCACAACAUAAAAGAAUAAAAUCACUCUUCAGAACUCAUUGAUGCAUGAUACAGACAAGCAAUACUUUGAUGUAAUACAACCGUAUGAGGAUGGAAUAUGUAAGAAAAACAAGAUGGCAUGACAUAUUCAUAGCUACGAUGUGCAAACUAAGCAGAAGGAUUCUCAAGAAAAUAGAAGUAAUGCAAGCUAGACACCAUAUGAAAGAUGCAACCAAUAUUACUCUGCCAAGUUAAAAGUGUCUUGUCAUAAGUGGCAACUCGAAAAAUUAGAAGCAGUACAACAUAGAAAUCAAUGCAAGAUGCAACCACUAUCAAACUGCCAUGUUAAAAGCGUCCAAUCAUGAGUUACUGAUGCGGGAUACACAACAAUAGUACUUUGAUGUAAGAACAUGGUAUGAUAGAUAGAUGCAGUGUAUUCUAGACACAGAAAACCAUGUCAUAUGCACAUGUAUAACAUAUAAGCUCAGCAGGUGCAAUUUAAUCAAAAUAGAAGAAAUAUAGGCUAGACAACAUAUGCAACAUGAAACCAAUUAUCACACUGUCAACUUAGAGCAAGCACCUACGAUGGUGGAGUGCGGGAGAUGAACUCAUCAUGUAGACUUGGAACUUCAACUUCAUUAGCAGUAGCAGUAGCAAAUCUAGAGAGUCUCUGUUUGCGUCGGUGCAGAGUACCACCAACAUCCCCUAACUUACUCUUUUCCUUCCUAUUUUCUGAUAUUGCCUUAUGAAGUCAAAACCACAAGAAGAUGAAUAAAAUUAGCUCUGCAUAACUGGUUGAUGCAUGAUACAGACGAACACUACUUUGAUGUACGGCAAGCGUAGGAUAGGAGGAUGGAAUAUAUACAAAAAAGACAGUGUUUCAUAUUCACACGUACGAUAGGAGGAUGAAAUAUGUAUGAAAAAACAGUAAGCGGAAGGUAUUUCAACAAAAUUAGAAGAAAUGAAAGCUAGGCACCAUAUGAACAUGCAACCAAUAUCACUCUAUCAGGUAAAAAGUGUCUCGUGUAAGUGCCAUUUCAAGAAAUUAGAAGCAGUACAAGCUAGAAGACUAUGCAAGAUGCAACCUACAUCACAGUCCCAAGUUAAAAUGUGUCUUACGGGUAAGUGAUCGUUGCAGGUAUAAGUUGUAAGCUACGCAGAUGCAAUUCUGCAUAAUCAGAAGCAAUACAAACUAGACAUCAUACGGAAAAUGCAACCACGUAUAACAGUUCCAAGUAAGAGCAAGCACCUGUGAUGGUGGAGUAGGGGAGAUGUGCUCAUCAUGUACAUGUAUGUUCUAGAAACAGGAACACGUGUCAUAUUCACAGGCAUUAUGUGUAAAGUAAGCAGAUGCAAUUGAAGUUAGAAGCAAUACAAGCUAGUCAUCAACAACAUGCAACCACAUAUAAUAGUGUCAAGUUAGAGCAAGCACCUGUGAUGGUGGAGUAGGGGAGAUGUGCUCAUCAUCUACACAGCUAUGUUGACUGUCCAGCCUUGUGUUGUCUUGCGAAUCUUGUUGGGAGGAUGGCGGAGUAGAAUCUGUAGAGACCCCCUGUUUGAGUUGCUCCGAAGGACCACCAUCAUCCAAUGCCGGACUAAUUUCCUUCAGCUGUAAUGAUUUUGCAUUGUGAAGUCAAACCGAUAAGAAAAAGGAAUAAAAUUCGCUCUUCAGAACUCAUUCAUGCAUGAUACUGACGAACACUACUCGGAUGAAAGGCAAACACAUGAUGCGAGGAUGGAAUAUGUAUGAAAAACAGGAUGGUGUGACAUAUUCACACCUAUGAUGUGGUAACUAAGCAGAAGGCAUUUCAACAAAUUAGAAGCACUGCAAGCUAGACACCAUAUGAAAGAUGCAACCAAUAUCACUCUGCCAAGUUCAAACUGUAUGGUGUUUCAACAAAUUAGAAGCAGUAUAUGCUAGAAAUCAUAUGCAAGACACAACCAAUAUCACAGUGGCAACUUAAAGGUGCCUUAUCAUAAGUGACUGAUGCGGGAUAUGCAAGAAUAGUAGUCUGAUGUAGAAACAGGAACACAUUGUUGGGGAACGUUGCAUAAAAUAAAAAAUUUCCUACAUUCACCAAGAUCAAUAUAUGAGUUCAUCCAGCAAUGAGAGAGGGGAGUGCAUCUACAUACCCUUGUAGAUCGCGAGCGGAAGCGUUCAAGAGAACGGGGUUGAGGGAGUCGUUCACGUCGUGAUCCAAAUCACCGGAGAUCCUAGCGCCGAACGGACGGCACCUCCGCGUUCAACACACGUACGGUCAGUGUGACGUCUCCUCCUUCUUGAUCCAGCAAGGGGGAAGGAGAGGUUGAUGAAGAUCCAGCAGCACGACGGCGUGGUGGUGGAUGCAGCAGGGUUCCAGCAGAGCUUCGCCAAGCGUCUGCGGGAGGGAGAGGUGUAGCAAGGGGGGGGGAGGGAGGCGCCAAGAUGCAGGGUGCGGCUGCCCUCCCUCCCCCCUCUUUAUAUAGGGUGCCCAGGGGGGGCAGCGGCCUUAGGAGAUGGGAUCUCCUAGGGGGCGGCGGCCAAGGGGGGAACUUACCCCCCAAGGCAAGUGGAGGCGCCCCCUCCCCUAGGGUUCCCAACCCUAGGCGCAGGGGGGCCCAAGGGGGGGGCGUACCAGCCCACCACGGGCUGGUUCCCCUCCCACUUCAGCCCAUGGGGCCCUCCGAGAUAGGUGGCCCCACCCGGUGGACCCCCGGGACCCUUCCGGUGGUCCCGGUACAAUACCGAUGACCCUCGAAAAUCUCCCGAUGGCCGAAACAACACUUCCUAUAUAUAAUUCUUCACCUCCGGACCAUUCUAGAACUCCUCGUGACGUCCAGGAUCUCAUCCGGGACUCCGAACAACUUUCGGUUUGCUGCAUACUAAUAUCUCUACAACCCUAGCGUCACCAAACCUUAAGUGUGUAGACCCUACGGGUUUGGGAGAUAUGCAGAGAUGACCGAGAUGCCUCUUCGGUCAAUAACCAACAGCGGGAUCUGGAUACCCAUGUUGGCUCCCACAUACUCCUCGAUGAUCUCAUCGGAUGAACCAUGAUGUCGAGGAUUCAAUCAACCCCGUAUACAAUUCCCUUUGUCAAUCGGUACGUUACUUGCCCGAGACUCGAUCGUCGGUAUCCCAAUACCGCGUUUAGUCUCGUUACCGGAAAGUCACUUUACUCGUACCAUAAUGCAUGAUCCCGUGACCAGACACUUGGUCACAUUGAGCUCAUUAUGAUGAUGCAUUACCGAGUGGGCCCAGAGAUACCUCUUCGUCAUACGGAGUGACAAAUCCCAGUCUCGAUUUGUGCCAACCCAACAGACACUUUCGGAGAUACCCGUAGUGCACCUUUAUAGCCACCCAGUUACGUUGUGACAUUUGGUACACCCAAAGAACUCCUACGGUAUCCGGGAGUUGCACAACCUCAUGGUCUAAGGAAAUGAUACUUGACAUUUGGAAAAGCUCUAGCUAAACGAACUACACGAUCUUUGAGUUAUGCUUAGAAUUGGGUCUUGUCCAUCACAUCAUUCUCCUAAUGAUGUGAUCCCGUUAUCAAUGACAUACAAUGCCCAUAGUCAGGAAACCAUGACUAUCUGUUGAUCAACGAGCUAGUCUACUAGAGGCUCGCUAGGGACUUUGUCGUGGUCUAUGUAUUCACACGUGUAUUACGAUUUCCGGAUAACACAGUUAUAGCAUGAAUAAUAGACAAUUAUCAUGAACACAGAAAUAUAAUAAUAACCAUUUAUUAUUGCCUCUAGGGCAUAUUUCCAACAGUCUCCCACUUGCACUAGAGUCAAUAUUCUAGUUACAUUGUGAUGAAUCGAACACCCAUUGCAUUCUGGUGUUGAUCAUGUUUUGCCCUAGGGAGAGGUUUAGUCAACGGAUCCGCUACAUUCAGGUCCGUAUGUACUUUACAAAUAUCUAUGUCUCCAUCUUGAACAUUUUCACGAAUGGAGUUGAAGCGACGCUUGAUGUGCCUUGUCUUCUUGUGAAACCUGGGCUCCUUGGCAAGUGCAAUAGCUCCAGUGUUGUCACAGAAGAGUGUGUCCGGCCCCGACGCAUUGGGUAUGACUCCUAGGUCGGUGAUGAACUCCUUCACCCAGAUUGCUUCAUGCACUGCCUCCGAGGCUGCCAUGUACUCCACUUCACAUGUAGAUCCCGCCACGACGCUUUGCUUGCAACUGCACCAACUUACUGCCCCACCAUUAAAAAUAUACACGUAUCCGGUUUGUGACUUAGAGUCAUCCAGAUCCGUGUCGAAGCUAGCGUCGACGUAACCCUUUACGACGAGCUCUUCAUCACCUCCAUAUACGAGAAACAUGUCCUUAGUCCUUUUCAGGUACUUAAGGAUAUUCUUGACCGUUGUCCAGUGUUCCUUGCCGGGAUUACUUUGGUACCUUCCUACCAAACUUACGGCAAGGUUUAUAUCAGGUCUGGUACAGGUCAUGGCAUACAUGAUAGACCCUAUGGCUGAGGCAUAGGGGAUGACACUCAUCUCUUCUUUAUCUUCUGCCGUGGUCGGGCAUUGAGCCGAGCUCAAUUUCACACCUUGCAACACAGGCAAGAACCCCUUCUUGGAUUGAUCCAUAUUGAACUUCUUCAAUAUUUUAUCAAGGUAUGUGCUUUGUGAAAGACCUAUGAGGCGUCUCGAUCUAUCUCUAUAGAUUUUGAUGCCUAAUAUGUAAGCAGCUUCUCCAAGGUCCUUCAUUGAAAAACACUUAUUCAAGUAGGCCUUUAUGCUGUCCAAAAGUUCUAUAUCAUUUCCCAUCAAAAGUAUGUCAUCCACAUAUAAUAUGAGAAAUGCUACAGAGCUCCCACUCACUUUCUUGUAAACACAUGCUAAUCCAUAAGUCUGCAUAAACCCAAACGCUUUAAUCAUCUCAUUAAAGCGAAUGUUCCAACUUCGAGAUGCUUGCACCAGCCCAUAGAUGGAGCGCUGGAGCUUGCAUAACUUGUUAGCAUUCUUAGGGUCGACAAAACCUUCCGGCUGCAUCAUAUAUAGUUCUUCCUUAAGGUGACCGUUAAGGAAUGCCGUUUUGACGUCCAUUUGCCAUAUCUCAUAAUCAUAGUAUGCGGCAAUUGCUAACACGAUUCAUACGGACUUCAGGUUCGCUACGGGAGAGAAUGUCUCAUCGUAGUCAAUCCCUUGAACUUGUCGAUAACCCUUAGCGACAAGUCGAGCUUUAUAUAUGGUAACAUUACCAUCCGCGUUCGUCUUCUUCUUAAAGAUCCAUUUGUUUUCUAUUGCUCGCCGAUCGUCGGGCAAGUCUCUCAAAGUCCACACUUUGUUUUCAUACAUGGAUCCUAUCUCGGAUUGCAUGGCUUCAAGCCAUUUGUUGGAAUCUGGGCCCGUCAUUGCUUCUUCAUAGUUCGAAGGUUCACCAUUGUCUAACAACAUGAUUUCCAAGACAGGGUUGCCGUACCACUCUGGUGCGGAACGUAUCCUUGUGGACCUUCGAAGUUCAGUAGGAGCUUGAUUCGAAGUAUCUUGAUCAUCAUCAUUAACCUCCUCUCUUUUCGGUGCAGGCGCCACAGGAACAUCUUCCUGAGUUGCGCUACUCACCGUUUCAAGAGGCAGUACUUCAUCAAGCUCUACUUUCCUCCCACUUAAUUCUUUUGAGAGAAACUCUUUCUCCAGAAAGGACCCGUUCUUAGCAACAAAGAUCUUGCCUUCGGAUCUUAAGUAGAAAGUAUACCCUAUGGUUUCCUGAGGGUAUCCUAUGAAUACGCAUUUCUCCGACUUGGGUUCGAGCUUCUCAGGUUGAAGUUUCUUGACAUAAGCAUCGCAUCCCCAAACUUUUAGAAACGACAGCUUAGGUUUCUUCCCAAACCAUAAUUCAUACGGUGUCGUCUCAACGGAUUUAGACGGUGCCCUAUUUAAAGUGAAUGUAGCUAUCUCUAGAGCGUAUCCCCAAAAUGAUAGCGGUAAAUCUGUAAGUGACAUCGUAGAUCACACCAUAUCCAAUAGAGUGCGAUUAUGACGUUCGGACACACCAUUUCGCUGAGGUGUUCCAGGCGGCGUGAGUUGUGAAACGAUUCCACAUUUUCUUAAGUGCGUACCAAAUUUGUGACUUAAAUAUUCUCCCCCACGAUCUGAUCGUAGGAACUUUAUCUUUCGGUCACGUUGAUUCUCUACCUCAUUCUGAAAUUCCUUGAACUUUUCAAAGGUCUCAGACUUGUGUUUCAUCAAGUAGACAUACCCAUAUCUACUCAAGUCAUCAGUUAGAGUGAGAACAUAACGAUAUCCUCCGCGAGCCUCAACGCUCAUUGGACUGCACACAUCAGUAUGUAUGAUUUCCAAUAAGUUGGUUGCUCGCUCCAUUGUUCCGGAGAACGGAGUCUUGGUCAUCUUGCCCAUGAGGCAUGGCUCGCAUGUGUCAAACGAUUCAUAAUCUAGAGACUCUAAAAGUCCAUCAGCAUGGAGCUUCUUCAUGCGCUUGACAGCAAUGUGACCAAGGCGGCAGUGCCACAAGUAUGUGGGACUAUCGUUAUCAACUUUACAUCUUUUGGCAUUCACACUAUAAAUAUGUGUAACAUUACGCUCGAGAUUCAUUAAGAAUAAACCAUUCACCAGCGGGGCAUGACCAUAAAACAUAUCACUCAUAUAAAUAGAACAACCAUUAUUCUCGGAUUUAAAUGAGUAGCCAUCUCGAAUUAAACGAGAUCCUGAUACAAUGUUCAUGCUCAAAGCUGGUACUAAAUAACAAUUAUUGAGGUUCAAAACUAAUCCCGUAGGUAAAUGUAGAGGUAGCGUGCCAACGGCGAUCACAUCGACCUUGGAACCAUUCCCGACGCGCAUCGUCACCUCGUCCUUCGCCAGUCUCCGCUUAUUCCGCAGCUCCUGCUUUGAGUUACAAAUGUGAGCAACCGCACCGGUAUCAAAUACCCAGGAGCUACUAUGAGCACUGGUAAGGUACACAUCAAUUACUUGUAUAUCACAUAUACCUUUGGUUUUGCCGGCCUUCUUGUCCGCUAAGUACUUGGGGCAGUUCCGCUUCCAGUGACCACUUCCCUUGCAAUAAAAGCACUCAGUCUCAGGCUUGGGUCCAUUGCUUGACUUCUUCCUGGCAACUGGCUUACCAGGCGCGGCAACUUCCUUGCCGUCCUUCUUGAAGUUCUUCUUACCCUUGCCCUUCUUGAACUUAGUGGUUUUAUUCACCAUCAACACUUGAUGUUCCUUUUUUAUCUCUACCUCUGCUGAUUUCAGCAUUGAAUAUACCUCAGGAAUGGUCUUUUCCAUCCCCUGCAUAUUGAAGUUCAUCACAAAGCUCUUGUAGCUUGGUGGGAGCGACUGGAGAAUUCUGUCAAUGACCGCGUCAUCCGGGAGAUUAACUCCCAGCUGAGUCAAGCGGUUGUGCAACCCAGACAUCUUGAGUAUGUGCUCACUAACACAACUGUUUUCCUCCAUCUUACAGCUAAAGAACUUGUCAGAGACUUCAUAUCUCUCGACCCGGGCAUGAGCUUGGAAAACCAUUUUCAGCUCCUCGAACAUCUCAUAUGCUCCGUGUUGCUCAAAACGCUUUUGGAGCCCCGGUUCUAAGCUGUAGAGCAUGCCGCACUGAACGAGGGAGUAAUCAUCGGCACGAGACUGCCAAGCGUUCAUAAUGUCUUGGUUCUCUGGGAUUGGUGCUUCACCUAGCGGUGCUUCUAGGACAUAAUCUUUCUUGGCAGCUAUGAGGAUGAUCCUCAGGUUCCGGACCCAGUCCGUAUAGUUGCUGCCAUCGUCUUUCAGCUUGGUUUUCUCUAGGAACGCGUUGAAGUUCAGGUGGACAUGAGCGUUGGCCAUUUGAUCUACAAGACAUAUUGUAAAGAUUUUAGACUAAGUUCAUGAUACUUAAGUUCAUCUUAAUCAAAUUAUUUAAUGAACUCCCACUUAGACAGACAUCCCUCUAUUCAUCUAAGUGAAACAUGAUCCGAGUCAACUAGGUCGUGUCCGAUCAUCACGUGAGACGGACUAGUUAACAUCGGUGAACAUCUUCAUGUUGAUCGUAUCUUCUAUACGACUCAUGCUCGACCUUUCGGUCUUCCGUGUUCCGAGGCCAUGUCUGUACAUGCUAGGCUCGUCAAGUCAACCUAAGUGUAUUGCGUGUGUAAAUCUGGCUUACACCCAUUGUAUUCGAACGUUAGGAUCUAUCACACCCGAUCAUCACGUGGUGCUUCGAAACAACGAACCUUCGCAACGGUGCACAGUUAGGGGGAACACUUUUCUUGAAAUUAUCAUGAGGGAUCAUCUUACUUAGUACCGUCGUUCUAAGUAAACAAGAUGGAAAAACAUGAUAAACAUCACAUGCAAUCAUAAUAGUGACAUGAUAUGGCCAAUAUCAUAUAGCUCCUUUGAUCUCCAUCUUCGGGGCUCCAUGAUCAUCUUCGUCACCGGCAUGACACCAUGAUCUCCAUCAUCGUGUCUUCAUGAAGUUGUCACGCCAACGACUACUUCUACUUCUAUGGCUAACGCGUUUAGCAAUAAAGUAAAGUAGUUUACAUGGCGUUCUUCAAUGACACACAGGUCAUACAAAAAAUAAAGACAACUCCUAUGGCUCCUGCCGGUUGUCAUACUCAUCGAUAUGCAAGUCAUGAUUCCUAUUACAAGAACAUGAUCUCAUACAUCACAUAUAUAUCAUUCAUCAUUCAUCACAACUUUGGCCAUAUCACAUCACAAAACACUUGCUGCAAAAACAAGUUAGACGUCCUCUAAUUGUUGUUGCAAGUUUUUAUGUGGCUUCUAAAGGUGAUCUAGCAAGAAUGUUUUCUUACCUACGUUAAAGCCACAACGUGAUUUGCCAACUUCUAUUUACCCUUCAUAAGGACCAUUUUUAUCGAAUCCGCUCCAACUAAAGUGGGAGAGACAGACACCCGCUAGCCACCUUAUGCAACUAGUGCAUGUCAGUCGGUGGAACCGGUCUCACAUAAGCGUACGUGUAAGGUCGGUCCGGGCCGCUUCAUCCCACAAUACCGCUGAAGCAAAAUAAGUCUAGUAGUGGCAAGAAAGUUGACAACAUCUACGCCCACAACAAAUUGUGUUCUACUCGUGCAAAGAGAACUACGCAUAGACCUGGCUGAUGAUGCCACUGUUGGGGAACGUUGCAUAAAAUAAAAAAUUUCCUACGUUCACCAAGAUCAAUCUAUGAGUUCAUCCAGCAACGAGAGAGGGGAGUGCAUCUACAUACCCUUGUAGAUCACGAGCGGAAGCAUUCAAGAGAACGGGGUUGAGGGAGUCGUUCACGUCGUGAUCCAAAUCACCGGAGAUCCUAGCACCGAAUGGACGGCACCUCCGCAUUCAACACAUGUACGGUCAGCGUGAUGUCUCCUCCUUCUUGAUCCAGCAAGGGGGAAGGAGAGGUUGAUGAAGAUCCAGCAGCACGACGGCGUGGUGGUGGAUGCAGCAGGGUUCCGGCAGAGCUUCGCCAAGCGUCUGCGGGAGGGAGAGGUGUAGCAAGGGGGAAGGGAGGCGCCAAGAUGCAGGGUGCGGCUGCCCUCCCUCCCCCCUCUUUAUAUAGGGUCCCCAGGGGGCGCCGGCCCUAGGAGAUGGGAUCUCCUAGGGGGGCGGCGGCCAAGGGGGGAACUUGCCCCCCAAGGUAAGUGGAGGCGGCCCCUCCCCUAGGGUUCCCAACCCUAGGCGCAGGGGGGCCCAAGGGGGGGGGGGGGCGCACCAGCCCACCAGGGGCUGGUUCCCCUCCCACUUCAGCCCAUGGGGCCCUCCGGGAUAGGUGGCCCCACCCGGUGGACCCUCGGGACCCUUCCGGUGGUCCCGGUACAAUACCGAUGACCCCCGAAAAUCUCCCGAUGGCCGAAACAACACUUCCUAUAUAUAAUUCUUCACCUCCGGACCAUUCCGGAACUCCUCGUGACGUCCGGGAUCUCAUACGGGACUCUGAACAACUUUCGGUUUGCUACAUACUAAUAUCUCUACAACCCUAGCGUCACCGAACCUUAAGUGUGUAGACCCUACGGGUUCGGGUGAUAUGCAGACAUGACCGAGACGCCUCUCCGGUCAAUAACCAACAGCGGGAUCUGGAUACCCAUGUUGGCUCCCACAUACUCCUCGAUGAUCUCAUCGGAUGAACCAUGAUGUUGAGGAUUCAAUCAACCCCGUAUACAAUUCCCUUUGUCAAUCGGUACGUUACUUGCCCGAGACUCGAUCGUCGGUAUCCCAAUACCUCGUUUAGUCUCGUUGCUGGCAAGUCACUUUACUCGUACUGUAAUGCAUGAUCCCGUGACCAGACACUUGGUCACAUUGAGCUCAUUAUGAUGAUGCAUUACCGAGUGGGCCCAGAGAUACCUCUCCGUCAUACGGAGUGACAAAUCCCAGUCUCGAUUCGUGCCAACCCAACAGACACUUUCGGAGAUACCCGUAGUGCACCUUUAUAGCCACCCAGUUACGUUGUGACGUUUGGUACACCCAAAGCACUCCUACGGUAUCCGGGAGUUGCACAACCUCAUGGCUAAGGAAAUGAUACUUGACAUUUGGAAAAGAUCUAGCUAAACGAACUACAUGAUCUUUGAGCUAUGCUUAGAAUUGGGUCUUGUCCAUCACAUCAUUCUCCUAAUGAUGUGAUCCCGUUAUCAAUGACAUCCAAUGCCCAUAGUCAGGAAACCAUGACUAUCUGUUGAUCAACGAGCUAGUCUACUAGAGGCUCACUAGGGACUUUGUCGUGGUCUAUGUAUUCACACGUGUAUUACGAUUUCCGGAUAACACAAUUAUAGCAUGAAUAAUAGACAAUUAUCAUGAACACAGAAAUAUAAUAAUAACCAUUUAUUAUUGCCUCUAGGGCAUAUUUCCAACACACAUAUCAUAUUCACAGGCAUUAUGUGUAAAGUAAGCAGAUGCAAUUCAACAAAGUUAGAAGCAAUACAAGCUAGACAUCAUACGCAACAUGCAACCACAUAUAAUAGUGCCAAGUUAGAGCAAGCACCUGCGAUGGUGGAGUAGGGGAGAUGUGCUCAACAUCUACAUAGCUACGUUGACUGUCUAGCCUUGCGUUGUCUUGCGUAUCUUGUUGGGAGGAUGGCAGAGUAGAAUCUGUAGAGAACCUCCGUUUCAGUUGCUCGGAAGGACCACCAUCAUCUAAUGCCUUGCCAAUUUCCUUUAGCUUUAUUGAUUUUGCAUUGUGAGGUCGUACCGACAAGAAAAAGGAAUAUCAUUCGCUCUUCAGAACUCAUUCAUGCAUGAUACUGACGAACACUACUCUGAUGAAAGGCAAAGUCAUGAUACGAGGAUGGAAUAUGUACGAAAAAAUGGACGGCUUGACAUAUUCACACCUAUGAUGUGGUAACUAAGCAGAAGGCACUUCAACAAAUUAGAAACACUGCAAGACACCAUAUGGAAGGUGCAAUCAAUAUCACUCUGCCAAGUUAAAACUGUCUCGUCAUAGGUGACGUUCAUCAAAGUAGAAGCAAUACAUGCUAGAAAUCAUAUUCAAGAUGCAAACCAAUAUCACACUGCCAACUUAAAGGUGUCCCAUCAUAAGUGAUUGAUGCAUGAUACACAAGAAUAGUAGUUUCAUGUAAGAACAUGGUGUGAUAGACAGAUAUAGUAUGUACCAAAAACAGGAAAGCGUGUCAUAUUCACAUGUAUCAUGUGUAAGCUAAGCAGAUGCAGUUUACACUAAUUAGGAGCAAUACGAGCUAGACACCAUAUGCAACAUGCAACCAGAUAUCACACUGCCAAGUCAGAGCAAGCACCUUGGAUGGUGGAGUAGGGGAGCGGAGACUUGGACCAUGUAAUGCACUAUCAGUACAAGGAGAAUCGGUACAGAUGCUCCGUUUACGUUGCUGCAGAGGACCACCAUCAUCGCCUUCCUUACUCUUUUCCUUCCUCUUUCUUGAUUUUGCCUUGUCAAGUCAAACCCAUAAGAAAAAGGAAUAAAAUUUUCUCUUUAGAACUUAUUGAUGCAUGAUACUGACGAACACUACUUCCAUGUAAGGCAGCCGCAUGAUAGGAGGAUGGAAUAUGUAUGAAAAACAGGACGGCAUGACAUAUUGACAUGUAUGAUGUAUAAAGUGUAAACUAAGCACAAGGUGCUUGAACUUGUUAGAAUCGAUGCAAGCUAGAAACCAUAUGAAAGAUGAAACCAAUAUGACUCUGCCAAAUUAAAAGGGUGCCCUAACAAAUGUAUUUGUCCAAAUUAGAAGCAAUACAUGGCAACAUGCUAGAAAUAAUAUGCAAUAUGCAACGAAUAAAGGUGACUCAUCAUAAAUGAUUGAUGCAUGAUAUAGAAGAGAGGUAGUUUCAUGUAAGAACAAGGUUAACACAGAGAUGUAGUGUGUACCAAAAAUAGGAAGGCAUGUCAUAUUCACAGGUAUAGUGUGUAAACUAAGCAGAUGCAAUUUACCCUAAUUAGAAGCAUUACAAGCUAGACACCGUAUGCAACAUGCAACCACAUAUCACACUGCGAAGUUGGAGCAAGCACCUGUGAUGGUGGUGUAGGGGAAGUGCUGUCUUCAGGUACAGAGCAACAUUCAAUAUCUUCAUUUAGGCUUGCUGUUUCUUGAGAAUCAUGUGGAGAGGAUGAAAUUGCAUUCUUUAUAAGAGUAUUGCGUCUCAUAUUAACCCACGCGCGUGACUGUCUCAUCAUAAGCGAUAGACGUAUGAUACACAAGAACAGUAGUUUGAUGUAAGAACAUGGUGUGAUAGGCAGAUGUAGUAUGUACCAAAAACAGGAAGGCGUGUCAUAUUCACAUGUAUAAUGUGUAAGCUAAGGAGAUGCAAUUUAACAAAUUAGGAGCAUUGAUGAGGGAUACACAAGAGAAGUAGUUUGAUGUAAGAACAUGGUUAAUAGAAAGACGUAGUAUGUACCAAAAACAAGAGGGCAUGUCAUAUUCACAGGUAUAAUGUGUUAACUAAGCAGAUGCAAUUUACCCUAAUUAGAAACAUUACAAGGUAGACACCAUAUGCAACAUGCAACCACAUAUCACACUGCCAAGUAAGAGCAAGCACCUGCGAUGGUGGUGUGGGGGAAUUGCGGUGAUCAACUAGAGAGCUAUGUUGACUAUCUUCAUUUAGCCUUGCUGUUUGUUGAGAAUCAUGUGGGGAGGAUGACACUGCACUCUUUAAACGAGUAGGGCGUCUCACAGUAACCAACCCGGGUGACUGUCUCAUCAUAAGUGAUUGACGAGGGAUACAAAAGAGCAUUAGUUUGAUGUACGAACAUGGUUAAUAGACAUAUGUAGUAUGUAUCAAAAACAGGAAGGCAUGUCAUUAUCAAAGGUAUAAUGUGUAAAGUAAGCAGAUGCAAUUUAACCAAAUUGGAAGCAAUACAAGCUAGACACCAUAUGCAACAUGCAACCACAUUUGACAGCGCAAAGUUAAAGCAAGCACCUGGGAUGGUUGUGUGUGGCAAUUGAGAUCAUCAACUGCAGAGCUACGUUUACUGUCUCCAACUACUGACACUGCGCCCAUUAGAGCGCUGAAAUGCUUACUGCUUAUCUUCGAAUUACACUGGAGCGACUUCUGUCUUUUCUUUUCUGCAUUCAUCAACACCGCGUCAGAGUCUGAAAUACCCAUGCAUAAAAAAACAAUAGUGUGAGUAUGGGUAAAGUGUGUGGACAAUUAGUAUAGUGUAAAGGUAGCAGAUAGCAGGUCGGUGAGAAAUAAAUGACGGGAGACAUAUGAUAGCUCUACAACAUGCAUGGCACACUCAAUUACUACAGGAUUCUAUGAAAAUAACAGUCGACUGAAAGCAAAUAGGCCAGUCCAUUUUUUCUGCACCGUCCGAUGUACAAACAACGGGCAGAUCGCCAUCAUCUACCUCCAGCCAGUCAGUGUUGACGAUCUUCCUCGAAACGCUAGCGACCAUCAGCCCAGUAUUCCUCCCCUGCCUGCGCCCUCCCGUCGACCUCACCGCACCGCCGUGCUUGGCACCGCCCCCGGCCAUCCAUUCAAGCCCCGCCGACCUCCAGAUCGGGCGCAAGCAGCUCCUGCACCCCACACCCCUAUGAUAGACACUGAUGCACCGCUUCCCCGGAGAACAGGCAGACUAGGUGCUCCGCGUGCCUAAGCGGGUGCUGCUUCUUUUAAUUGCGGUUCGACUGACCCUGAAUUGAAAUCCAGGCGGGCUACUGACCUCUAGCAAAGGUGAAAUAGUAAAAGGGAGGAAACCUUGUGCAUUUAGUAUCACGAAGAAGAUGCAGUAAGAAGAUCUCAACUAGUUUCUUUCGUGGGAUGAAUACGGUGUGAGCGGAGACGUAAGAUUUGCACGAAUAAGGGAAGAUGAGUACCUCUUUCUGCUGGCAGUGUUGUGUCCUCCUUCUGUUUUUCCGACGAUCUUGUUGUUCUCCGGAAACUAGAAGUUGUGGAGGACGGUGCAACCUUGGACGAACCCAUGGCCAAGUUGUUGAGUGUGGUGCGGUGGCCGUCUGUCGGCGGCGGGGAAGCAGAUCCGAGGCGGCGAACGACGGCGUAGUAGGAACAGCUCUAGUGCGGUGGAUGGUUGCGACAGUGGAGCCGCAGUAGUGAGGCGUAGGACGACGUGGUCGGAGUGGUUCUGGUACGGCGCACAUCGGCGUCGGCGUCGUGGAGGCAGCUCUGCCUCGGCUUCAGCUGCUAAGUCCUUGAGGGCGUUGCGGUUGCGGUUGCGUUGGAUGAUGACGUUGGGGUACCGGCUCCAGCGUGAUGGAGGAGGGCGGUGGUGGAUUGGCCGCUAUGGGGUGGAGGACGGAGGAGGCUGGCGUUUCGCGGCUGGUGGAGAGGGCGUUUUCGCACCCACGGAGUAUGAAUGGGGAAAUGGGGGGAGGCGGGGAACUAAGGGGGAACAAUGUUUCGGUUUGAGACGCGCUUGUUUGAAAUUUGGGGAAAGUUACAAACUUUGCCCCCAUCUAAAAUUUCAGACAUAUUGCGGGUUGGGGGUAGGACAGUCAUGUCAGGUGUCCCAAAUGUGGGUGGGAUAGAUUUCGGCCGAGCACAUGGGUGUUUAGGCGCCCACGGCGUAUGAAUGCUUCUCGGAGGCAGUUGAGACUGACGUCUUGGUGAAGUUACAAACCUAUCCCGGUUUAGACCUUUGGACAUCGGGCCGAUAGGCUACACGGGCCAGAGUUAGGACAAUAAUUUCCUACCACCAAAACAUUAGUCUCGCGUGGUUUCGGGUGACCAGAGGUCUAUUUGGCGUUUCAUUCAAUAUUUGGGAGCAGAAGCAUUAACGUUUUCGGUUCUCUCGAAUUGAACUUUCAGGAUUUUUCAAACUUCACAAAUCUUUACUCUUGAAAAUCCUAAAGCUACGAUUAUUUUGGAAUGGAGGGGUACAUUUUAAUAUACAUUGUACACGAGUAUAUAUUAAAAAAUAUGCAACUUACCUCAGUUCAUGCAUGGUUCCAGGUAUAAUCUCCUUGGUUGCAAAAAAAAUAGAUAUGCGUAUGAAUAUAUAUAGCAUGUUCAAACUCACAACAAAGAUUGAUGCCCCCUUUUACAUCUGAUUUACAAAUGCCAUUAUCUCGGGUUCAAAUAGAUGAAUGCACUUCCUAUGAAUUCGAAUCUUCGAAACCCCCUUUAUGUUGAAUUCGACAUGUAUUUUAUUUUGUAGCUAGCAAUUUGGAAUGUAUCCAUGAAAAUGACAAAUGUAUAAAGUGCUUCACACUAACAACAUGGAGUGCACUAAUUAAUGUUUAUAUAUGAAUUGCAAAAGCAUCCAUUGCCUGUAUUUCAAACCGCUCUCACUCUAUGGAUCGAUAAUAUGAAAUAAACACAUGCACAUGCUAGAAUUCAAUAGAGUAUGGGUGUCUGAUAGACCGAUUUUCGUCCAUACGCUAUUUUGCAAAAUUCAUGAUCUCAUCCAAAAAUAAUAAUGCCAUUUAUAUUUUAAUUUAAUGCGUAGAACCGCCUUUUACACGUAGAUGCACUAUGCCUCGCCCCGUUCUCACAAACGCGUUAUAUAUCUCUCUAUCUAACGCAUAAGUGCACACACUUUAUAUGCAUCGGCAUUUCUCUUUCACACAUGCUCACAAUCUCUCUCAGGGUGUCGGGGUGUCUCACGCACAUGCUCUCUCUGUUUCUCUCUCUCUUUCUGACUACUAUCUACCACUCUUUUCACUAAUCUCAGUUGGAAAACACUAUUUCUCUCACAUGCAUAUAUACACAUGCAUAGUCUCUACUAGCCCUCUAUACACACAUAUAUGUGCCUACGUGUCUCCCGCAUGCACAUUAUCUUUAGGCCUCUCUCGCACACAUUGCCCCCCCGACACACCUCUCUAAUAGUAGUUGGCAGAUAUGAUUUCAUCAUAUCAUUCGGUAGGAUAUCCCUGGCUGUUAGGCUGGAUGGUAAUACGAGGCAAAGUUUUACCCUAGUUCGGAUCGGACCCUUGCAGUUGAAGAAAGAGCCUCUACUGGUACUGUAUAUUAGUGAUAGGGGGUGUGUACAAAGUACACGUGAAUACCAGAGAUUAUCCGUGUGUGUAUACUAUCGACGAACUAGGCCCCAAGGUUGUAUAACAUACUAAGGGCCUAGGGUUACAAAUCAUAUAUAGUGAGCUUAUCACCAGUGGGGAUAGAGUCCUCCGCGACUCUGGUAGCUUCGUGUUGUACGACGAGUCCUCCACAUGGGUCUCCGUAUAACACGUCUCGGUCGAACCUAUAUGUGGCGCAGGAUGGAACCGACCCAUGAGUCUUCAUGUUGACCCACCACAACUAGAAAUGAUGUGCCCACCACACCACACACGUAAUCGGCCACUAAGAAAAUGAGAAUAUACAAUAGUACAACGAUAUCUAGCUCCCGAUACAUAUCCAUAUUUUGUUGAUGACACUGACGGACUUUGCAUUUGAUGCGUGCUCCGUAUUUUGUUGACGACACUUACGGUCAUUGUAUUUGAAUCAAAAACACGAUAUGGUCACUGGACUUCAGAAUAAGCUCAUCACGGUCACCACAUACAUUUUGUCGUGCUAACCAACAUGUGGUUGGAUGGUUAGAGGACAGUGGUUUCUCGAGCCCACCAAGGUUAAAGUCCCGGUGCUCGCAUUUAUCUUGUGUUAAUUUCAGUAUUUUCCGGCGAUGUACAUUCAGUGGGAGGAGACGUUCCACUCGACUACGAGGCACCUAUGGUGACUUCGUAAAAUCUCAAGAUCAUAUAUGCUAGCCCACUCUCUCGAAGGUGCUCAUAGGGGUAGGGUUCGCGUGUGUGCGCUUAUAGCGGUGAGUGCUUGCGCGUAUAUAUGAGCCCUUGCGUCUGUACCAUGUUAAACAAAUACAUGUCAUGAUUAUACUGUCACUGGCUCACCCGUACAACUCCAUAUUUUGUUGAUGACACAAUCAAUUGACAGUCAAACGACACAACUAGUGUUGCACCAUCGGGGCGCGUAACCGUGGGGCCCACCUGUCAGCCCGUAUAUGAAAGAAAGGAAUGAUAGUUUGAGUCUGUACCGUCUUAACAAAAUAGGAGUACAUUUUAGGGUGAUCAUACGAUCACUGGCUCACCAUACAGCUCCGUAAUUUGUUGAUAACACGAUCAAUUGACCAGUCAAACGGUCCACAUUCAGCAGCGCACAUUACCAUAGGGCCCACCCGUCAGCGCGUAUAUGAACGACAGAAAUGGUAAUAAACUAGUGGUCGGUGGGUAUUCGAAGUCGUGAGACCUCUGGUUGGCAGUCACCAGCGAUUGGGGGGGGCAUUCAUUGGGCGGUGGGGUGGGGAUCCCCNNNNNNNNNNNNNNNNNNNNNNNNNNNNNNNNNNNNNNNNNNNNNNNNNNNNNNNNNNNNNNNNNNNNNNNNNNNNNNNNNNNNNNNNNNNNNNNNNNNNNNNNNNNNNNNNNNNNNNNNNNNNNNNNNNNNNNNNNNNNNNNNNNNNNNNNNNNNNNNNNNNNNNNNNNNNNNNNNNNNNNNNNNNNNNNNNNNNNNNNNNNNNNNNNNNNNNNNNNNNNNNNNNNNNNNNNNNNNNNNNNNNNNNNNNNNNNNNNNNNNNNNNNNNNNNNNNNNNNNNNNNNNNNNNNNNNNNNNNNNNNNNNNNNNNNNNNNNNNNNNNNNNNNNNNNNNNNNNNNNNNNNNNNNNNNNNNNNNNNNNNNNNNNNNNNNNNNNNNNNNNNNNNNNNNNNNNNNNNNNNNNNNNNNNNNNNNNNNNNNNNNNNNNNNNNNNNNNNNNNNNNNNNNNNNNNNNNNNNNNUGAUAAACUGGAGGCCCUUGAUUUCAUAUCCAAUGGCUGGAAAAUCUAAUGACCAGAUAUGAAAAAGUCAGUCGACUGACGUGUAGCCUCACCCCGCACGUACACAUGCACGCACGCAAGACACGCACGCAUGUAGGCGUGCAACACUGACACGUACACAUAACGUACACACGCACGCAUGCUGGCGUGCAACACUGACACGUACACAUGCACUCACAAACACACGCACGUACGCACCCAUGCAUGCAACACUGAAACGCAUCCUUGCACGCACGCAACACUCGCACGCCUGCAUGCACACAACACAUGACACAAGACACACGCUCAACCUAUACGUGCAUGCACCCUUUGUUAAGGACAUGGAUUGUUACGGGUAUUAAUCAAUCUUAUCUGUGAUAAGCAGAACAUUGAUGUUUGCAUUGGUCUUUAUGAAUCACAAUGUAUCGAACGGGCUAUCAACAUAGUAGGCUUAACUACAUGAAAAAGAUGACGUCACACUCAAUAAACAAUCAUCAAUUUAUGAAAUGCCCGCUUCUGACCGCCCUGGCCCACCAAAGGUUCCUCUGCUGUGCGCUGCCUAUGUUAGGUCACUGACAUGCAGGCCAUGCACCCAAAGAGCCCACACGUCAGUGGAAGAACGGCGCGGUGUCCUAGGUGAGAGUCGAGGGCGCCACUCGCGGCACGCCCGGCUGAACACGCCUCCGUGCCGCAUUCAAACGCCUCCAUGAAAUCCGCCCAUGUGGAAGCCGAGAAACCCACUCUGGACACACGUCCGUUCAUGACCGGGCCGGCAUUAAACGCAACGCCGGCCGAGCUCCUCCCAUUCGCCGUCUAUUUAAUCUCCUAUUUAAACGAGGCCAAACAUCGGCCAAGAAUCGCACACCUGUGCCGCUCCCCUAUCUCCUCCACCAUUCUGUCCACUCUUACAAUGUCUUACGAAGAGUAGUUAUUCCGCAUCCAAGCCGGCUGGGUAGCCCGCCGGAUACGAGCUAUGCAGCUCGCUGAUCCACCUCCCUCCCCUCGCCCGACGGAGCCAGUUGCCGCCCCAAGCCGGCGCGCGGUUCAGCAACUCGCCGCUCCAGGCCAGCUCGACGAGGAGCAGCGCACGGGCGUCGUUGCUGCCGUCCAAGCCGCCGCCUCGUACUGCGUCUCCCGUUUCUGUGGCCGAGACUCCCAUGCCGGCGGCCGCGCCAUGCAAGCAGCGACAGAAGCUGGGUGCGCGGAGAGCGACGAUUCGGUGGCCAGCGCCUCCGCGUCCGCCGCCAUCAUCGAGGAGAAGUAGAACACGGGAGGCCGCCGCCGCUUGGGUCCCAUGAAGGCCACCGCGGAGGCAACGCCGGUGUACACAGCAGGUGUCUUGACGGAUCCUUUUGUUGCGAGGACCUUCGUCGACCCCGCAUGGGCUCCACGGAAGAGGUCAAUGUUAGGAUGAACUCGAGCCGGUGCCGGCCAUGGCAAAGUAGUGGACGGUGAGGAACUCGAACCGGUGCCGGCCACCAUCAUCUUCGGCACCAGCCAAUGAUAUCAGUUGGGCAGUGGGGAAGUGAGCCGUCCUUUGCGCUGAAGCAUAUACCUCCGGGGCUCCCGGUAGUCCGGUGAUCGUGCUGCCAGACAUGAGGAACACAAAUCGAUUGGCGGGCGACCAUUUAGGCCAGGUAUUAUAUACCUGUGCUAUCCAGAACUAGCACCGCGUAGUUCAUUUGAAUGUAAUGAAAUCCGUCAUGUUUGUGUGAAAAUCCGGAAUUUUAUAUGAUUUCCGUCAUUGUUUAUAUGAAAUAUCAGUUUGUCUACGUGUUUGCGUGAAUUUCGUCCGGUUGGUUGAGUUGCUGUCAUAAUGUGUGUGGCUACGGUUGGAUGGCGUAAUUUGCGGGUCGCCGGUCGGUCUGUGGGCGGCUCGGGCGGCGUUGUGGGACUUUUGAUGAACUAACGUUAGGCAAUCUUGGCAAAAAUGUGUGGCAAAGUGUGGCAAUGCUAGGCCUAGAACCAAACAACCCCAAAAAAACACAGCUCAUGCGAGCUCAUCUCCAACGUGCGCGCUAGAGGAUGCAUGACAACAUGAGCACCCGAGCCGUUCCUCGUUCAUUGGUGGCAAAGGCACCGGUGGACAAAAGGGUCGCCAAUAUUUUGGCUACCCCGGGUAAGAUCCAAACAGCCCCUCCCAACAGAUUCAAAUCCCUCGUUCGCCGUGGAAUUUUGCCAUGUGUUGUUUUCAUGGACUAGCAAGAUGCCCGUGCAUUGCACGGAACAUCAAGAUGCAUUUUUUUACAAACUCCCGCAUGCAUGCCAGGGAUAAUUAAUGUCCUCCUUUGCUAGUACCACGAGGCAAACACCAUUAAUAUUACAUUGCAUCGUUUAGUGUUAGUGGCCUUGUAUAUCUGCAAAUUGUAAUUUUGAUAGUGGCCUCUUGUAUAUAAAAAUGGAGGGAGAAAUAUGAGAGAUAAGGUGAGGAGGAGUGGGGCGUGGUGCCGUGGUGGUGACUGGUGGUCGGACUGGGCGGAGGCAUGGGGAUGGACGGCGCAUUAUGUCUAGGUUUGUAUCUCUCUCACACACACCCACGUAGGUGGGGGACGUGCACGAAGAGAAGAGGUGCGCGCACGGCGCACGUACUCCCGUCUCUUUCCCAACCACACCCGUGCGGGCACACAGUGGAGUUCAUUUCUGUACGAAAAAGGCAGCUCACGUGGUAAUUUGGCACGUGUACUGGUUGUCCACUUGGUGGAGGAAGGAUCGUCUACCACGGGUGAACAAACAAAUUGCGACUUGACGCGUUAUGUUAAAUUAAAAAAAGAGGCAAACCAUGUGGGGCCUACCUUAGAGGCAAGGCUCUAUACACUGGAGUACUUUUGAUGUGUCCCGUCAACUCACAGAACGAGGAGAAACUUGCUUAGUACGCCGUCUCCCCCGCCCACGGGCGCGGUGGCUUGCAGGAUGAGGUGAAGCUUACUACUACUAUACACCUUUACGCCCGCUCCCUCACCCACGCGCAUGGUGGCUCGUAGCACGAGGAGAAAAUUUUACUAGUCCCUCCGUUUACUCCUCGUCCCUACUACGUACUUUGGUUAGUACUCCCUCUAUUUACUUAUACAAGGCCACUAUAAAAAAAUACAUUUUGCAUCUAUACAAGGCCACAAAUAGUAAUCGAGACAAAAGUUACUACUCCCUCCUUUCCAGUUUAUGGCUCAAUUUCAAAAUCUCUCCAACCAAGGUAGAUGGUGAGUGGUCGAAUUAAUUUCGUUGUUUGCACAGUACACUCGUUUUUCUCAAGAAGUUAUGUUUACCGAGGCAUUAAUUAGAACGAAUGCAUGAAUGACCACUAAAUUUCCAUGAACUUGUACAUGCAUUGGUUAGUUUCCUCUUGACACUGCUUGCGUCGGGUGAUCUAACGCACCUCGAAAUCCAACAUGUAAUGGUACUACUACUAGUAUAGUAGAAUUGAGACUUAUCAAACGGAAAAAUGAAUGUUUUUUAUAUGAGCCCUAUAAACCCUAGUGGGUACGUACUCCGUAAAAACAGAUUUUUCCAAAACUAAGUCGCUCCCUUUCAUGAAUUCUGUAGUAUACUCUUCCGUUGAUGCUCCCUUUCAUGAAUUUUGUACUUCCUGUCGCCGACAUGUGGGACAUAUAGCAACCGGGUCGACGUGUCAAGCACCAAAUAACAGUGCAGAACAACAGGGGGACGCACCCCACUCGUACCGGCCCAAUAGUAGUAAUGAGCAAUGAGACAUCAAAUCACAAUACCACACCUUCCCAGACGGACGAAGCAACCAUUAUUUCACACUUUGGUUCAACAUCAUCUCAAACCACAUACUAGUAUUGCUUCUGCCUCAAGAGGGACACGCGCAUCGCCUUGGUACAUCAUGACACGUGGGACCGCAUGACAGGCCAUGCUCCCCCGCUGAUCGCUCGGUAAGUCACCUCAUUUUUACUACUCUACUUCCUCCGGAUCGGUUUACUACAUGGCAUGCACGUCGUUCUAGGUUGAGAAUUUAACUAGCUACAUAUAUAUAUAUAUAUAUAUAUAUGUAAUGAAUAGUACGCUAGCCUUUUAAAAAAUGUAUACUUUUGUACAGUAAUACUCCACUAUUGAUGGAUUGCGCCAUGGAGCAAAAAUUGAAAUUUUAAAAAAGGUGGUACAUAUAGAGAGCGGGCGUCGCCAAAUUAUGCAUAUAGUACUAUUAAAAAAGCUAGUACGUGCUUAAUUGGGGUGCUAAAUUCUAUUAAAGAAAUACUAGUACUAGUAUGUACAUACUAAAGAGUUAAAGUAACGAGAAGAAACAUAACAUAGUUCUGCUGGGGGCUCAGCACAACACACCCCUCAAAUUAAACUAAGCACACCUGAAAUUAAACUAUGCAACUAAUCUAGUAGACACUGCAUUAGAAGUUUAGAACCACCAUGAGCAACGACACUGCCACCUUACUCGGAGUCCUCGUCCACGUCCUCGACUUCGUCCUUGUCCCUCUUCCUCUUGGCCGAUACUUCUUUGCUUGAACCGCCAACUUAGUUGUUGCUCUUCAUCCAACCCUUGUAGAUAUUGAAACAAAGGUAGCCAUCCAUUGCAACAUACUGGAUGUGGUCUAUAUCUAGUACAUUCCGCUGCCAUGCAUGACGAUGAAACGUGUAAUGAGGUUUCUCCAGUUUACCGUACGAAGGAUGAACCAUGGCUCCUGCCAGGAUCAGCAUUGAAGGCUAACGAGAGGGCACCAGCCGAUUCUUCUGGAGGUCGAAGGGGUUGCCUACAAUGAUGCCUAUCUGACGCAGGACUUCUUAUCGUUCUUAAAGUCUACAGUAACGAAUUUGACUGUUUUGUCCUCGAGGAAGUUCUUAAAAUCCUAGCACUCAACAUCGGCAUGGCAUAUGUGGUAGACCAAGCAAACGUUAUGUACGCAAACCUAGAUCACGGUGGGCUUCUUCCUCUCUUCGUCCUUUAGAUCCUUCUCUCGUCCCAUGACUGUGGUGUACUCAACAUCUAGCCCAGCGACCCACUCAUCAUGUGAGUUUUCGAACAUGCGUCUGAAGCGAGAAAGGCAUCCUUUCACCGUCAUGGAAGUACGGGUGUAGAUGAUGUCGAACUCAUCGCCGGUGAUGGUUCUAACCUUGUAGUAACCGCCGAUCGGGGAGAUUUGGGACGCCAUGGAUUUGGGAGGAGGGUUAGGAUUAGUGGAACUGCCGUAAUGUGAAUGCACGGGACGACUAGGAGCGAACCGCCGUAGUAUUAAAGGAUGUGCGGGGACGAGUAGGAGCGAACUGCCAGCGUGCGGACGGCAGGGUAGUGGCUUUCCAUUCUCCCAUGAUACGGGCUUCCGAGAGCCCUUGAAUCUGAGAUCGAACGGUUGCAUGGCGUGAUUCUAGACCUAUGGGUGAAUAUCCUAUCCUGGAGGGUUAUUCUGCAAAUUUUCAGCAACUUAGCAUGCGACCAUUUGAUCUCAGAUCCAAGGGCUGCCAGCAGCCCGUAUCAUGGUCGCGCCUACCACGGACGUCGCGUCGCUCGCGCGGUCGUGCCCUUGGAGAUUUAACACGGUGCGUUAGGCUAUCGGAUGUUGGCAUGUCAUACAUAUUCAUCACUUAGUCACUCAUACUACAACAAGGUUGGCUAUAAGGUUGGCUAUAAGUGUAUUUUUUUACUCCUCUCUAUCUCUUUCUUCGUACUCCCUCCCUCCCAUAAUAUAAGAACGUUUUUGACACUAGCUAGUGUAGUGCCAAAAACGUUCUUAUAUAAUGGGACACAGGGAGUACUAGUAUUUAUUGCAUUUGCCAAGGAGUGACCUCUUCCAAUGAAAUGUUGUUGCUAAGUUUUCUUCAUUUAAUUAGCUAUAGACUCAAAAUUGUCUUUUCACCUAGGUACACGCGCU
RNAcentral lists this long non-coding RNA (98042 nucleotides) under Triticum aestivum (bread wheat). RNAcentral describes it as "long non-coding RNA (TAES_LNC003020)". Lineage: Eukaryota; Viridiplantae; Streptophyta; Magnoliopsida; Poales; Poaceae. The record is from RNAcentral.